AAAAAAAAAAAAAAAAAAAAAAAAAAACUGGGCACAUUCGCGAGUAGAUGAUUGGGAAAAACCAGUGGUGCCUACCAUUCUUUGACUGGUAUUAAAGUUGUCCCCUUUUGUUCUGUUUUAACUAUGGAUGUAACAAGUGCACCACUUCUUAAUAAUUAGCUUUCCGGGCUGAUUACUACAAGUUUCUCGUGUGGCUUGGAUUAACUGACGAGCCGAAAUGCGUGUUACAAAGGAUGUAUUCAUGAGAUUGUGCUGAUGUAGUCAUUUAUUUCAAGCAUCCGAAGUGACGGAAAAUGCAGAAGCCACCAAGUGUUAUACAACUGAGUUACUGCCUAACACAAGGGUUUGCAAGGUUGCUCAUGAAUCUCUGUUCUCAACCUACAAGAAUAAAAUCAAUGGGGAGAUGGGUUUCCCAUUUCUGUAGCCGCCUUUACAUGAAGCGAUAUAAACAAAUAUCGGAGGGAAGAAUGGAGGCUUGCAGGAAAAGACUCGCUUCAGUUCUAUCAAAGCUACCAAGGGCUGCCAAAUGAGCACACGAAUGCAUACAUCAUGCUCUGAGUUGUCUCAUGGCCAGUUCCGAAAAUAGUUUUUUUGUGACAUGCAAGCGCAAGCACACCACAAGUCCAGAACAAAGCUCCCCAACUCCAGGGGCCCCAGCUCUCUCACUGAUUGAUGUCGGCUACUUCGUCGCCAUUGUAUGAUGGUUGACUCUCCAACCCCGAGGAAAAAAAUACUAAAAGCUCAUUUUCGUUCGAGCGAUGAGCAACGGGUGGCGUUUCUCCAACCGAUCUUGGUGUAAACGUUGUACUGCUUCGGAAUGGCGACAUUGCUGUGUAUGAUUGAUCAAAUGGGGAGCGACGAAUUGGCUGCAAAAAUAAUUCUGUCGAGCUGCCAAAAAAAAAUACAGGUUCUUAUAGAGUCCUUUCAACAACGUGGGGCUGUGUUAUUUGUGAGGUCAAACUUCUGUCUUUAGCCACAGACAGAGUGGUGGGCAGUCGUAGGUGUUUUUUGAGGUGUCGCUGUUCAUCAAGAUCAAUGUACCUUCUGGCACGUUCGUUUACUUUCACUGCUUUUGUAUGCUGUCCAGAGCUAUGGUGCACAUUGUGUUUAAAGAAAACCUGAUCUUCUGGUUUGCGAUACUGACGCCUUGCAAUUGAGCUGGCUGUGUUUGCUUAAUGCGACCUUCUAAACCUACCCACAUCUCUUUCAGUUCUGCGCUGCAACGAAGAAAACGAUUGAAUAUGUUACCGGAUUGCAAGCUUGAAUUUCGUGGACUUUUGAGCUUACAAUCUGGUAACAUAUUCAAUCUAGCUUCUGCAUGCAUUGGUAAAUUUAAACACGCUACACAACCGUGCCGUAACGAAAGAUUUCAUCCGAUGCAGUCGCACUAAUAACCCAACUACGGGGUAUUUUUUUCGUGUAAGAAAGUACAGAAAGUCACACCUCCAACGCACUGGAAGGUAGUGUGUGAGAGUGAUCUCAAGAAAAGCAAUUCUGUCCUCAAAUCGAAACACACCAACACAAGUCUAAAAUUUCAAGACCGUGCUUUUAUUUACAGAUGUUGUCAUCAUGGGUGGUGUGGCAGGGCAGGCCAAAUUGCUGACCCCACCUCUACUCCAGAUUCCAUCACCCCUCAUCUCAAGCGACGCUUGCUGCUCAAGGAUAAGAACACACAAGUCCAAGUUGGCAAUAGACUUGGUCUACGGCUAUGGCUGGCAAAAUUAUACGGCGACCUUGCAACCUAGAUCUCGCAAUACAUAUGGUAGUGUUAAUCCCUGGUACACAAGUUAGUGCACAGCAUGUGUUGUGUGAUUCAGAAAGCCCAUGUUCACAGACUAUAACUAAUCCACUUUAUCCUACUAUUACCUAAUACCACAUGAAGUCCGUCAUAGGAUCGUGAUAAUCGCGGUGAGUAACGUCCAAGUUUCAAGCGAAGAAGCCGAAGAGGUCUUGAUAACCCCUUGGUGCACUUGAUCCUGCUCCGAAUCUCUCGGUGUCUCGGUAAGACGUCGAGGAGUAGGACGAGGAAGAGUGUGCAUCUCCAUACGAAGCAUACUGAGUCGGCUCCGGAGUAGCAGCAUAAGAGGUGGACGUCGACUCAUAGCUCGGUCUCUCGUAUGCGGAGGCUGUCACUGAGGUAUCAGGAGCAUAGGAUGGUGUGUAAGAAUAGCUGUCAUGAGUAGAAUCGCAUGAGUAGGAGCCAUACGAGGAGCCGUUGUUGGAUUGAUCAUCCUGGGAAGACUCAUAGGAAGGUCUGGAAUACGAAGAGUAGGAUAUUUGGUAUUUCUGCUCAGGAUAAGAGGUAGAGAACGAGGGCUCGUACGAGCUUUGACUGUAUGCCGGUGUCCGAUACGCAUCCUCGAACGGGGAUGGCAUGUAUGUGGACACACGGUUGGAAGUCUCGUAGGAUGAGGAGCUGUAGGGGUUGCGAGACGUGGGAUUGUAUGAGGAAUUGUGGGAUGAAUUGUACGAAGAGUUGGAGUAGUCGGAAGAAUUCGGUGAGGAAUGUGAAGCUCUGUAAGCUGGGUCACUGAAUGGAACGUAGGAAGAAUCUACCCUCCGGGUGUUGAAAGGAUCGUCGAAGUAAGCAGCCCUUGGGACGUAGGGAAACGUGACAUAGGCGCUUGCUUUCUCCUCCUUUACCACUACAUGGGCAUCCUCACCGAGUGCGUCUGAUUUGGCUUCAGGGGCUGCUGAUGCAGCUGGUGGAGCUGCCUCUUCCGGCUCUGGAGCGGCUGGCUGUUCGGCUGGCUGUUCCGCGGGCUUCUCCUCUGCAGGUGGGGAAUCAGCUGCUUCUGGAGGAGGAGAGGGAGUCUCAACGACAACAGGGGGUGGGGCCAGCUCCACUGGGGCUGGUGGAGGCUCUGUAGCCAGGCGGGUCUUCCGCUCUUCUGAUAGCCACUCUGCAAACCUGAAAAAGAUUCAACAUUGAUGAGAUCAUGACAUUCUACCUUCCUAAUUUAUUUAAACGAUCUGCAGAUAUUUCUGAAUUUGCGAGGCUUACAACAUGUCAUGUGAAAUUUCUCGAGAACCAAGAAAGUAAAUACCUGUAAAGAGCUUCCCGGUUAGUCCCACCACAAGGAAUGGAGUGGAGUUUCCCAGUUUGGAAGUUCCGCACAGUUACUGGCUCAUCCAGAAGGUGCUUCGCCGUAGCCAUUAGCUUCCACAGAUUGGAUUCCGAUGAAUCGUCCACAGAUGCAAGAGGCCCGUUCAAGUUGUCUGUCUGCAUGGUUCAUCAAAUGUUAUUCCCCCAUCUUAACAGAAAUGCUUCUCCUUCACAAGCCGCUGGCUCAUCGAUGCAAAACAAACGAAUACACGCAACAGCCAUAGAUUGUUCACUGCAUUCUGUGCUUCAUAUUGUCAUCUCGCACCAUAAAAAGAAAAAGAUAUAAUCUGGUUCUCAGGACAAGGAACUACCUGAAUUCGAAGGUAAUUGGAUGCGCAUUGUUGUGACUGAAACAUGAUUGAGAGGUUGUAGUCCACCAUAUCUGCACUGGCAUUGAACACCAUAUCAACCAAAGGUGCCUCGCCUUUGUUUGCCAACCAGUCUACAAUUCCCCACUUUGCCACAUCCCUUGCGUCGUAGCCCAUUGUAUGUUGUCCUGUACCAAGCGAGAGGACCAGGAUAUCGUUGUAGCUCUGCACACAUUCCCCCACGCAAUAAGUGCUCUAGAACAACAUUUCUUUGUGGCUCGAUUCUCACAACUCGACUCAAAAGCGUAGCAGAGAACUGAUCAAAAGAAUGUCAAGCGAGUGUAAUACCGAAUUAUCCACUCUUUCUGCCAGAGCCCCGCCGGCUUGCGAUUCCUUGAUUGCUUGCGUAAUCGCGACAUAUGUCUGCUCCAGAAAAAACAAAUGAACUAAUAAAUUAUGCGAAGUUAUGAAGAAUGCGAAAAUGACAAACAGGCAUAAUACAGGACUUCUGGCAGCAAAAUGUCAGAUUGAGGAGACCAACACAACAUCUUGCAAUCGACAUUUCUCGUGUGGGAUGAAAUGAGACAAAAUAAGAUCAAGCGCACCGGAUUGUUCACAACAACACCGCCAUCUAUCAAGUUGAACUCUCGUGUUUCGUUGGGCUCCCUGGAGGUAUCAGUCAGAGUGAAAUGGAUUGGUGGGAAGUAUGUCGGCGAUGCAGACGAAGCUCGGCAAACAGCUUUAAUGGGAGGAUUCUCAAGAGGAUCUCUUUGCGCCUAUUCACAAACAAACCCACAUUCUAAUUACACUUUGAGUAAACCCUAGUUAUCAUCGUGACGACCAAAGCUGUUUGACCUGGAAUUGCAGAAUACGGAGCUUCGUACUUCAGCUUUCAUUGCUUCGUAUCCUGCAAGUGCAAUUUGCAUGCACUGCGAUUGAGAGAGUUUACCUGCCAGGACGAGAAGAAGAUCGGUUGUUGCAGUUUCGUAUCGAAGGCCGGGAUAAUGAUGGACGUCAGCGCUCGGUCAAGAAGAGGAUCGCUCUCAAAAUACUGGUCUAAUAAGCGCUGCAAUCCUCGUGGUUUAUACUUGGGCCCGUUCAAGGCCAUGAAGUGCCUCCGUGUCUGCCCAAACGGGCCUCUGCGGAUACAGCCAGAGCAGCAGGUUAAGUUACUUAACAUUCAUCCCCGGUGGACACAAAAGAAUCUGAAUCUUGACGUUGUUGGAAGAAGUUGAUUAAUAGUUUCGAUCGAGUGAUACAUACUUGCCCUGAGGGAAGAUCUUGUUUGCGUGCUUUUGGUAGAACUGCACGACUUCUCGGGCUGUGAACAAAGGUCGGUUUGAGCCCUCGGCGCUUGGGGACGAAAUCAUGGAGGUAAUGAGUCCACCAGUGCUGGUUCCAGCUAUGAUGUCGAAGUAGUCGGCCAGGCGCGCUUCUGGCCCAUCCAAUCUCUGGUUUUGAAACGGAGGACAACAUAUUUUGUGAGAAGACGUGGUGCACAAUGUAUCCAAUGUUCUCACUUGCAUCAGCGAUUUCUAGUUUGCAACCUCUCCCUCCAGCUUCCUUGUGCGAGCAUUUCACAUGAACGAGAAGUUAAUCUCAUGUUCUCGAAUGAGAUUACUAUUGGAGAGGGCCUCAUCGUUCCAAAACCGGCCCCUUCGGACACACACUGAUACACCCCGCGCCGCACCUUACCUUGUCGACCCGGCCCGGACGGCAUCGUGAACGGCGGUAGGCCUAUGAUCUAGAGCAGAUUUGUACACAAUCUCAAAGUAGAAACUAGCUGCACUCAUUACCCACUUGAUAUCGAUGAGUAAGCUUCGUCUAGUUGGAAUACCGCGGUGAGAAAUCUAACGACUACAUUGCCAUCUUCUGAGCCGCUGGAAAGAGGUAGCGACGCUGAUGAAAUGCAAGUCUGUCUCAGCUACGCUCUACAAUCGCUAUACAAUCCUUCCAAAUUUGGGUCCUGAGUUUUAUGUGACAAUUCGUCAUGGCUAGGCUUCUCAUGCAUCAUGAAGGCGAAUUGUUACAUGCCUUCAUUGCAGCCUACCCACCUCAAAUGAGAACCACUCUAAGGUGUUAACCGUUACGUUGCAAUAUCACAAGGGUACUGGUAGCUUGCCGAAGUGACGAGGAAUGAAUUGUAAGAGACGAUUCUACUGAAACCCUGAGAGCUUCACGACAUUGUCUUCGAUUAUAAGCGUCUCAAUUCCUUAAGCAGACUGCAAAGCUUGCAAAACAAUCCGUCCAAGCCGAGACCAACACAAGAGUACCCACCUGAAGCUUGCCCUCAAGCUCGGCCAGGAUGGUGGCCGGGAUAAGUCCCCGCACUCCCCCUCCAUCCACGCUCAGUAUAGUCACCCGCUUCCCAACCUGGCCCGUAGGCCUCUGCGUCAUGAACCCAGGCAUAACUGCUGCAAGACCUCAGCUCCGCACAAACUCACACCCUCUCUCUCUCUCUCUCUCUCUCUCUCUCCAGCAAGCCCUCUUGCAGAUCCAGCUCAAUUAACCCCCCAGGACACUGAACUGAACGCUCUAUCCAGCACCGCAGGAGCGAGUAUUUGAGGCCGGAGUGGUGGACGACAACCAGUCCUCGCUUUUCACCCGAUCAUAGGCGCACCCACCUUCAAAGCCGCAAUUACAAAGGUUGGUCUAAUCCUCAAUUACCGAAGCUGCCGAUCCACAGUACUGCACUUCGACGCACAUCGUGCAACAGGAAGCUGCGUCGGAGGCGAAUAUUUCAACCACCAGUGGACGGUCUUUCACAAACUAGUUACCCUUCAAUAAUGAGCCGUGGCGGGUUGCGAGCAUGAGGGAGACUCUCCCUUUGAGACAAGAUCCCAUGCACCUGAUCCACGACCCUCCUCCAUUGAUCGUCUGUUUAACUAGCCAAAGGCUACUCAGCCAUUUGCGUCUUUAGCUACCCCGAAUGCUUCGUAACAGCCAACCAUUAAUCAACAUUUUGUGAAUGUAAUUGAGCUUGUUUAGCAACUGGGUUGCUAUUAGAUUGGGACUGAGCAUGAGGUGACCUUAAUCCAACAGAUUCUAUGAGGACGUUAGUGCCGAUGAGUGCAUAUGUUUGCCACGGCAAAACGAUAGAGCAUGGGACACGGCGAGGAUAGUUCGUUUUGUGAGAUGUUUUAAUGGGAACCCACUUGGUCUUAUAGCGAAGUUGUAUGGGUGCCGUUUCAGUUGCACUCUAGAAGUAAUCUAGAAAGCAAAGACUGUGUCACAAUUAUUGUUGUCAUGUAAGAUUCCAAGAUGUUCCAACCACCAAAAUGCCAACAGUAAAUCAGGUAUCAUUCCCCCCUCCUAGCAGAACUAUUACUCUAGCUAUUGUACAGUGUUGCACAGAUAAUGACAUUGUGCAUAGUCAAUGUCUGCAAUAAUAGAAAAGAGUAUGAUUUGGAAAACUGGUAUGAAAAAGCUUUAAUCAGUGAGAUUACUUUCAAGGAGCAGGUCCAAGAAUUAUUAACUAUUGUAAGGCCCAGUUCUUCCUUGACUCGGGGUUCCCGACAAUAAUUAAUCCGUUCUGAAAUUAGUACUUCCAAAAUCAUUAUUAGUAUUAUAUAUAUACCUUAAUCUAACACAUUUUCUCUCAGAGGACCUCAAGGGCUGAGUUUCCUAGGUCUCUCGAUGAGACAUAUUGAAUGCGGAGCGCUCGAAGUACGCAGGCUGCAAGGGUCGAGGGUUCGAAACCUGGAAGGGGAUUCUAAACCUGAUAGGUGGACUUCAAGGGCCGAACAAAUUUGACCUUUCCGAAGAGACAGAAUCUGGACAAGGAACCGGUCUUCAUGGUAUCAAGUUGCAAGACCGUUUUGGAAAGUCAUUUUAAACCGUCUAUCUUACAUAAAUGCAGGAACUUACACAUACCAUAAUUGAAAGGCCAAGUCCAGGAUGUGCACCAAGUCACAAGCCUCCAAAUAAAACCAAGACAACACAGGAUACUCAUCCACUCUCCUACCCAAAUUGACAUAAGCACUGAAUGUGGGCACAUCUGUUUUAAUCCCAGUGCUACUCUAACAUUCCCCAGGAUUACAACCCUCUCCCAUGAAAAGUGAGCCAAAAGGUAGAACAACAAAGAAUAAUGCAACCACAACCACUGCACCACUGUAAGUGUGCCCACUCAAGGCUAAAAUACAUGAGCACAUUCUGAACAGAGAGGCACUCAAGGAAAGAGAGGAAUAUGAAGCAGAAAAGCAUAUCAGGGACUGUAGCUGCUGCUGACAUUGAAUCACACCAGGGCUGAGGUGGUCCCAAGGGCAUGUUGGCCCCCACAUGAAGAGCCCUAAGUGCUGGCUUGCUUGUUUGUUUGUUUGUUUCCUUGCUUGUUUGGCAUACACUAGUUGUUGUUGUAGCAAUACCAGUACCAGUAGUAGUACUUGGGUUGGGGGUGGGGAGGGGGGAUCCAGUAUGGGAUUUUGGGAUGGCUGGCAGCAAGAACAGCAGAGCACCACAAGGGUGGUGGCACAGCCAUGUGGAAAAAGAGAUGAAAAAAACAGACACCCUCUCUCUCAGAAAACAGACCCACAUACAUACAGACACACAAACAGACACCAAUGUAUCCAUCCCUCUGCCUGUUAUUGUGCUGCAGCAGUGGAAGAGUGAGUGAGUGAGUGCAUUGAGAGUGGGAGACCAUUGCUGCCAGUGCUGGGAUAUCCAGGUGAUGGAUGGAUGGGUGGAGUUUAGCCUUUUGAACGGAAAUCCUGCAGUAUUAUUCUAUUGUUUGCAUCCCUCAAUUUCAUGCAAAUGUUGGUUUAUCCACUCAUCUCUAUCUCUAUCUCUUCCUGUGUCUAUUGUGGGGCAUGUUGGUGAUGGUGGGUUGGUACCUCCCCAUGUGUUGUGUUGUGUUGUGUUGGGCAUCCCCUGCAAACUGUCAGUCAUUUCUGGAAUGACUGUGAAUGUACCCACCACCAUACACGUUCAGAUGGGCUUUUAUCACAUCAGGACAUCAGGACUCUCCAGGUUGUAGGAGUUGUACCACCACCACUCUCUUUCAUUGUAUUGCCUGCAGGACUGUCUCUCUCUCUCUCUUUCUCUUCAUUUCAAUUUCAUACAGAUUUAUGUAUAUAUAUAUUUGUGUGUGUUGUUUAAGAGAGGAGAUAGGGUUGUGUAUGCAGUCAUUGUGAAGGAGAUUAGGAAAAGGGUGAAAUGGUUUGCAACAUUGUUAGCCCAUGAUCUGAUUGCAAAAGUGGUUGCACCAAGGAGGUUGACUAGUUAAAUUUAAGAUGUGAAGUUUCCACAUUUGCAAAAUGAACAAUUAGUAAAAAGAUUAAUGUCCCACUGUUUCAAAUAAAUUUAAAAGAAUUAAACAAAUAAAACAAACAAACAAACAAACAGACAUAGCAAGGGUAAGCUUUCACUCUCACUCUCAUCAAUGAAAUAGAACCUAAUGCCUCUCCUACUUGGCUCCUCUUGAUCAUUCAGAUCCCAAGCUAACCCACACAAUACUUCUGCUCUGGUGAAUCUGAUCACAAAAAGUGGUACACAACCCAAUCAUUUUUUUCAAUAUAUGUAUAUAUACACAUCAUAUUUUUUAGUAUAGUGUAUGAAAUAAUUGGAGAUCUCCCAAAUGAAACAAAUGAGUUAGGAUAAAGGAAAGGGAGAGGAAGGCAUGGUUUUGCACUCUCUUCAUUGAAAGGCCUAUUCAUUGUGACCGCUAACUGUGCCACCCAAUGAGCAUGAGGGACAUAGAGAGACAUGGCACAAUCAUAUAAAGAUGUGCAAUCCACACUAUGAGUCCUUGACUCUCUCUCUCUCUCUCUUUAUAUAUAUAUAUAUAUAUAUAUAGAAAAAGAAAAGAAGGGGGUUAAUUACAAUAGAAAAAACUUGCCACUGCAUUGAGAAGUAAAAGCGAAUAAAGAGAAGAGCAUGUAUUAUUUGCUUCAACAUCAUUCCAUUGCCUUAUAAGAAGAAGAAGCAUAAGUUAAUCAUGUUGAAAGCUAGAAUAAGAUAUUGCAAAAUUGUAUUUGACAAAGCUUGUUGUGAUCUAAGCUUGAAGAGAACUUUUGGUUUUGAAUUGUGGAGUGAUCAAACAGUCUACAUUCAUGUCCCAUUCAUGGCAUUCUUUUUUGACAGUCAGCCAAAUAGAGGCUGAUUUUGAUGCCUGCUGACUAUUUUGAUUUAAUGUCUUCCUUUGUUUGUUGAUUUUGAUGGCUUGACAACUUUAGCACCUUGCCCUUUUUUAGAUUUUUUUAGGUUUUAUUAAAUUUAUUAUUCUUUUAGGUUUUACAAAUUUCAUGUCACAUCUAAUUUAUAAGCUUUUUUCCACUAAUUUUUUCUGGUUGUUCAUAGAGUUAUCCAACGCCAUUGUUGUAAAAGAUAAAAUCUCCAUAAAACUCACAAGAAAAUAUCAUAUGUAUAAAAUUAAAUAUAUAAUGUACAGUAAUGUGACUGAAGAAGAAAAGAAUUUCAUGCCAUUUAUUUAUUAUUGACUCAUCAUACAUAAGCCGCCAAAAAUAGAAAAUGUGUUUCUUACAUUGAAUAAUCUCAAAGGAUAUUAUAUUGAUUUAAAAAUUAAUGACUACAAAUUUUAAGUUUGUGCAGUUUAUACAUUAACAAUAAUAAAUCAUAGUUGAAAACAUAAUGAUUUUUUCAUUCCAUAUUGGUUAUGUAAUGCUAAAUAAUAGUUUUGUCAAGGUAUGAAGACUUUUGAGCAUCAAGACUUUGAACACAAAUAUGAACUUUUAAUAUUUUAAUAUUUUAAUAUUAUUAUAUGAUUUUAACAAGUUAAUUUAAUUUAAUUUAAUGUGUUAAAUGUAUGUAUGUGUAUGUAUGUGUAUGUAUAUAUAUAUAUAUAUAUAAACAAAAUCUAUAAUAUAUAGGUUGAUAAUGAAAGGGUUUCUUUAUGUCUUUAUUUUAUACUUGAAUUAUUUUAUAUAUUAGAUGUAUUUGGGGUAUGAUUCCAUCCUCAAUUCCAUCCCAAAUUCCAUGUGUCACAAAAUCUUUGUUGUUGACCCAAAGAUAAUGAGAAAGAUGGAAAAGAAGAAGCAUAAAAAGAUGGUCGUAGAUUGCAUGAAUGAAUGGUGACUCAAGUCAAGUCAAGUCAAGGAGAGUAAAAUUAUUCUUUGGUUUUGGUGUUGGGGCUUGUGUCCCCCUUGUUUGCACUAUGUCCAAACUCCACCGUCCCAAUAAUUCCCCUUGUUUCUUUUCCUAAAUAAUAACUAAUUCAUUUUUUAUUUUUAUUAUUUUAUUCUCUUGUUGCUAAACACUCAAAUCCACAAAGAAAGAGAUAGGCACAAACAACAAAUGAAACUGAAUGAACGAAAUGAAUGAAUGAAUGUACAAGGAAGAAGCACUCUCACAAGAUUUUUGCACCUUGGAUGAAUGAAAACAUGGAUGCAGUUUAAGGUGGAUGAAUGAUCCUGAAGGGUGCCUCCACCAUCAGCAGCUGAACCCAAUUCCAAAGCCGGGUGGAAUCUCCUCCUUCAAAUUCUCUUUUAAAAAAUGAAACAAAAAGAAUGCAAACCCUAAAAUUGUAAAGAAGAGAUCAAUGGGGCCCUUGGCAAAGAUUUUACAUGAAAUCAACCAAUAUUCCAUGGGCCUGGGGAUCUCAUAUGCCACACAUGAUGUUGCUCCCAAAGACCUUUCUCUACUUCUCUUUUUCAUUUUUCAUCUUUUUUGUUUAUUUAUUUAUUCUUAUUUUUUUGAGAGGGUGGUGCUAUUCACUUGAGGCUUCCAAUGCCUCCAUUUCCAAGAGUUAAAAUCCCAAUUUCAAUGCCCCCACAUAAACAUACACACACCCAAAAGGAAUGAAUAAACAAAGCAUUCAAUGUUCCCAAUCAUUGGUUGGAAGAAACAAAGGAAGGUGGAGCUCCUUUUCCAAUAAUAACAAUAAUAAUGGGGAUGAGUUGGUGCUAUUUUGAAUGCAUGCAUGCAUUAUGUUGAGCUCAUUUGUAGCCAUGCACACGUUGAUGGGAAAAAAUAAAAAAUGAAGUAAUAAGAUGAUAAAGGUUUAGGUGAAAGCAAAAAAGAGAAGAAGUCAAUAGAACCGUAGAUAAGUUGUAUCUUAUUUUGUUUUGUUUUUUUAUUUAAGGGAAGUUGCUCCUUGCAUUUGCCAAUUAAAUGUUUACUUUCAAGACAUUAAUUCAUUCACAACGGCAUAUAUAUAUAUAUAUAUAUAUAUAUAUAUCAUUUUAUCUCUAUACAUUCCAAAUGCAAAAAAGAGAUCUAUAUGAUAUAAAAAUGAGUCAAUUAGUUCAAAUUUUAAAAUAUUUUAGAACCUGAAAACUGAUUUUUUAAAAAUAAUUCAAUAAUACUUAUUAACCAGUGAAAAUGUAACUUCUAUACUAAGAUUCAGGAUUUAAGAUUUAAAAAUAAAUUUUUUGACUAACUUCAAUGUUUUUAAUAAACAUUGUAUUUUUUUUCUUUUUUCUUUUUUCUUUUUACUUUCUCAUGUAUAAAUAUAAGAAGCUAAAGUAUCUAUAAUUACAGAUUUUAAAAUACUACCUUUCUUCUUUUUUGAAACUAUAGUUAGAAAUUUUAUAUAUUUCAUAGACUAUAUAUAUAUAUAUAUAUAUAUAUAUAUAAUUUUAAUAUAAUAAAGAGCCAAUACGUCUGAUGAAAUAAAAGAUAUCAGUUUCUUGAAUAACAUUAAAUCUUUAAAACUUGCAAAGUACAUACUAUAUAUUUUUAAAUAACAUAAUAUGGAUUCAAGUAAAUUUGACAUACCCAUAAAUAUACACUAAUCUUAAUAAGAUCGAUAAACAUAAGCAUCUUGAUUUUUUUCUAUUGAUGUAUUGCUGAAAGAUUAAAAACAUAGCUCUCACCUAGUCCACUCUAUUCAAUUAGUUAUUUUUUUAAUUUUUCUUAGACCAUAAAAUAUAUCCAUAUAAGAAUAAUUGAAAUUAUUAGUAGACAUGAUUUGUGUAAUAACUAAUUAUAAAGUAAAAUCAAGACCUGAAAAUAUAUUACUUAACUUAAAGUAAUUGAGCAAAUGAAUAUGCUUGAUCCAAAAAAUUAAAUUUAUUCAACUAAUGGUGAUCGUAAAAAAUCUUUAUAGUUAGCUUCCCUAAUGCAUAAUAAUUAACGCAAACUCAAAAAAAUAUAAACAUUCUCUUCAUAAAUAAAAAAAAGAAAACUGAAUUUUUUUUCAAUAUUUUCAUGAUUCUUUUUUAGUUUAUUUACUGCAAAAAUUUAAUACAUACAUAUGGAUAUAGAAAAAGUUAUAAAGUGAUUCAAACAAAAAAAUUCUCUUUAUAUUGCAACUUAUGCACUUAAUAUUUUGAUAACACACACACACACACACACACACACAUAUAUAUAUAUAUAUAUAUAUAAGCAAGUUUAUAAUUUGCGUGUGGAUUGUGAUGGUCAAAGAUGCAUUGUGGAAUAGGUAUAUUGUGAUAAUGAUGCGUUCAAGACAUAUAUGCUUCCUUUGAUAUGGUACUUCUAUGCAACACCACCAAGCUUACAGCUUAUAAACCAAUGCUCUUUGUUUUAUUUAUUCAAGUAAUAAACAAAACAUAGUUUUGCCUAGACAGAAUGCUUGUGAAACUUGACAAACUAGCUUGCCCUUUUUACGACACUAAUUGCUGAAUAUCCAAAUUCCAAAAAGAAAACAAGAAAAAAGUGAGUGUGUUCCUACAAGGGUGCUUAUAAAUACCUAAAUUUUUUUAAAUUAUUGCAUCUAUUCUAAAUUUGUAAUGGUACUACAACUAAUUAUUAGUAGUUUCUACUAUUGCAUGUUUUUUCAAUCUUCUUAUUGUAUUGACAUCCUUUAAUGUUGUGGCUUUUGCAAAAAAUCGCAUUGACAAAGUCAAAUCAGCAUUUGUAGUUUAUUAAUUUGAUGAAUUGAUAAAUACUGUUUUUAUAAAAAGUAGUUCAAUAACAAUAAGUAAAUAAGAAUAGUUCAAAUAUUUAUAUAUGUGUGUACUUAAAAAAGUUAUACUUUAAAAAAAUAAUUUUGAUUAUGAUAAUGACUUCUUAUUUAUUAGAUGUAUGAUGUAGAAUAAAAACUUAUUUAUAUUUCUUCAAAUCAAUUAAUAUUAAAAUAUAAAAUAAUAAAUUUAAUAUAUAGAUUAUUCUUAAAAAAUUGAAAAUAUAGAUUCUUUGGCAUAAUUACAACCUGAAUGUUAUAUAAUCAAUCUAUUGCUUCUACUUCUAAUUUCAUUCAACUUUUAAAAAGAAGAUAUCAUAUUAUUAUAUAGUACAACUUUACGUAAGAAAUAUAUUCUUGUAAAUGUUUAAUUUACUAUUGAAAAUUUCGGAAUAAAGUAUAUUAUUCUUUGACAUCAGAAAAUAUAUUUUAAAAACAUUUUACUGUAAUUAUCACAUCAAAAAAUUAUUGUGUAGAAAAAUUUAUAUCCAGUCAUUUUUUAAUUCUCAAAUAUAUGAUAAUAUAUAUAGAUGUUAAUUGAAUAUUUUUAAUUUUAAAAAUUAUUAAAAAUUCAUGGUAUACUUUUAAUUACAUGAAUUUUAGCCAAUAAUUAAGUGUUAUUAAAGAGAUUCUCUUAAACAAUAAGGUUACAAUCUAUGGAGUGAUAGAGCAAUAGUGGAUGCAUGAUAAUGUGGAUAUGUUUUGUGCUUUAGUACUAUAGAUAGAAUAUUACAAGAUUAUUUGUCAAUUUAAUAUUACCCAUGUGAAUAUUGUAACAAAGAUUGAUUACGUGUUUAUGAUGUCAUGGAAAAAAUCUCAUUUCUACUGUUUUCCACUGAAACUUCCACGAGAUAAAUUUUAUCCAACUCUGAUAUAUAUAUAUAUAUAUAUAUAUAUAGAAUAAAAUAGAAAAUCUAUUCAUGUCUAAUAAAUACAUAUAUAAAAUAAAAUAAGAAAACAAUUAUCCAUCUCUAGUAUAUAUAUAUAUAUAUAAUUUAUAUAUAUAUAUAUAUAAAAAUUAUAUAAAAUUAAUUUUCAAAAUUACAAUAAUUUAUGAAGAAUCUCAAAUAAAUAUAAAUAUUUUUAUGGUGUAAAAAAUAUAAACUAAAUUUUAUUUAGAGAUAUAAUUAAUUAAAAGUAUACCAUGAAUUUAAUACACAAUCUAAGAAUCUCUCCACAAGAAACUCUUUUCAACUUGCUUCACCACACAGUCAAUUUAUUCACAUCCAUACUAUGCACACACUUCAAUGUUUAUUUAUUUUUAUUUUUAUUAUAAUUCUUACAUGCACUAUGAUUCAGAUCACCACUAAACUACUCUAUUUUUAUCUUUUCACUAAUUUCUUUGCCUUUGUAGCUGCAUCUGUCACUUUCUAAGUUUCUCUUCUUAAUUUUCUUUGCCACACAUGUUUGUGCUGAUUUUGUUCCUUGUUCCUUCAUAAUAUCACACAAUCACAGAUUUUUCUCACACUUACAAUUUUCUGAAACCACAAAUGACAUUGUACUCUUGAUUUUUAUAACAUGAACUUACAACACUUAGAGUAUCAUAUUUCAUCUCACAAAUCCAUCACCAGAUUGGAUUAAGAAUCAAUUAUUUGUACAAGAUGAGAAAAAAUAAUGUCAAUGGUUACAAGGAUGUUUAAAUUUAACAAAAAAUAACUAGUUUCUAUAGUUUAAUAUAUAUAUAUAUAUAUAUAUAUCUAUAUCUAUUGAUGAAAUAAUCAAAUAUUUUUUAAAAAAAUAAUAAGAUAUAUAAAUAAUUUAUAAACACUAAUAUAUCAAUUUAUAGUUGUUUCUUUUAUUUUUGCUACAAAACUUCUGAAAAAAUUAAUAAAUUAAUGUAAAUUUUAAAUUUUAAGUUACUCUUAAUUACUUCUUAUAAGCAGUAAUGAAUGUGAAGAUAUUGAUAAGAAUAAAAUGUUAAAAAUAAAUAUAUGCUUACAAACAAUCAAGCUUCUCACUAAAAGAUAUUCCAUCUUAAAAUCAUAAGUAUCAAUCAUAUUUAAGAUUAACUAAUGAAAUAUAAAAUUUCUUUCAUGUAUAAUCUUAGAAUUUAUUUAUUUAAAAAAUUACUAUAUAUAUAUAUAUAUACACACAUAUAUAUACGGAAUUGUUGAAUUGAUCCAAGGCAUUUACAAAAUCAACCCACCUAUCAUCAUUUUUUCAUUGGAUUUCAAUCAAUGUGGAUCCAACAAUGGAGAUUUUUUUUGAUGAUGAUUAGGAUGGGUAGGUCGAUUUAAUGAAUGCCUAGGUCAACUUAAAAAUUCCCUAUAUAAAUAUAUAUAAAUAUAUUAUAUAUAUUUAUAUUUUUUUUCUGGACCAAUGUACAUCAUAUGUUCUUAUUUUUUUCAUUAAAUAUAUAUAUUUUUUUCCUUCUUGAUACUUUUUUCAUAAUAGAUAUAUUUAUAUAUAUACAUAUAUAUAUUUUCUGUAAAUUGUGGGGCUGAUUCAAUAAAGUGCGCAAACUAAAUGGCUGAGGUUGAUGGGACUUGCACAAAUUCCGGGGGUUCGUAUUGCGAAUGAAAAACGAUGCGCUAAGUUCAUCCCUUCGAUGAAUUCCGGGUCGCUGAGUCCAAACCAGUCGCAGAGUAAACGCAUUUUGUUGUAUUUGUUUUUUUUUUAUUUGAUUUUUUUGUAUUUGGGGUUGGGCAGCAAACGUCGGUAGUAGAAGAAAUCGAUUGUGUCGAGAAAUCCUUUUUUCAAUCGCGAAUUGAAGAAUUGCCAGCCCUCAAUUUCUUCGUCUUCUCGGGAAUUCGGAUUGGAUUUUGUGCUUGUCAGUUUUGUAGUUUCCUCGAUUUCUUCAGUCGCCGGUAGUUUGUGCUCUGGAGCUACAAGAGUGUGUGUUAGGGUUUUUCGUCAUCAGGAAUCGAGGAUUCUUGCUGUGGAGCUGGAGGAUUCCUCGCUGCAGUAGCUUGAGUGAUGUAGGAUUGAUGUGUUCUCGACCUCAUCCGGUCUCUUUUACUGGUGAAGCUUUGUUAGGUUUUUUAGAAUAAGAGCACACUUGAAUCUGCGAUUUUUAAUAAUUUGAACGAUGAGGAGGAGGCCAGGGAUUUCAGGGCUGCAAGGGGCGGUUGCAGCGCGAGAUCAAUACCGAUCAUUGGGGGACAAUGUUGCAAAGGUGCGCCAAGACCUCAUGAAGGAGCAGUUAGAAACGUUCCGGCAUCAGCUUGAAGAGUUCGCGUCUAAGCACAAGAAUGACAUCACGAAAAAUCCUGCCUUCAGGGCGCAAUUCCAUACAAUGUGCGCCAAGUGUGGGGUGGAUCCUCUUGCGUCGAACAAAGGAUUUUGGGCUGAGCUUUUAGGAAUUGGUGAUUUUUACUACGAGUUAGGGGUGCAGAUUGUCGACAUCUGCCUCGCCACCAGGUAUCUGUCUCUCUUAGAUGUUGUUUACCUUCUUGAGAUAUCGAGUCGUGUGAUUCGGAUCACCAAUUUCAGAGUUACUCACGUUCUCUCAUUAAUGAAAGAAUGAUUGGAUAUGUUGAGUGGCUACUCUACAUGAAACUGUGGCUGUUCGAAAUCUUCAUUGUCUGCAGCUGGAAAACCAGGUGGAGUGCAUUUGCUAAUGCCGUUGAAUUUUAUAUCUAGCUGAUUUAGGUGACAACUUAUUCUACAGAUUAGGAUGAUGGUAAUCAUGGUCCUACAAUUGUUCGAAAAUGUUGUUCAGACCUCGAAAUGGUGGCCUCAUCGACAUUGAGGAGCUUCGUUCAUCGCUUUCAAAACGACGUCGCUCUGUGUUAAUUACUGAGGACGAUUGCCUACGUGCAAUUGGAAAGUUGAAGAAGUUGGGAGGAGGGUACGAGGUAUUCAGCGUUGGACGUCGCAAGCUCGUACGAUCGGUUCCCAUGGAACUGAACAGGGACCAUAACCUAAUUCUUCAGAUCGCACAACCUCGUGGGCAUGUGACAGUCGAAGAGGUAGAGAGAGAGCUUUCAUGGCGCAGUGGACGAGCAAUUGAUGCACUUGAGAACCUUCUGAAGGAAGGCUUGGCAAUGAUAGAUGACGGAGAUCCUGAUGGCAAGCGUCAUUACUGGUUCCCUUGUGUUGGUCCUUCUGAACUGGAGACAGAAUCUGGUGGCAACAUGUAGACAUUAAUAAAUGUAUUUCCACUCUUUAUAUGCUGAUUUUCAAUUUUCUUGGAUAAGUGAAUGUUCUAAAGCAUGUUUGCUUGAUGUUUUGCUGUUGCAAAGAACUAUGUGAUGUACAUCGCAUCGCACAUACAGAUAUGGUUGAGUAUUCAGUUGCUGAAACGGUUUGAAUUUCACGAGGUAUUCAAUGAAAACAUGAAAUGCGUGAGUACAUAAUUUAGCAUGUUAUAUUUUCAAAUGCUGUGCAAUUGAUAAAAGUCAAGGUGGUUGUAGCUUAAAAAUUGAAUGAAACUUUUGUUUACACGCAUGUUAUGUCAAUUAUGGACAAUGCAUGAACAGAAACUAGGUGAAGUUAAAUGAAUUAUCUUCACAUGCAUGGUGUACUUAAGCUUCCUAGCUAGGUUUAGAAGCAGUUUUAGCAUCAGUAAAUCUUCCAACUACUCCAUAUAAACACUACCAAACACUGUUCAACAACUAUAACCACCUGUGUUGCUAAGCUUCACCCAAAUCUACGUUUUAACUUUUGCAUGCAAUGAUACACAACCAAACAGUACAAGCCACAAAGAUUCCUAGCACUAUACCACAACCUAAGAUUCACAUGCCUGUUUUGUGUCUCUGCUUGUAAUGCAUCUGUGAGAUGACCUAAACACUACAAGCUUCGCAUCAUAUCGCCUUCCAGCUCGACCACCUUAACAACACUUUACACUAUUCUUUGUACAAUUCCAGUUACAUGCCUACAAUGUAAUACCUUUUCAACAAGAAAAGGAAUUUAGCUAUUGACCCCUGGAUAAACUGGUGCAGAAGAAACAGGCAUCUUCUGCUGUUCGUUGACACCGUCUGCAUUACAAAUCCAAUGAAACAAAUUAGCACAACUAUGAACUAAAAUUAACUUAGCUCUCUUUGUUAAGUCACCUUUGUUGUCUUCCAACAGCAUUUCUCCUGUCAAAGGAUUUGACAAAAACCUUACCUCCGUAAUUUUGAUAAACGCCAGCAGCUGGCUGCUCAUGAUCAGACCGAGGAGUGACAGCGUUCGGUCUCCCAAAAUCUGAAUGUGCCGGGAAUGUGUGUUGCAAAUGUUCUCCAGUUUCUUUGGGGGCGGCAGCGAAGAGGGAGCUCGCAGCACCCCUGACACGAUCAACAAUAGGGAUGCUCUGAUAAUUCCUAGGUGAAUUCGUCUUGUUACCUCCAUUCACGAGACCUAGGACUGGCAAGAUCUUCUCCUUAAAGGUGCCGGGCAAUGUGCUCAACGUCUGGGUCACCUGUUCAGACAGUUCCUUGUCAUGGUGCGUCGGAGUGGUAUGAGCUGCAAGUCGGUCUUUCGCGAAAGCUGCACGAUCUGCAGCAGUGGAGGAGUACUCCCGAGUUUUUUGACUCGCCGUAUUCAUGUAGAUUUUAGCCUUCUGUGUGAGGGGAGGAGCGUUCGGAUCCCUGGGCUUGUCAAGGCCCAGAGUUGCCUUGCUCUUAUUCAGAAGUGUCACUGCGUUAGGAUCUCUAGGUUUGUCAAAUCCGAGUGCCGACUUCGCUUUAGUCAGCACAGAGGGUGCGUUCGGGUCAGUGGGUUUGUCCAAUCCUAAAGCCAUCUUCGUCUUUUGCAUGAUUCCGGGCGCGUUAGGGUCCCUCGGUAUAAGAUCUUCUUCCCUGUAGUAUCCCAGUUUAUCUCCGACCACAGCAGCGGCGCCAGCGACACUUUCCGUCAUUUUCUCGAGUAUCCCCUUAUUUGCACGAUUUGGAAGGCUGGAGGAGUCCGCAGUGGCACUAGGGCGGGAGACAUCGUUGUACCCUUUUUGUGUGCUCUACACAGCAAAUAUUACAGAAAAAUCAAUUUCACAAUACGAAGCAUAUGGUAAUUGCAUCCCUCACUUCACUUCAUCGCAUGUCAGCUAGAAGAUAUGGUCUAUGUUGUGUAUACCUCGACCAUUGAGUCAGGAUAUGACAAUGGCGGGGAGUAUUUUGCUUGAGGUUGGGAACUGAGAUCACUUCGAUAAGAGAUAUCACGAGGAGACUUUUCGUUGACACCCAAAUUCUUCAAUUUAUCGACUGUGGUCGGGGCCAAGUUAGAUCUUGGCGAGUCAGUCGGUGGAGCCAAGUUCGAUCUUGGGAUAUCAGUUGAUAACGGAGCUGGUCGCGUGGGAGGUACCCCUGGAACAUAGUUUCGUGUUUCGGCGUUAUGCAAAGGAUUGUUAUGCAAAGGCUUCAAAUGUCCAGUUGAUGGAGUCAUAUUCGAACUUGGGGUAUCAGUUGAUACCGAAGCUGGUCGCGUAGUGGUGGCCAUCGGAACAUGAUUUCGACUUUUGGCAUCAUAUUCUGAAGGGUUGUUAUGUACAGGUAUCCCGUAUCCAGUAGAAUCAGGGUACGACGACCUUGUGUCAUGGUCCCGGUUUUGCGAUGCGUUGAUAUUUGGAUCUGAUGAUGCAGGAUUGGUUCUCAAUGUGCUGAAGGGUGUGGAUUCACCAACGUUGUACCUUGUCUCGGGACCGGGACCCUGCUACCAGCAAUGCAAACGCGACGUCAAGCACAACAAGUGAAUGUCACCACAGAACCUCAAGUCAACAUUGAGAGACAUCUAGUUUCGAAAGAUCACCAUGCGAUGCGAACAACCUCAAAUGCAAGAAUUCAACUACAAGCUUUGUAACAAAAUGCUUACCCUGGGAGAGUUGUGCGGAGAAUCAUCGUACUCGGAGCUAUUCUCCUCAUACCCAUGCUCAUCGCCGCCGUCUCGCUUCUUCAAUCCCGGCAAUCGAUUCUUAAUGCUCUUCACCUUACUCCCCAAAUGUUGAUUGGUAACUCUUGCCUUGAUUUUCGACGUCAAGGACCUUCCUCCUCCGCUCUCCCCCUGAGCGGGAUCUGCAGUGACAAUCCAUUCCGUGACAACAAGCACACCCACACACUCAGUCACACAAUCACCAUUGCCGCAAACAAACCAUGACAACCACUAACCCCACACUCUCAAUCCACUGCCACCUCAUUCAACUCCUACCCAACACUCUCAAACCCAAGGAUCAGCCUCAGAACGCAUCGCUCACAUUUGCAACAUCAACAAUCGAAAGCACACCAACACUGUCAGCGGGAAAGAAACAAAACAAACGACACAAUGGCGAAGCGUACCCAUCGUAUGGCAACUGUAGAGAAGAAUCCAAACACACUCUCUCACUUUGAAAGUCUCGGAUAACAGGAAUCUAAAAAGCUCUCUGUCGACGCAACAAAUGCUGGAUCUCACUCAAUUGCAAUAUAACCUCCCUGAGCGGGAUCGUGAACUUUAACACGGCAAACUGAAUAUUCAACAUCAAGAGCGAGAGAGUGCGUCUCCAUCCGCAACCGGUGGUAGAAGAAGGUGACGAAGCCUUUUGAGAAUGGCCAAGUGGCAGGCGCCCCGCUGACUUAGCUUGCCACAUGUCGAUCACUUUCUUCACCGUCCUCCUUAUUAUCAGUCCGACGUCCGUCUGUGCCCACCCAACUUCGUCCGCCGGCAACUUCGUCCCAUUGACGAUCGACCACGUUUCGCUCUAGUACGUUCGUCAUUGACUAAUUCGCAAGCUGAUGAUCUGAGGGUUUCGAUGCACACGUAUUAGCCUAUCAGUCUCUCCGAAAAUAUUUAAUGCAUGGUAGUGCUUUAGUAUGUGUGGAUUUUUGGGUAUCAUGCAUGCUUUGGAUUUGGUCUUGUAAAGUGGUUUGUUGUCAACAUGUGGGACUGUCUUAAGGAUUUGAAAACACAUAAAUUUCAUUUGAUUUUGUUUGCAUGUACCUUUUGUUGAUAGUGUAAAAUUUUCUACCUUGAAUGGAAAUAUAUGGUUUUGAUCAAAAUAAAUAACUCAUUGUUAUUUGUAUCUUUGCUAGAAACAUUAAAUACCUUCUUUUCUAGAGAUAUUUUUAGAAAUAUAUAAUUAAGAAUUUUAAAGCCUAAGAUUAUAUAUGUAUAUAUAUAUAUAUAUAUAUAUAUAUAUUCUUUUAUUAUUUCUUAAAUUCAAUCAAUUAUUUAUUUACUGUUUCAAGUAAAAAAAUAGUUAGUUUUUGUCUUUGUCUUUGUAAAUCAUAUUAACAUUCUAAAAAAAUGUAUUUAAUAAAUAUUCAAUUUCAGUAUUACAAGUAAAUUAGAAAACAUCUUAGAAUAGACCUACUUGAAUAAGAAUAAGAUGAUAGUAUAAGUUUGUAAAAUAAGCACAUGUAAAAAAAUGUGAGUUGGUGCAUGAAUGUGAGUUGUUUGUAUUUUAAGAAUUGUGCCUAUGAAAAAGUAAUGUGUUAAUAUUUAAAAAUUGACAAUUUUGAAAAAAAAUUAUAGAAUACAUUAUAAAAUCAUUUAUUAGAAUUGAAUAAUAAUAAUAAAAAUUAAAUAAAAAAGACAUAAAAACAUAAAAAUGGACUGAAGUGAUAUAAAAGAUAUGGAGAGAAUAGAUGGUACAAAGUGCAAGAAUGAAUAUUAAUUAUCAUUACUUUAAAAAUCAAAUAUAUAUAAUUUUUUGAAAAUAUAAUUAUGUACUAAUUGAUUCUAUGAAAAAAUGAUAAGAAAAUUUGAUUGGUUAAGUAUUCCAAAUUUUAAUAAUAAAUAAAUAAAUAAAUAAAUCAAUAAAUAAAAACUCUUAAACUUUUUAAGUAUGAAAUAUAAUAAAAAUAUUAACUAUUUCAAAUACAAAUCAUACAUAAAUUUAAAUAUUUUUUAAGUUAACUUAUUUAAGAAAUAUUCUGUUUUAAAAUAAAUAAUAUUCUAAAAUUAAAAUCCAUUCUUUAAAUCUAAUGUGAUAUCUUAGAGAAUUAAUAACUUAAAAUUUACAUAGAAUAAUAUAGAAAGGACAUUUUUCUUCUUUUCUAUCUUUAUGAUUAAGUGGCACCUUUAAAGGUAGCUUUCUAGCACUACCAAAGAUUAGUCACAUAUCUAAAAACAAAUUUUUUUCUUAUAGAAAUGGUAUUUUAUAAUCUUUUUGAAGGUUUCAACAACUUUAUUAAUUCUUAAAGACAAUAAAUCUUAAUAAUUGGAUCUUGUAAACUUGUAGUUUUUUUGGCUUUUCAACUCUUCUAUUAAAAAUCUUGCAAUUUAAUUUUAUUAAAGUAUUCUUAUAAGAAUACAUUAAAGAAUAAUUUGGAAUCAAAGUCUAUUUUGUGGUUCUAUGUAGGUCUUGUAAUAUCACUAAUAAUAAAUUAGUAUAUUUUAAUUUUUUUUUAUCUUUAAAAGUUUCAAAACAAAGUUGUAAUGAUGUCAAUUUUUUUAGUUGCUAUAAUUUAUAAAAUCUUAAUAGCAAAUAUAAUAUACAAAUUUCUUUCAACAUUGAUUUUAAAGAAUAUAAGCACUUGUAUCAAAUUUGAGGUGGUUAUAUCAAAUAUCCACCUCUUAUAUCAAAAGAUAUUUAUAAUUUGUUUUUGCAAUACAAGGAAUCAAGUAUGCGGCAAGUAUUUUAAUCCACAAUUUUUCUUUGUUGCUUUCAUUCUAUUCUUCAAUGGUAUAUACUAUACUAUAAUUGCCCAUUUUAUAUACCUUAAAAAUUUUAUCUCAUCUUUGGCAUAAUAAUUAGUCUUGAAUGCAUUUGUAGUCAGGUCUAAUAUGAUACAAAGCUCAAAGUUUUGCAUGCAAUAAACUUGGCUUUGUGAAGUACAUGGUGAUAGGUGACGGAGCUUUAGUAAUCUUCAGAAUCAUUGAAAUUUGAUGCUUUUAUGAGACUUGGAUCUUGAUUUUUUAUCAUGGACAUCCAUAUUUAUAUUAAUAAUUGUCUAAAUAAUAUAAAUAGGUAGAAGUGGAUUAAAAUAAGUAAAUUUAAUAAUAUCUUAUAAAAAAACUUCAUAGAAGCUUCAUAAACAUGGCUUUGACUUUAUACAUAUUUGUAGUUGAUUGAUAGUUUAGAAACUUAACCAAUAAGUUAGCAACAUAUUAUACAUGUUAGUAGCUUAUGGUAUAAGCUACUAUGUGGUGCACAUAUAGAAAAUUUGCCUUGCAAGUUGAGAUAUGUAUCUUAUAAGUUAGAUACAUGUUGAAGGUCCUAUAGAACCUUGCUUUGUAAUGCCUAGUUAGAUAGUAAAUAUGGAGGCAAGAAUGAAGCCUUUUUCAUUCUUAUGAAUGCCUUUCUAUUCUUUAGACUUGUUUCAAGAUUUUUUUUUUUUUUUUUUUUUUUUUUUUUAAACCUUUUUGUCUUUAUUAAUAGCUAUUUUAAAUUAAUAUUAUAUUAUUUUAAAGUAAUUUUUUAAUCUUGUCAAAUAACAUAAGGCUGUAUUGAUCUUUUAGUCCUCUGAGAUUUAUAUUCUUGAUAUUUUGAUAAGAAUACUAACUCAUUGUUUUUGAUUUGUUUUUAUAAAUGAGUGGAUUACCUCACUUCUAUUGUUUUAUUUUGAAGAUUGUAGAUUAUCUAUCUUUAAACUAAUAUCUUAGUUUUUUAAUACUAUUUUUUUUUUUUUUUAAAGAGAGUGGACUAUCUCUCUUUGUGGAAAUUUUCUUUAGAUAUUAGAAGUUAUAGAUUAUUCUCCUCUGAUUUGACUUGUGAAUUUAUUUGAAUUGCCUAUAGAAAGAAAAAUUAUAGAUGCUACUCUUAUUAGAAGUAAGAAUGGAUUUGCAACUAUUGCAUAUCUUUACAAAUUUGUUAACAUUCUUAGAGUCAAAAUUUUACAUAUUUCUAAUAUAAACCAUAGAAUUAUUAUUUUUAUGCCUAUAGAGAAAGUCAAUAAUGAUAUUUAGAUUCUAUGCCAAAAAGUUAUGCAAUUAAGAAUAGCGAGUAUAUCAAGUUUACAAUUGAAUGCAAAAAGUCUUGGUUCUACAAUUAUGAGGGAUGUAAGAUAAAGUAUGUCAAAGAAUUUUAAUGGAAUAAGAUCAAAGUUUUAAGGAUUUCUUAUCAAAGAUAUUAAUCUUGAAGAAUUUAUGAUAUAAUAUUAAAUUAGAAUGGCUAAACUUGAAGAAUAAAGAUGAUAUAAUAUUAAACUGAAAUGGGUAUUGCGAAAGACAAGAAGAUUAGAAAGAAUUAAAACAAGAUUAAAGAUUAAAAAGGUAUUGACAAGAAUGAAGAAGGCUUCAUUCUUGCCUCCAUAUAUAUUCUUUAACUAAAAGCUACAUAGUAAUAUUCUAUAGGACCUCCAAGAAGUAUCUCACUUAUAGGAUAUAUGAUUUAACUUACAAGGUAAGUUAUCUACAUAUGUGCGACAUAGUUAUCUUUUUCUACAAGCUUUUAAUAUGUAUGCCAUGUGAUUAACUUGUUGACUAAGUUUCUAGCCUAUUAAUUAAUUAUAAAUAUAUAUAAAAUCAAAGUAGUGCCUAUGAAGCUUUUAAGAAGAUUCUUUAAAAAAUAUUAUAAAAUAAAUCUAUUUUUAUCUACUUCUAUUUAAUCAUAUAAAUAAUUAUUAAAAUAAAUAUGUAUGCCAGUGCCAUUAUCUCUCUUUUGAAAAACGAAUUCCACAAAGAGCAGUCAUUAUAUAUUAAAAAUAUCUAAAAUGUGACAAAUUGUAUUUGCAACAUACCUUAAUCAUUGUUUUUUUUAAAGAUGGUUGAUAGGUUUUUUUAGCCAUUGAUAGUGUCUCAUAUCAAGGCGGAAAGACCAUCCUAUUAUUUGAUUUUUGUUUAGGCCUUCAUAACUCCUUUCAAAUAAAACAUUUAAAACAUUGUCAAGAGUCCAUUCUACCACUAAUAAAAUCACCAAAUAUCAAAAAUCUCUUCCAAAGUUGUGAUAUCAAACAUAUUGUAUCUUAUCAUCUAUUCAAGAAAAGAUAUGUUGUUCUUGAGGAUCUUCAUCUUAAUUAUGUUAUCUAAAAGAUUGUGACAGUUGCAAUAUUUCAUCCAAUAACUCAAUAAAUGAUAAUUCUUGAGUUGAAUUUGUUGGUUGUUGAUUUUCUAUCUCUUUAAUAAUUCAAAUACACAAAAGGAACAAAGAAGAUAGAAUGCUUUUCUUGUAUCUUAUUUCUUUUAUAGAAAAGAUUUUCAAUUCUUCAUCUUGAUUUUGAUAGAUGUUGUUGAUGAAAAACUAAAUCUUCUUUGCUGCAUUUGCAAGAUUCUUUAUUAGCUUCCAUGUGCAUUCACUAAUAUCAUAUUCAUGUCAAUGAAUAAGAUAUUCCAAUCUAUUUUUUCAUCUUUGGCAUACAAUCUCGUAUCUCUAAAUUUUUGUAAUACACGACAAACAUGAAAUUCAUGUUUUUUGGUGUUUUUAGAAUAGAUUAGAAUGUGGUCUAAAUAAUAGACAAUAAAAUCAUCAAGAUAUUUACAAAUUUUUUUAUUUAUAAGAUUUUGAAAAGUAGCUAGUACGUUUAAGCGUCCAAAAGGCAUGACAUUAUAUUUGAAACGUCUAUACGUAGUUUGAAAAACAAUCUUCUAUUUAUCUUUUUUUUUAAUGCAGACCAAGUUGUAUGCUUAUUGUAGAUCCAUUUUUGUGUAGAUCUUUGCUUGAUUGAAUUAUUCAAGAAGUACUAAAAUCAAAAGUUAGAAGAUACCUAUUCUUGACGGUGAUUUUGUUAAGUCCUUGAUAAUCUAUGCACAUCUACAAAGUUCUAUUUUUUUCUUUAUAAAUAAGAUAGGAGCUCCAACUAGAGAUUUCAAAUGGCAUAUGAAGUUCUUAGCUAAAUUUUUGUCAAUAUAUUUUUUCAUAUAGCUAAUUCAUUUUGCAAUAAGUUGUGGAUUAAUUUGAAUGGUGGUUGAGCUCCUUCUUGUAAAUUAAUUGUACAAUCAUAGAGUUGGUACUUUGAAAGAAUAUCUAUAUUUUUCUUUUCAAAAAUAUCUUAAAAAUCUUAAUACUGGCUAAAAAUACUACUUGAUAUCUUUCCACCAUCAAAAAUAGGUUUGGCAUAUAUAGCAAAAGAUGAUCCUUCUUUUGCGGCAUGCAAGAAAGCUCUCAUUGAUACUAAUAAAGAUUUGGAUUUGUAAGCAUUAUAUAUUUUUACUUGACUAAAAAGAUUUUGGAUUAAACUACCAAAAAAGUUAAGAUUACAAGAAAUCUAAUCUAUUUGAAGAUUAUAUUUUUCUAACCAUGAUAAUCCUAAAGUAAUCGGAUUAAAAAAAGAUCUUAUUAUGUUUAAUAUUACUAUGCUAUUAUGAUCUUUAAUUUCUACAUCUAAAGGAAUAAUUUCAUAGGUAAUAUUUCCAAUAGACAAAAAAUAACCAUCUAUGUCUUCUAUAUCUACAGAUUUAAGUUUUUUGAUUAAAAAUAUUUCUUGUUUUUUGACAAAAUUGUUAUCUAUGAAAGAAGUUGAGGCUUUUGAAUCUAAUAAUAUAAUAACUUUGUAAUUUUUAGAUCUUAAACAUAUAUCUAUUGUAAAACAAGGUGAGAGAUUUGAAGAGAAAAUAGGACCUUUAUUAGGUGUUAUAUAUGAUUUGAACCACAAGAUCCUUAAUGUAGCAUAAAAAACUCAUUUUUUGACACAUUGUUUUUUUUGGCAAUCAUGCUCUUUAUUUUGUGAUUGCAUUGCUUCUUUGGACAAUAUUGAGCAAUGUACUUAGCUUCUCUAUAAUAUAAGCACAAACCCUCUUGACAACUUUGAGUCUUUUCUUCUGCAUGAGAGGAUUAAAAUGUACCAUAAUAAUUUAUAUUGAUUCUGGCUUUGAUAAAUAAGUUUUUAAAAACUUAAGAUCUGUAAUUUUUAUGUAGUAAUACAAAUGUAUAGUUAAAAAUAAAAAUAUGGAUGCUAUUAUAGAAGAGCCCAGUAGAAAGUUGUAGUAGAAAAAUAAGGAUAAAAGAUAGAAAAGUAAUAAAAGAUUGUCUUAAUAUUUCUUUUUUAUAGAAGAGACAUCUAUUUACUUUAUAGAAGCAUAAAUGAGCCAAAUCAAAGUAAAUGAGGUAAGAAAUUGAUAUAGACAUAUAUAAGAGAGAGUUAACAAUAAGAUAAAAUAAAAAUUACCUCAAAUUACUAAAAAUUAAUACUUAGAGAGGAUCAGUUGUCAACUUGGAUCAAAAUCAUACCUUGAGGCAUAAAACUACAGUCAUACGGCUACUUUAGAGUUCUUUAGUAGAUUAGAGAGUGAAAUUUUAGAAAAAACUUAAAGAAAGUUUUUUGGACAUUGAUAUAAUUUCAAUUCAAUCAAUGUUGAAUUUUUGAGGAAUUUUUAAAGUUGAAGAAGUUCUUCGUUGGUUUAGAUUUUGAAAAAUAAAUAUAUGUUUAUAAAUUUGAGGAUUUCUUGAGUUUAGUAGUGUGUAUAUAGAUAAUUUUUGGGCAGUAUGUUGGUGAUCUAGUUAUGAAUGUUUUUGCAAAUUUUGAAGUCAAUCAAAUGAUUAAAUCGAAGUUUGAAGAUUUUUGUACAUUGAAAUUUCAGAAAUUGGAGUUUGAAGAUUAAUGAAUAUUUCUAAGAUGUUUAGCAAUCUAUUAAUUGGAUUUAAGUAUUUUUUUUUAUUUAUAGAUAUUAGACUUAAAUUGCAAUAUUUCAGGUAAAAUUUGGAAGCAUUCAAUAGUUCAAUAAGGAGAUAUUAGCAUUGGAAGUUCAGCAUUCAAGUUAGAAUAAGAGGCUCCCAACACUUGAUUGAAUUAUCUUGUAUUUCUUUCAAUUGGUAAGUAUAAUUGAUUUCAUCUUUCUUGUGCUUGUUCCUAAUUAUAUUAUUAAGAGUAUAUAAUUUUGAGUUGAUAUCAACAACUUGAUCAUUAGUUGUUGAGGUUCUAUUUUUUUGUAGGAAUUGAUUUAGAGUUUGUAUAUGGUUCAGACAAGGCUUAGAAAUUGGUCUAAGAUUUGAUUAGGAUUAGGAUUUUCUUGAGAUUUGAUUAGAAUUAGGAUUUUUUUGAGAUUUGGUUUAAAACUUGAUUAAAAAUUAAUUAGGAUUUAUACAAAAUUUAUCUAGAAUUUAAGAUAUUAUUAGGAUUUUUUUAGGAUUUGACCAAAGAUUUGAUUAAGUUUCAAUUAGGAUUUUAAUUAAGGUUUGAUUUAGAAAUUGAUUAAGAUUCAAUUAUGAUUUUUAUUUAUAGUAUUUAUUUAUGGUUUUUAUUAUUUCUUUAAAAUUUUCUAUUUUUAAUAUUUUAAAAAGAUUAUUAUUAUUACUUUAAAGGUUUAUUAUUAUAUUUCUUUAAAAUUUUUUAUUAUUUUUUUGAAAUUAGUUUAGGAUUUUUUGUAUUUCUUUUAUAUCUUCUUUUAAAUUUAUUUUUAGUUGGUCAAAAUUAAAUUAGAUUUAUUAAGGUUUACUUAAAUUUUAUUCAAGUUUUUAUUAGAUUUAAUAGGAGUGUUAUUACAUUUCUACUUACCUUCUACACUUAGGUGCCCAAUGCAUUCUCAAGCAAGAAUAGACGUAAUAUGAUACUAUUGUUGUAUUAUAAUUGUUUGUAGUAUAUAAAAAUUAAUUAAAACAUAUAAUAUAUUUAUAAAUUUUGAUGUAUAUUAGAGUGGUUAGAAGGUUAAUUUAAAAAGAAUUGAUAUAAGAAAAUUUAUUUUAAAUUUUACAUAUUUUGAUUAUAAUAUUUAAAUUAUAUAGGAUUUAAAUAUUUAAUAUAAAAUUUGAAGAGAAGAUUGAAGCUCAAAGAUGAAGAUCCAAACCUCUAAAGAACUUAUUUAGAUGGAUGAAAGCAAGAUAUGGAUGGAUGAAGGUAAGUGAUGAAGUUCUUCAUCUCUAUUAGUCGAAAGCCAUGCCUAAUAGGCUCUUAGGAGGUUGUCUACAACCAUAAUAAGGAUUUUGGUGACUUCAAAAGAAACUUUUGAAAAUUAAAAUCAAGGAUUGUAAAUUUUUGGAUUUGAACUAUAAUUUGUGUACAAAGUUUAAAGGAUUUGGAGUUAGAGUGAUAAAAUUAUAGCCGUUUGAAGUUAACUAACUUUUUAAGAUAUACUAUUAAUCUUUUGAAAAUACAAGGAGUUAUAAAAUACCUUUUAGAAAUCAAAUAGUGCAAUUAAAAUCAUGAUUUGAAGAAUUAUGUCUUUUGUGAAAGAAUUUUUGCAUUUGAAAUUUUUAUAAAGGAGUUAUAGAACAUUGAAGAUAAUAUAUAUAAUUCAAAGGUAGUAAGUGAGCCAUUUAAUUGAUAGUAAUGGUUCGAAUCAUAUCUUGAGUUUUUACACAAAUUUUUGACUCAAAAUUUUAAAAAAAAUAUGAUAUUAUGUUAAAAAUCUAUAUAUCAUAAUUUUAUGGUAUUUAACUACUUAAUUUGUGAGAUAUUAAGAAAAUUACAAAUAUGUGUAUAUAAACAAGGAUUUGAAGGUAUUGUUAGGAUUUUGGAAAUAUUUCAAAAUUUGUAAUGAAUUUAUAGAUGAAAUUUGUUAUGAUAGUUGUUGAAAGUAUAUUAGUAUUGCAUAUAAAAUUUUGGUUUAUUUAGACAAUCUAAUUAUGAGAUAUGAGCUAUUGAAGUUUACAAAGAUUUCAUAUUAUGGAUAUAUAUAAGGUUUUAGAAUGUUUUUAUUAUAUUUUAGGUGAUCUUUGGUACUUAGGACUUAUGUAUUGAUGUAAUUGCUGCUAUAGAAAUAAUUUUACAUAUAAACUUGGUAUUUGUUUUUUUAAUCUUAUGACUUGGUUAUAUAAUUAGUGUCAGUCAUAAGCCCAAUGCUUUCUUAAGGAAAAUUCUCUCUAUCCCAACACCCUCAUUACUUAACUUGUUUGUCUUUAGUUGAAUCUUUGUUCUUGAUGACUUUCAAAUAAAUGAUUGUCAUGUACAAUGGCUUGAAAAAUAAAUAUUUUAAAAUUUUUGCUUCCGGCACUAUCAAUAAUAAAUCUUUGAUAUUAUCCUUCAAUCCAAAUCAAAAUUAAUUGAUAAAGGCUUUAUCAUUCUAAUUUAAAUUUCAAGCAAGGUUUUAUAAUUCAACAACAUAUAUAGUAGUUAAUUAUAAUUCUUAUUAUAAAGAUAAGAUUUUGAUCUUUAUUACUCUUUUUUUAUCACUUUCUCCAAAUGUGGCUAUAAAUACUUAUAGAAAUGAAUUCAAAUCACAAAGAAGUUGUGAAUUUUUUUCCAUCAAAGAUACAAAGUAAGAAAGAACACUUAAAGAUAGAAGUGUGCUUAUGAAUCCAACUUGAGUAAAUCCAUCAAGGCAUUAUAAGGAAUGCAAUCUUAGAUAUGACUUGGCUUAUUGUAAAAAUCUUUGAAAUUUUGAUCUUAUUCUAUUAAACUUCUUAGGCAUACUAAACUUUAUUUCCAUCAUAUUUGUAGAAGCAAAACUUCUUAAAUCUGAUUGUAAGGUCGAUCUACUUGUUUAUUUUAAAUACACAACUUCUUGAUGUAGACUUUGAAGUUCAUCUACAGGCAUAGGAUUAAUAUUUUUGUGGUUGGUAUUGGAGAUGCAUGAAAUUUCUACCCUAAAAGUGUUGAUAAGUUUGUAAAGAUUUGUAAUAGUUACAAAUCUAUUUUCACUUCUACCAAGUGUAGCAUCCAUGAUUUUUUUUUAUUUAUUUAUUUCAAACAACUUGAUAAAUCCAUAAGUUAAAUUAAAAGACGAUAAUUUGUAAUCUCUAAUAUCAAAUGAAAAUUUCCACAAAAAAAGAUAAUCUACUCUCUUUAAGGAAAAAAUUAGUGUUAGAAAACUAAAUAGUUUGAUUAAAGGUGGAUAAUUUGCAACCUUCAAAUUACAAUAAUAGAAGUGAAAUAGUCCAUUAACUUUUAAAAUAAGACAAGAAUAAUAAAUUAGCAUUCUUAUCAAACUACCAACGACAUAAAUCUUAAAGAAUUGAAAGAUCAAAGUACUUUUGUAUUAUUCAAAAAGACUAGAUAAUUACUUAAAGAUAAUAUAAUAUUAAACUAGAAUAGCUAUUGCCAAAGACAAAAAGAUUUGAAAGUCUUAAAACAAGACUAAAGUUUAGAAAGGUAUUGAUAAAUAUGAAGAAGGCUUUACUCUCACCUCCAUACAAGCUCUAAUUAGGAGCUAUAUAGUGAUAUUCUAUAGGACCUCCAAUACAUGUUAACUUUGAUAAAUACAUGACUUAACUUACAAGGCAAGUUAUCUAUAUGUGUACCAUAUAAUUAACUGAUUCCAUAAGCUAUUAAUACAUGUAUCACAUGAAUAACUUAUUAAUAAAGUUUUUAGUCUAUCAAUUAACUAAAAAUACGUGAAAAGUCAAAAUAGCAUUUAUGAAGCUUCUAAAAAGGUUUUCUAAAAGAUAUAAUAAAAUAAAUUUAUUUUUACCUACUUCUACUUAAUCAUAUAGAUAAUUAUUGGAAUAAAUAUAUAUGUUUGUGACGUUUCUACAAUAAGUGAAGUUCUACAUAAGAUUGCAUCCUUUCUAAUAUUUUGAUAAAUUUAUUCAAGUUGGAUUCAUAGGUAUAUUUCUAUCUAGGAGUAUUCUUCUUUAGUUUGCACUUAAUGGAAAAUAAUUUAUAAUCCUUUUAUGAUCUGAAUUCAUUCUUAAAAGUCUUUACGACCACAUUUGGAAAAAGUAAUUGAAAAAAAAUAGUAGAUACCAAAUUGUUAUCUUUACAAUAAGUAUUAUAUCCAACUACUAUAUAUGUUGCAAAAUUCCAAAAUCUUUCUUGUAAUAUAGAUUAGAAUAACAAAGGCUUUAUCAAUAAAUUUUAAUAAGAAUUGAAAGAUAAUGUCAAAUUUAUUAUUGACAAUGUUGAGAGCAAAUUCAUUGAAAAAAUUUAGUACUUAAGCUAUUAUAUGCAACAAACUCUUUAAAAGACACUAAAAGUAAAGAUUUGAUUGAAGAUGUAUAAGUUAAGUCAAAGUAAUAACUUUUAAGUUUUUAAAACCUUUGUAAAUUAAUAUGGUUGAAACCUAUGUAAAUUAAUAUGGUACAUUUUAAGAUUCUUAUAGGAUUUAAAAAAAAAAUCAAAAUCAUCAAAAAGGAUUAUACUUAUAAUGUAAAGAAACUAAGCAUACUACUUUACACUAUCCAAAAAAAGCAACAUAAUUAUAAAUUAAAGGAUAAAAUUACUAAAAAAGAUAAUGUAUUAAAAAAUAAGUUUCUUUAGUUACAAUAUGAAUCAUGUGGUUGAAAUCUUGCAUAACAGCUAAUAAAGGUCAUAUUCUCUUCUUAGAUUUUUUUACCUUCUUUUAUAAUAGAAGUUUAUUUAGGACCAAAAAAUCACAAAAUCUUUUUUUUGUUAGAUUUGGAAGCUUCAAUUUAUUUUAUAGACAAAGCCUUUGUUAAAAAAUAAGAAAUAUCUUUAAUUAAGAUUAAUAAAUCCAUGCAUGUAAAAAUCAAAGAUGGUAAUUUUUUAUCCUUUGAAGAUAUUAUCUAUAAAAUUAUUUUUUAAAAUAUAUCAAUUAAAGAUUAUAAUAGCUUAAUAAUAUUUAAUAUGAUUAAUUUUUUUCUAAUUCAAUUAUUUUAGGAUUAUUGUGGCUAUAGAAGUAUAAUCCUCAAAUAGACUAAAUUUUUUUUUAACCUUGAUUUUUUUCAUAGUUUAGUCCAAUUUUUUUUUAUUCAAGUAGAAAUUCAUAAAUUUAAUACAUCCAAAUAUUUAUUGGUAAGUGAAAGAGCUUUCAUAUGUGCUACAAAAAAAAGGUCGAAUUUUUCUAUAUACACUACACUUAUUUUUGAUAGAAAAAAGAUUUCAAGUGGCAUUCCAAAUUGACUUCUUAAGAUAAAUUAUUUCAAAUGAUGGCUUUAUGAUAGAUCCUAAGAAAGUUUAGACUAUUAUGGAUUAAAAGAUUUCAAUAAUAGUCAAAGAUGUGCAAUAUUUUCUGAAAUUUGUUAAUUAUCACUAAAUCUUUAUCAAGAAAUUUUUUCUAAUUGUAACUCCUCUUAUACAUUUGACCUAUAAAGACAAACUUAGAUAGAGUAAAGAAGUUGAAGCAUCUUAUAAAUCCUUGAAUAUAACAUUUAUUUUUGCACCAAUCUUUUAUUAUGUUGAAUUUUUUAAGGUAUUUUUUUUUUAUAUAAAAAUAGAUGCAUUAGACUUUACUUAAGAUGAUAUAUUGUUACAAAUGAGAGCAGAUGACAAACUCCACCGAGUAGCUUUCUAUUCCAAAUUUUUUUAGUAGCCUAGAUCAACUAUCAGAUUCACAAUAAAGAAAUUUUUGUAAUUGUAGAUUAAUUUCAAAAAUAGCAUCAUUAAUUAGAAGAUGCUUCUAGUUUAAUUAUUAUCACAUGUAAAGAAACAAUCAAGCUUUUUUUAGACAAUAUCUAUUGCUAUUAUGGAUUGUUAAAUGAUAUUAUAUUAGAUAAAGGGAUUCAAUUUGUAUUAAGAUUUUAAAGAAUCUUUUUAAAGAUUCUAAAAGUAGAUAUAAAGCUAUCUUUGGCUUUUAAACUUUAAAUUGCUAUAUAAAUAAAGUACAUAAACUAAGUCUUGAAGUAAUAUUUGAGGUGUACCAUCAAGAUAAUUAGGCAAAAAUUUUAUUAUUAUCAAAUUUUACUUAUAAUAAUACAAUAUAUUUUUUUAUAUAAUAUUUUUUUUUUCUAUUUAUGAUUAUCAUCCAUAACUCGAUAUUUUUGAUUUUUUAAAAAUUGAUAAUCCUAUAAUAGAAGUUUUGAAAAAUUAUUUAUUUGAGCUAUGUAUAAGAAUGAAGAUAUAAUUAAAAGAAGCUCAAGAAUAACAAAAGACCAAUGCAAAUACAAAGAACAACCUCAAUUCUACAUUAGCAAGAAGGUAUGGUUAUUUCAAUAUAAUAUCAAAAUUUCUAAGAUUUCUUGCACUCUAUUAGUUGAAUUAGAAUAAAAGUUAUGUAUGUAGGUAGUAGACUUAUUUUUCUAUGUACAUGAGAAAUUUGAGACCAACUUAAUAAUACAAAGGAGAGAUAUUAGCACUAGAAGAUCAACAUUAAGGUUGGAAAAGGAAGCCAGCCAACAUCGAAGCAGAUUUUAGGAUUUUUCUUUUAUUUGGUAAAUGAAAUUGUUCUCAAAUUUUUUGUAUUUGUUUAUUACUAAGAGAUUGAGAGGUGUGUAAAAUUUUAAAUAAGAUCAAAAGUUUAAUCUAAAGAUAUUGAGGUUCUAAACUACCUUAGGAUUUGACUUAGGGUUUAGGAUUUGGUUUAUGAUUUAGAAUAUUGAUAAGAUUUGUUUAGGAUUUAGAUUAAGAUUUAAGAUUUGAUUAGGAUUUGAUUUAGGAUUUAGGAUUUAGGAUUCGAUUAGAGUUUGAUUUAGGAUUUAGGAUUUGGUUAGAAUUUGGUUAGGAUUUAAUUUAGAAUUUGGGAUUUGGUUAGGGUUUGAUUUAAGAUUUAGGAUUUAGUUAGGAUUUGCUUUAGAAUUCAGGGUUUGGUAAGGAUUUGGUUUAGGAUUUAAAAUUUGGUUAAGAUUUGGUUAAUAUUUGAUUUAGAAUUUAAGAUUUGACUAGGAUUUGGUUUAGGAUUUAAGAUUUGGAUAGGAUUUGAUUUAGGAUUAAGAAUUUAAUUAAGGUUUGGUUCAAGGUUUAAGAUUUGUCUAAGAUUUUGUUUAGGGUUUAAAAUUUUUUUAAGAUUUGAUUGAAGUCUAUUAGGGUUUCAACUAAGAUUAAAUGAAAACUUGGUUGAAAUUUAUUUAAGAUAUAUUAUGAUUAUUUUAAUAUUUUUUUAAGACUUCUUAAGGAUUCUUUUAAGUUUCAUUGUAGAUUAUCUUUCAAUUUCUUUAAGAUUUCAUAUUGUUUCUUUUGUAAUUUUUUUAAGAUUACUUUUUGAAUUUGAUUAAAGCUUGUUUGGUAAUGUUAAGAUUUAAUUAAAGUUUAAUUAGUAUUAUAUUAGAACUAAGAUAUUGUUAUUGUAAUUUCUAUUCUACCUUCUACAGAUAGGUGCUUGGUGCACUCUCAAGAAACACUUUAUGUAUUAUGACAUAUUUAAUAAACUUGACAUAAAAAGCUUAAAAUAGAAGAUAUUUGGAAAAUAUCUUAGGUUAUUUGAAUUAAGAAGAAGGAAGGUAAGAGAGUUGAAGGAGGGGCUAUAGGUAGUGCUUCAAUUGGAGCUUUAAAUGGAGGUACUAAUAGAGGAUAAGGUAUGUAUUUUGAUCAUAAUUUUGUAAGCAUGUUUGAAGCUUUUGUCUUAUUCAUGAAAUAGCAAUAGAUUAAAGAGUACAAAUAGGGUUUGGCAAACAAAGAAUUACAAGCAAUUGUGGAUAAGAUUGAUCAAUUUGAAGAGAAGAAUAUUAUAAAGUAUUUAAGGUAUUAUGUAAAAAAAAUGGAAUUGAAGUGUGCUCCAAAAAGGGAGAUGGUUCAAUUAUUUGAAUUGACUACUACAUCAAAGAUAAAAAAAUCAUGUAAGGUCUACUAUAGGAUAUUCUAGAGGUUUAUGGAAAAAAUUAUCUCAAGUAUAAAAGGAUGAAUUUUUCUUGAAAGAUAGUAAUUGAAUUAUAAAGAAAUUAUUUUUUGAAUGGAUUAAAAGGCCAAAGAAGGAUCUUUUAGCAAUAAAAUUAUUAAGAGAGUUUAAAAAGUAAUAUUCUUCUUUAUCAAAGAAAGAAAGAUAAUUAUUAGAUCCAAGUAAAAUAGAGCUCUUUUUUCAAGCAGCUGAUAGACAGUUACAAGAGAAGUUAGAAAUCUUGCUUGAAGAUAAAAAAAAAAAAAAAAAAAAAGAAAAAAAAAAGAAAAAAAAAGAUGAAGAAUUGACAAAAAUAUUGGAAGAAAGUGGAAGAGGUAGUAGGAUUUGUUGGCAAAAAAAGAAAGAAGAAAUGAUAAAGUAGGUAUUCAAAGACCAUUACAAGCAUCUAAGAUAAAAAUAUCUAUUAUCCAUUCAACAUCUCUAAUUCAACUUUCAAUGGCUACAUUAAAAAAAGAAGAAAUAGGCAUCGAUGAAAUCAUACGUAGGAUGAGAGAUUUGCAAAUAAAAUUUGCAGAACUUGAAGAGAAGGGUCAAUCAUCAUGAGUAUCAAAAAGACAAAGAUUAGGGCCAAUAGAAGGUUUAAUGUAUAGGUACAUGUAGUGUGAUAGCACAGAUCAUUCAAGAAGAAAAUAUGAGGAUUUUACAAAGGUGCUAUAUAAAGGUGUUAUUUUUUAAAAGAUGGCAUGAUAUACCUAAAAGAAAGUGGAGAAAAAUUGGAGACAAAUUUUGAUAAAAGAAGAAUGAAGAUAUUUGUGGGAGAUGCUUUUAAAGUGCAUAUAAUCUCAAGCAAUGAAGCAUCAACAUAUUCGAUGGAAGAAAAUCUUAAUAAAUAUUUAAGUAUAAAUCUUGAGCUUCUAGGAAAAUCUAAUUCUUUGUAGAGAAGUGUAAUGAAUUAUGCUGAAAGGAAAAAAUUUACUAGAAAUGAUUUAAAACAUAUUGAUAAUAACAUUUGACAAAUUAUUGAGUGAGACGAUCUAGUAGAUGGUUUAUCUUUGCAUGUUUAUAUUACAAGAAGUCAACAUAAAGCAUUAAUAGAAGAAAAAAAAAUAGAGAGAUGAAAAUAAUGAAGGGCCUUCAAAAAGAACUGUAAGGAGAAAAAAAAGCACAACAACAAAAGAAUCCUAUAUAUGAAGAGAUAAUACAAAAUAUUUCUACAAAAAAAAGAUUUUUUUUUUUAAAAAAAAACAAAGGCUCUUGCUUAUAAAUUACAAUUAGAUAUUGAAGUUGCUACAAAUUUGAAAAAGGUAUUAGAGGAGCGGAUUUUAAGUAGAAAGGUUGAAUUUAUAAUUAGUGAAAUUCUAGGAAUUAUAAAGCAUGAGUUUCAUAAAAUUAUUAUUGAUACAAUAAAGAGAAAAAGAAAAUUUAUAGGAGAUAUUAUGAUAUCAAAUGUACAAAAAAUAAGAACAACGAAAAGCAACAAAGUUGAAUAAGAUGAAAUGCAAAAUUUUGGAGGUAUCUUGCAAGUAAGAUUUAUAGAAAGAAAUGAUAUAAUUCAAGCUUCUAGUCAUUAUUCUUGAAGUCAUUGGGUAUAGGCUACUAUGGAAACUUUGAUAAAAUAAGAAGAUUUAGAAGAAUCAGUUAUAGCAUUGAUUGAUUAUGGUUCUAAAAUCAAUUUGAUGUCAAAAGAAUUAUAUAAUAGGAAAAAAUGGCCUAUUGAUACUAAACAUGGGUAGAUGAUAAGAGCAAUAAAAAAUUCAAAGGGAUAUUUGUAUAGAAAUUGUCCAAAUAUUAAGGUGACAAUAAGAGAUGUUAUUCAUGAACAAAAUUUCUUUAUGCAAGACAUAUCUACAUAUCCUAUUAUAUUGGGACAAUCAUACAUUAUUACCACACAAAUGCAAAUAAAGAUAAUAGAUGAUGGUUAAGCCUAUGCAAGAAUAAGAAGCCAAGAUGGAUUGAAAGCAAUUGAAUUUUUAAUUGUUUAUACUAAUCAUGAGAGAAAUUGUGAUAAGUUAAGAGAGAAGCUAUUAUCAAAUGAGAAAUUUGAAGACCUUGAGGUUUUUUAUUGCACACCAUUGUAAGGCGAGAUUGGAAUGGAUUAGAGAGAGAAAUGCUUCUGCUAAGUUAAAAAGAAGAGAUAUUAACUACUGAACUUAUUGGGAUGAUACAAGAUUGUAUAUUUUCUUUUAAGACUAUUGAAAAGAUGAAAAAGAUGGAUAAAUGUUAUAUUAAAAAUAUUGAAUAAAAUAUGAAAAAAAAUAAAGAAUUGGUUGAAAAUAAAUUUAUUUCAGGAGAAAUUGAAGAAGUAGGUUUUGUUGAUACUAUGGAGGAAUUAAAUUAUUUAUUGCAAUGUGGAUUACAAAGAAAGAAUAGAGUUAUUAAUGUAUGUUUUAAAGAAUCUUAUAAUAAAAUUCAAGGAUUCAUAGAAAAUUUAAGUCAUAAAGACGUACGUAUUGAAACUAAGUAUAAAUCAAUAGCAAAAAAAGUCAAAUCAAUGGCUUUGGUACUACCAUCAAAUUGUGAAGAAAGGAUAAGUGGAGCAUCUACACAACCAAAUUUAAGGGAUCCAAAGAAGAUAGGGCAUGAAUUUAUGAAUGCUACAUUAGAUGAAUUAAAUAUUAGAUGUGAUGGAUUUUUGACAAAAUGUGAAAAAAAAUGUUGUAGGAAUAUGCUUUCACGUCAUCAAAAGGCUUUUAUAUUUGAAGCACAUGAAAUUGGGUGUGUUGAUUCAAGUAUUGUAGCAUCUAUGAUUAUUUUUACUAUUUCUCAUAAACCAUGGAAUUUGUGAUCAAUUUUAGUACUAAGAGCAUAUUUAUCCAAGUUAGUAGAUUUACUCAAUGAAAAGAUAAAAAUAAGAAUUUUGGAACCAUCUAUUAUUCCUUAUUCUAAUUGAUGGUUUAUAAUGCUGAAGAAAAAUGGAACAAUGAAAUUUAUAUAAGAUAUGCAAACUAUGAAUAAAGUGACUAUUAAAAAUAUAGGAUUCAAGCUUGAUUAUAGAUGAAUUUUUAGAAGCAUUUGCUAAAAGAUCAAUUUAUUCAAUGGAAGAUCUUUAUUCAGGAUAUGAUCAAUUUCAAUUGGCAAUGCAAAGUAGAAAUUUGAUAACUAUGAAGACACCAUUAGGAUUGGUUAGAAUAUGUACAUUAACACAAGGAGCUACAAAUUUUGUGGCACAUAUGAUGAAUGGAAUGGAUAAGGUAUUAAGAGAUUUUAUUCCAAAAAUAAAAAUACCUUUCUUAGAUGAUGUAUCAAUCAAAGGAUGUGAAGAAGAAAGAAAGGAUAAGACUUUGGAUUCAAAGAGAUGUAAGAAGUUUGUAGUAGAUUAUAUUGAUGAUUGUGAGAAGAUUUUCAAAAGAUUAAAAGAAGUUUGUUUAAUCUUAUUGGAGGCAAAAUCAAUGUUUGGUAUAAAACAAGUUUUGGUGGUAGAACACACGUGUAGGUCAUAUGGACAAAAGCCAAGUAUGAAAAAAGUUGAUAUUAUUAAAAAGAUGAAAGAAUGUGUAAAUACAAUGGAAGUGAGAAGAUUUUUAAGAGCAUGUAUUUUCUAUCAUACAUAAAUAUCUCAUUUUGUAUAUAUAGCAGAUCCAUUGUAUGAGUUGUUAAAAAAAAAUAAAAAAAAUUAAUAGAAAGAACAACAAAGAAAAGCUAUGGAAAAAUUGAAAGAACUUCUUUCUUCACUUCUAACUUUGAAAAAAAAUAAAUUAUGAAGAUAGAAGGCUAGUGGUAUUAACAAAUGAUGCAAGUUCAAUUGAAAUAGGUUGGAUAUUUGGAUAAGAUGAUGAACAAGGGAAUACAUAUGUAGUAAGGUUUGGAGCAAAGAUUUUGAAUGCUAGAGAAAGGAUAUAUACACAAAUCAAAAAAAAAUUAUGGAGUGUAGUAAUAGCUAUGAAAAAUAAAAAAGAAUACUUGAUUAGAACAUCAAUAAUUGUAGAAACAUAUUGUCUACCUUUAUUGGACAUGAUUACAAAUUGUCUAACUUCUGAUGUUUUUAUGUUAAGGUGGAUAGCAUAUAUCAAAUCUAUGAAUCCAAAAUUUAAAGACAUUGUAGGAAAAGAAAAUUCAAUUGUAGAUAUAUUAUUAAGAGCAAGAUUUUAUGAUGAAGAAGAAAUGAUUGAUUUAAAAGAUGAUGUGGAUACAAAAUUUUGUACUAAUGCAUUAUCAAAAGAAGGUAUAUAUUUGAAUAUACUAUUAAAAAUAUUUUUAAGAGAUUUAUAUGAAGAUGAAUGGAAAGAUGUUGGAAAAUAUUUAAACACAUUAAAAUGACAAGAAGGUUGGAUAGAUUAAGAAUUCAAGAAAAUUUGUAAGAAAACCUAUGGAUAUUUUUACGUGAUGGAUAUUUAUGGAAGCAUCCAAAAAAAAGAGAAGAAGUAUCAAAAAAGGUGAUAUAUGGUUUAGAAGCUAAACAAAAGAUUAUUAAAGAAUUUUAUAAAAGUUUAUAGAUAGAGCAUCGAGGUAUCUGGACAACAUUUAUUAAAUUGAGAGAAAAACAUUGAUAGAAGGAUAUGCACAAAGAAUUAAUUCUAUAAAAUUUGCUAUAUCUUUGAUGCAUAUCCUUCUAUCAAUGUUUACAGAAUUGAUGGUACAGAAUUAGAGAUAUCUAUAAUAAGUAAAUAAAUCAGGAUAUUUAAACAAAGAGAUGAAGAUAUUUGUUUUGAUAAGAAAUAAAAUCCAAUAUAAGAUAUUGUAAUAGAAGUAGAAAAAAAAUUAAAGAUGAAUAAUUUGAACAAGAUAAAGAGCAUUCUACAUCAACAUAUUGAAAAAUCAUAAGUUGUCACGGCCAUAAUCAUGUAAGCUAAUAAUUACAUAUAGAAAUAGGUAGAAGUAAGUAAAAGUAGGUAAAAGUAAGUUAAUUCUAUAAUAUUUAAUAUGGAAGCUCUCUAGAAACUUCCUAGACACUGCUUUGACUUCAUAGGUGUCUUUAAUUGACUUUUUGGAUUAGAAACGUGGUCAACAAGUUGGCCAUGUGCCACACAUGUUGUUAGUUUGCAGAUCAAGCUAACUAUGUGGCCCACACAUAGAAAAACUUGCUUUGUAAGUCAAGGCAUGUGCCCUACAAAGUCAACACAUAUUGAAGGUCCUAUAGAACAUCGCCACAUAGCUCCUAGUUAGAGAGUAUAUAUAGAGACAAGAGUGAAGGCUUCUUCACUCUUGUCAACUCCUUUCUUGCUUCUAGUCUAGUUUCAAGGGUCUUUAGUUUUCUUGUCUUUUGGCAAUAGCCAUUCCAGUUUCUCUUUCAAUAUAUAUACUUGUUUAUAUAUAUUUUGUUACCUCUCUUUGAGUGAAGGCUCACUUGUCUGAAUUAUUUUUUUCAUCGAGUUCUUGUGCUUGACAGAUUGACAAGAGUACACCUACAAUAUCAGAGCUUUGUCUAAUCUUGAUUAAGAGUGGAUUACCCUUUUUUCUUGAUAAGAUCUAAGCGUAUUAGAAGUUGCGGAUUACCCUCUUCUAAACUGAUAUUGUCCUUAGUAUUUUCUUUGUCCGUAAGUCCUCUCUUCUAUUUGUCUUGAGCAAUAUUAGACAUCUUCUCUCUUCUAAGUGUUAUCAUGGCGGAACUUCUUGAAAUGAAGAGUGCAAUGGCACAAAUGUAAGAGCAAUUGAGGGAGUUAAUGCUUGCAAUGCAUCAACUCAAUUUACCACCACAAGGAGCAAUAAGAUUGGCAAGAAGUGAAGAUAUAGAAAUGGUUGGAGCUGCUUCAACAUCUGCAUCAAAUCAUGUCCUUUCUCUUAUGGUGGAACGGCCUUUUAAAUGUUAGAGAACCAAGAAUUACCCUAUCCGAGAAGUUUGAUGGCACAAGAUCCAAGUUUCGAGGAUUUAUCAAUCAAGUGCAACUUGUGAUUGAACUUCAAUCCCAAAGCUAUCCAACUCCAGGAUCACAAGUUAGAUUCAUUGGUGCGCUUCUUUCAAGUUCGGCACUAUCAUGGUUUUCAUCUUUUCUUGAACAACGAGAUCCAAUAUUGGAUAAUCUAGAGGCUUUUUUGGCGGAGUUUCGAUCCAUGUAUGGAGAAUAUGAUGCAAUUCGUGUUGCAACCAAUAAGAUCCGUAUUUUACGACAAGACAAUCGAUCAGUAACGUUAUAUGCUUCACAAUUUUGACAACUUGCAACUGAUACCAAGUGGGAUGAUGCUGCACUUAUUAGCCAAUUUUUCUACGGAUUACAAUAUGAGGUAAAAAAAUUAAUGCUCAACUUACCUGAUCCUCAAAAAUUAAGUCAAGCAAUUGACUUUGCUGUGAAGUGCGACAAUCGUCUUUUUGAAUUUCGAUCUGAGAACCAUACAAGUGGACCUCAAUGUUACUAUAAUUCAAUGGCAACACCAACACCUCUUCAACACAUACAUUCGGAAGUAGAAGAUAUACAAAUUGAUGCAGUACGUUUCAAACCUCUUACUGAGUAAGAAAAGACUCGUCGUUGUCAAGAAGGAUUAUGUUUAUAUUGUGGAGAACCAAAGCACACUGCUCAACAUUGUCCAAAGAAACGACGCAUUUACAAAAUGAAGAGUAUGGCUGUAAAAGAAGAUAAUAUGUCACAAAAUGAGUUUGUCUAGCUACAAUAGGGAUCGUGCGGCUGGAACCUUGCACAACUUCUAGUAUAGGUCCUAUUCUCUCCUCAAAGCCCUCUCCUUGUUUUACAUUAAAUGCUAUUUUAAGACCUAAACAUUACAAAGUCUCUAUCUUGUUAGAUUCAGGAGUCUCAGCGUAUUUUUUACAUGAAGAAUUUACUAAAAGACAUAGCAUAUCUUUAGUAAAGAAAACUAAACCUAUUCAUGUAGAAAUCAUAGAUGGUCGUCCAUUGUCUUCUGGAGAUAUUACUCAUGAAACCCUUCCUAUAGAAGUAAUAAUCAAUGGUCAUAAUAGUUUUGUAGUAUUUAAUAUCAUUAGAUCUCCCUCUAAUCCAGUCAUUUUAGGUUUAUCGUGGUUAGAAAAAUACAACCCUCAAAUAGACUGGAUUUCCUGAACUCUCACUUUCUCUAAAAGUAUAACUAACAAUGUAGUUAAGCAAGUAGAGAGUCAUAAGUCCAGUUCAAUUAAACCCGUAUUUAUAGGUGCAAAAGCUUUCUUGCAUGUUGCUAUGAAAGAAUCACCAUACAUUAUUUAUGCUACACCCAUUUUUACUGGUGAAAAGACUUCAAGUGGCAUUUCAAGCCAAUAUCAAGAAUUUCAAGAUGUAUUUGAAAAAAAAAAUGUGGAUACACUCCCGGAAUAUCGUUCCUAUGAUUGCUCAAUUGACCUUCAAGAAGGAACACCACCGCCAUUUGGACCAAUCUAUAGUUUAUCACAAAAUGAGUUGGCUGAACUGAAGGAGUAUAUUGAAAAAAAUCUAGCCAAGAAUUUCAUACGCCAUUCUAAAUCUCCGACAGGAGCUCCAAUUCUAUUUGUGAAGAAAAAAAAUGGAUCAUUGCGGAUGUGUGUUGAUUAUCGAGGACUUAAUAAGAUUACCAUCAAAAAUAGGUAUCCACUACCUUUAAUAUCCGGACUUCUUGAUCAGCUGAAUCAAGCUAAGAUCUAUACAAAAAUAGAUCUUCGGGGAGCAUACAAUCUAGUACGCAUCAAAAAAGGAGAUGAAUGGAAGACUACGUUUUGAACUAGGUAUGGACAUUUCGAAUACAACGUCAUGCCUUUUGGACUUACAAAUGCACCAGCAGCUUUUCAACAUCUAAUGAAUGAUGUUUUCGAGAGUUUUUGGAUGAUUUUGUGGUAUGUUAUCUAGACAAUAUCUUGAUCUAUUCUAAGAAUCCAAAAGAACAUGAACUUCAUAUUCGUCGUGUGUUACAAAAAUUAAGAGAUGCAGGACUCUAUGCCAAGAUAGAAAAGUGUGUAUUCCACACUACUCAAGUCGAUUUCUUAGGUUACAUCAUUUCAAAUGAUGGACUUAUGAUGGAUCCUAAGAAAGUUCAAACUAUUAUAGACUGGAAGAUCCCAAAAAUGGUAAGAGAUGUCUAAUGUUUAUUGGGAUUUGCCAACUACUAUCGGAUCUUCAUCAAAGACUUCUCUCGAGUUGCAGCUCCACUUACACGUUUGACUUAUAAAGACAAAUUCUAAUGGAAUCAAGAAGCGGAAGUUGCUUUUGAAUCUUUGAAGACAUCGUUUAUUUUUGCACCAAUCUUGUAUCGUGUUGAUUUUUCCAAAGCAUUCUUUAUGAAAACAGAUGCAUCGGACUUUGCUCAGGGUGCGAUUUUAUCACAAGUGGGAACAGAUGACAAACUUCAUCCAAUAGCCUUUCAUUCGAGAAAAUUCUGAGCAGCAGAAAUCAAUUAUGAGAUCCACGACAAAGAACUUCUUGCAAUUGUGGAUUCUUUUUAAGAAUGGCAUCAUUAUCUAGAAGGCGCUUCUAGUCUAGUCACCGUAUAUGUGGAUCACAAGAACCUCAAAUAUUUUAUGUCAACACGCGUAUUAAAUCGUCGCUAAGCUCGUUGGAGCAUGUCUUUAUCAAGAUUCGAGUUCAUCAUCACUUAUCGGCCAAGAAAACAAUAAGGUUUAUCUGAUGCCUUGUCUAGAAAUUCUUAUCUUGUACCAAAAGAAGGAGAUGUAGCUUUUGAGCAACAAAGAACGAUUCUCUUGAAGCCGGAGCAAUUUCAUCUCCAAGCAAUAAAAUCAACAUUGACUGUUGAUUUAACUUUCCUUAAGCAAGUCCAGUUAAGUAUGUCUUCAGACUCUCUUGUUCAUGAUAUCAAGAAUAAUUCUUCUAAAUCUCAUGAUCCAUCUAAAUUUGAAUUCAAGAACAACCUACUCUAUUUCGAAGGACGCCUAUAUGUUCCAGAAGGAGAAGCACGUUUACGUGUUCUUCAAGCUCGUCACGACUUCCCAGCAGCAAGACAUUUCGGAUAUAAUAAGACUUUGGAGCUGAUAUCUAGGGAUUUUUGGUGGCCUCAAAUGUGGAAGGUAGUUAAAGAUUUUGUACAAUCAUGUGAUGUUUGCUCAAGAUCAAAAACUCCUCGUCAUCGAUCUUUUGGACUUCUUCAGCCAUUAUCCAUUCCAAAACAACCAUGGUCUUCUGUUUCUAUGGACUUCAUCACGGAUCUUCAAAUCUCAAGUUCUUAUGACUCUAUAUUCGUGAUAGUAGAUCGUUUUAUCAAGAUGGCACAUUUUGUACCAUGUACAAAAACUAUCAUAGGUGAAGAAACAGCUAAGCUCUUUCUUGACAAUAGCUAUCGCUAUCAUGGAUUACCCAAGGAUAUUAUAUCAGAUAGGAGAACUCAAUUUGUAUCAAGAUUUUGGCGGACUCUUUUCAAGAUUCUUAAAGUAGAUAUAAAACUAUCUUUGACAUUCCAUCCUCAAAUUGAUGGAUAAACGGAGCAUGUUAAUCAAGUUUUGGAGCAAUAUUUAAGAUGUACCAUUAAUUACCAACAAGAUGAUUGGACAACUCUUUUGCCAUUGGCAGAGGUUGCUUACAAUAACACGGUACACUAUUCUACAAAAUAAACACCUUUCUUUAUUAAUUAUGGUUAUCAUCCACGACUUGAUACUUUUGACUUUUCAAAAGUUCAUAAUCCUACUGCGAAAGAUUUGACAAUUCAUUUAUCAGAGCUACAUGCAACGAUGAAGGCGCAGUUAAAAGAGGCUCAAGAACAACAAAAGGCCAAUGCGGAUGUCUAUCGAAAGGAACAACCAUCAUUCGUCUUGGGUGAUAAGGUAUGGCUACUUCGUCACAAUAUCAAGACCACUCGUCCUUGUGACAAAUUGGACUAUCGAAGGCUCGGACCAUUUUCUAUUUCUGCACAAAUCAAUCCAGUUGCAUAUCGUUUAUAUCUACCAGAGUCAAUGAAAAUCCAUCCAAUAUUCCACAUGUCUCUUCUUGAACCAUACAAGACAGUGGACAUACCAAGAAGACGACAAGCUCCACCUCCUUCUAUAGAAGUGGACAAUAAUGAAGAGUUUGAAGUAGAAGAAGUCUUAGAUUCAAGGCGACGCCAAAAUAAAUUAGAAUAUCUUGUCCAUUGGUGCAGAUAUGAUAUUAGUGAACGCACAUGGGAGCCAAUAAAGAAUCUUGCAAAUGCAGCAAAGGCGGUGGAGGCUUUUCAUUGACGAUAUCUAUCAAAAUUAAGAUGAAAACCUUCUUUAUAAAAGAAACAACAUCUAGGCAAGAUAACAUUCUACUUUCAAUUCUUCUUUGUAGUUUCAUUGUAGUAGUGGCACUUAGGAGAUGGAGAACCAACAACCAGCGGAUUCAACUCAAGAGCCUUCAUUUGCUGACCUAUCGGAUGAGACAUUACGAUUGUCACAACCUUCAAGACGACACAAUCGAGAUGAAGAUCUUCAAGAACAACAUGUUCUUCCUCGAAUAGAUGGUGAGAUACAACGCGUUUGGUAUCACGAUUUGGGAAGGGACUCCCAAUGUUUGGUGAUUUUGCUAGAGGUAGGAACAACUCCUGAUGGUGUUCCAAAUAUUCUAUUCGAAGGAAGUUACGAAGGCCUCAACAAUGAUCAAAUAACUGGGUGGUCUUCUCGCAUUGGUAUGGGACACUACCGAUGGUUGAAAGGCCCUAUCAAUCAUCUUUGAAGAGAACAAAGAUCAGAGUAUGUGGCGAAUAUAAUUCAUUGCAUUAUAGAUUUUCUCAACAUAUGAUGACCGCUCCUUGUGGAACUCGUCCCUAGAAAGGGGGGUAAUGUCACGGCCAUAAUCAUGUAAGCUAAUAAUUACAUAUAGAAAUAGGUAGAAGUAAGUAAAAAUAGGUAAAAGUAAGUUAAUUGUAUAAUAUUUAAUAUAGAAGCUCCCUAGAAACUUCCUAGACACUGCUUUGACUUCAUAGGUGUCUUUAAUUGAUUUUUUGGAUUAGAAACGUGGUCAACAAGUUGGCCAUGUGCCACACAUGUUGUUAGCUUGAAGAUCAAGCUAACUAUGUGGCCCACACAUAGAAAAACUUGCUUUGUAAGUCAAGGCAUGUGCCCUACUAAGUCAACACAUAUUGAAGGUCCUAUAGAACAUCGCCACAUAGCUCCUAGUUAGAGAGUAUAUAUAGAGACAAGAGUGAAGGCUUCUUCACUCUUGUCAACUCCUUUCUUGCUUCUAGUCUAGUUUCAAGGGUCUUUAGUUUUCUUGUCUUUUGGCAAUAGCCAUUCCAGUUUCUCUUUCAAUAUAUAUACUUGUUUAUAUAUAUUUUGUUACCUCUCUUUGAGUGAAGGCUCACUUGUCUGAAUUGUUUUUUUCAUCGAGUUCUUGUCCUUGACAUAAGUGCAUGCCGAAGGAUGCAUAGAUUUAAUGGAGGUAGAUGUCAUGAUCUAACAUGGCUAAUAUGUGAAAGAGUGAAGAAAUUAUUAUAUUAUAAAAGAUCUUAGUUAAAAACAUAAUGGCAAAUUAUAUUACAAAUAUAGAUAAUAGUCAAAGGGGUAGUAAAACUAAAAUAUAUCAAUAUUACCUUUUACAAAAUGAACUACUAUUCACUUUUAUAGGACCAUAAAGAAAGAAAAAUAAAUUAAAUUAGAAAAUUAAAUGAUGUAGACAUGUGUAGGAGAGAGUUAAAAGUAGAUUUUAGCAAAAUUUACCUCAAAAAGCCAAGAAUUGAUACCUAAAGAAGAUCGGUUGUCAACUUGGGUCGAAAUCAGACCUUGAAGCACAAAAUUAGACACCUACGGCAACUUCAGGGUUCUUUUGGAGAUCAAAGAGUGGAAUAUGAUAGUAAACUUGAUAAGGUUUCUAUGAGCAUUGGUUUUGUGUGAUUUCAGUUUUUAAUGACUUUAUAAGAUCCUUACAAAGUUAAGAUUGUUUCAAAUGAUUCAAAGUUUUGUGAAAUAAAAGAGGGUUGAUAUUUUAGGCAGUUUCAAGUAUUUUGUAGCAGAUCUAUAAGUGAAAUUUGUCAUAUAUGUGUGUGGAUAGUAGACUUUUUUUUCUACAUAUAUGAGAAAUUUGAGACCAACUUAAUAGUACAAAGGAGAGAUAUUAGCAUUGAAAGAUCAGUAUCAAGGUUGGAGAAAGAGACCAAUCAACAUCUAAGCAGAUUUUAGGAUUUUUCUUCUAUUUGGUGAGUGUAAUCAUCUUCAAAUUUAUUGUACUUGUUUUUUUAUUCAAAGAUUGAGAGGUGUAUAAAAUUUUAAAUAAGAUCAAUAAUUUGAUCUAAAGAUAUUGAGGUUCUAAACUACCUUAAGAUUUAGUUUAGGAUUUAGGAUUUGUUUAGGAUUUGGUUUACGAUUAAAGGUUUGAUUAGGAUUCGAUUUAGGAUUUAAGAUUUGAUUAAAGGUUUGAUUAGGAUUCGAUUUAGGAUUUAAGAUUUGAUUAAGAUUUUAUUUAGGAUUUAAGAUUUGAUUAGGAUUUGAUUUAGGAUUUAGGAUUUGGUUAGGAUUUGAUUAGGAUUUGAUUUAAGAUUUAAGAUUUGAUUAGGAUUUAAUAUUUGAUUAAGAUUUGAUUUAAGAUUUAAGAUUUGCUUAGGAUUUGAUUUAAGAUUUGUUUAAGGUCUGAUUUAGGAUUUAGGAUUUGGUUGAAAUUUGAUUUAAAGUUUAAGGUUUAAGAUUUGGUUAGGAUUUGGUUUAGGAUUUAAAAUUUUAUUAGCAUUUGAUUGAAUUCUAUUAGGAUUUAAAUUAGGAUUAAAUUAGAACUUAAUUGAAAUUUAUUUAAGAUAUAUUGUGCUCAUUUUAAUAUUUUUUUAGAACUUCUUAAGGAUUCUUUUAAGGUUUAUUGUAGAUUAUCUUUCAACUCUUUUAAGAUUUCUUAUUGUUUCUUUUGUAAUUUUUUUAAGAUUUCUUUUUAAAUUUGAUUAAAACUUGUUUAAUAUAAUUAAGAUUUAAUUAGAUUUUAAUUAAUAUUCUAUUAGAAUUAAGAUAUUAUUAUUGUAAUUUCCAUUCUACCUUCUACAAUCAAGUGCUCAGUACACUCUCAAGUAACAUUUCAUGUAUUACGACACCAAGGUCUAUGAAGAUUGAUCAAGUAUUCUACGUGUCUCUUUUUGAACCAUAUAAAAUAGUGAAUAUUUCAAGAAGAAGACAAAUGCCACCUCUUCUUAUUAAAGUGGAUAAUUCAACAAGCUGCAGUUUGAACAAGACAUUGCAAUUAUCACAACCUUCAAGUUGACUUAAUAGAAAUGAAGAUAUUCAAGAAUGACAUAUUCUUCAUCAAAUAGAUGGUGAGAUAUAAUGCAUUUGAUAUCAAGGCCUUAGAGACUUUCAAUGUUUGGUGAUUUUACUAUAGGUAAAAACAACUUUUCAUGAUAUUAUAAAUAUUUUAUUUAAAAGAAGUUACAAAGGCAUAAAAAAUAAUCAAAUAACAAGGUGGUUUUCUUGCCUUGAAAUAAGAAAUUAUCAAUGGUUAAGAGGACCUAUCAACUACCUUCAAAAGAAACAAAGAUUAAAGUAUGUAAAAAAUUUAAAUUAUUACAUCUUGGACUUUAUCAACAUGUAAUCAUUGCUCUUUAUGGAACUCGUUCUUAGAAAGGAGGUAAUGUCAAAAAUAUAAAUAAUUAUUCCGAUAAUUAUUAAUAUGAUUAAAUAGAAGUAAAUAAAAUUAAAUUAAUUAAAUAAUAUUUUAUAAAAAAACUUUCUAGAAGUUUCAUAGAUGUGACUUUGACUUUAUACAUGUUUGUAGUUGAUUGAUAGAUUAGAAACUUAGCUAAUUAGUUAGCAAUGUGUAACAUGUAUUGAUAGCUUAUGGUACAAACUUACAAUAUGGCGCACAUAUAAAAAACUUGCUUUGCAAAUUAAGCCAUGUGUCUUACAAGUUAGAUAUGUAUUGGAGGUCCUAUAGAACAUCACUACAUAGCUCCUAGUUAGAUAGUAUAUAUGGAGGCAAGAGUGAAGCCUUCUUCACUCUUUUCAAUGCCUUUUUAGUCUUUAGUCUUGUUUAAAGACUUUCUGGUCUUCUUGUCUUUAGUAAUAGUUAUUUUAAUUUAAUAUUAUACCAUCUUUGAGUGAUUUUUUAAUCUUUUUGAAUGACACAAGAGUAUAUUGAUCUUUUGGUCAUUUGAGAUUUAUGUCCUUGACACUCUAUCAAAGAAUAUUUUUUAAAAAGAAGUGGUGCAAUUUUUUUUUUAAGCUUUUUUAUUGUGGAUAGCUGUAAGUAGUAGAAGAAGGGUCUAGAAAGCAUAAACCUAGACUAAUUUGCAGCUUCAUAUAAGAUUAGAUAAAUUUUAGGUAAAAUAAUCUAUUAUUAAAUUUUUAUUUUAUGUAUAUUACAUGAUACACUCUGACCUUGAGGUUGUAAUUUUAAUAUAUGGUAUAUAUAUGUUGAAAGUAUGAUAGAAGUUCUGCUAAGAAAUGACAAAUUUUGUAUUUUUAAUGCUUCUUAUGAGACUAUGUUGUUGUUUUCUUAAUUGACAUAUAUAGGAAGAAUUUUUGUUUAUUAUUUAUUAUGAUUUUUCAUUGUUAUAUAUCCAUAAGUAGAAUGAUUAGAAGUGAAAGUGAGAAGAUCCUUCAUUAGGAGGUUUAGAUCUUCUAUGCUUAAUUUUGGAUGAUAAGCAUUCUAGAUCUAUCAAAUUAGUAAUAUUAUUUGCAAAAAAAUAUUACACAAUUAAUUUUUGUUUAAAAUAUAAGUAUGAAGCAUUGAUAUAGUCACAUAGAAACCUUCAAGAAACUAAAAUUACUUUAGGUUUAGGCUACAAACACAUCUCAAAUUACUAUAUGCACACUUAUUUUGUUUAUAUACACAUCCAAGACCUCUAAUUGGUUAAUCCAAAUUCUUUCUUCUUUCUCUUAGUUUAGUCCAUAGGAGGUGAGAAGUAAGAAUUAUGUCCAAACAAAGAGAGAAGGAAGGAAGGGAUUGAUAUCCACGCUAGAACUAAGAAGAAAAAAUAAAAAGUCUAGGUCCGUGUUGGCACAAGAAAGGAGGAAUCUAAAUUAGCCAAUCAGAGGUCAUAAGUAUGUGAAUAGACACAAUGGAUGUACACAUAGCAAUUUGAAGUGUGCUUGUAGCUUGAGCAAUUACUAUAUGGUCUUUAAGUAAGAAUUUAUUGACUAUAUAAACUCCUAGCUAAAAACUUUCAUUAAUCAUUUUCAAAAAUUGUGAACGGCAAUAAUAGGAUACCAAAUCCUUUGUCACAAUCUUAUUACAAUUUUCUUGUAUAUUUUAUCCUUAAAAAUACACAUUUAGAUUGCUAUAGCAUUGGAGAAUUUUGAGAUUAUACAAAAUAAAAAUUAAAAAGAACAAAAUGCAUGUCUAAAGUAAUUAAAAUACAAUGUUGAAAAAGUCAUUGUUUAUCAAAUUGGUCUUGUUGGAUAUUGUUUUUUUGAUGUAAUAGAAGUAGAUAUGGUGAGUUGCAAAUGGAUAUUAAUUGAACAAGACUUAGUGUGAAGAAAGUGAAAAAAGGUGGUGUAAACAAGUACAACAACAACUUUGCCAAAAUAAAUUGGAAGAUGUAGAAGGAGAAACAAGCAAAAAAUGAAAUAGAAUCCAUCAAAUAUUUUCUUGUAAGUAGUUACAUUCAUGUUUUAAAUUUAAAAUAUUUCAACUUUAUAAUUUAUAAUUUAAAAUAUUUAAAAUAAGGAGGGAUAUGUCAAAGCACAUUAGCUAUGUUCUUAAGAUGAUAUAAACCAAUCUCUCAAAUGUGUAUUAAAUGAGGACCAUUACUAAUAUCAACAUUGAUCUAAAAAAGAUAGUAGAACUUAUAUAAUUUGGAAAUUUUAAAGUUUGACUCCAUAUUAUUUUCAUAUAUUUAGACCUAAAGUAAUAAAAUUUAAUUUUUCAUAAAAAUUUUAAAACACCAUUAUUUAAUAUAAAUUUAUUAUUUAUAUCUUAUACCUAUUUUAAUUUACUAUUAUAUAGAUUAAUAAAUAGAAUAUUCAUAGACUUUGAAUUAUUUAAUUAUAUAUCAUUUAGUUUUUUUUUUUAAUCUAAAAAAAAAAUAAUAUAGUUUAAUUUUGAUUUGAUUUUUAAUAUGAUGAUCUUUUAGAUUUAUUUGAAAUAUUCAAAAUUAAUUCUUAAACCAUUAUGUAAUUUAUGUAGUUAUAUAGUUAAUAUUAUAAUAAAAAAUAAAACGUGUUUUACUCCAAAAAAGCAAUGGUGCUUCUAUCACUAUAUUAAUGAGUCAAAAUGCCUGAUAAAAUAAAACAAUGUAUCAAUUUUGAUAAGGUGAGGCAAAAGCCUCUUAUGGCAAUGUGUAAAUUAGAGAUGCAUGAGAAGGCACUGUCUUGGCUUCUAAGAUUUGCAAGUCUGUUGGAGUUUUUUAACUUGUUUUAGAUAUUUUAGCCAAUUCUAACAUUUGAAUAAAUAUUUGUAAGAUUAAAUCAGUAAUAAUAUAAUCACAACCUGAUCAAUAACAAGCCGUGAAACCUUUGUUGAAUAGAAUUUUUGAGCUUGUAUAGCAUGUAUAAAAACAAGUAAUAUUUGAUAAAAAUCAUUAUUUGAUGAUAUUAUCAAUAAAAUUUACAGCAAUUAGACUAAGUAUAAUUAAAAUAUUAUCGAACAAAUCUUAGAUAUGAAUAAAGAAUUGGUGUGAUUACAAAGUAUAUACAUAUAAAAUUUGGCAUACAUAAUGUGUAUGCAUAUGAUAUAUUGUAGAAUUACUAGUUCAAAAAUCAAAAAUCAAAAAAUCAAAAAAAAAAAAAAACACUUUAAAAAAAAAACACUUUAAAAAAUGUAUUUUUUGUUUAACACAUGUAUUAAAGAAAAAUUAAAGAACUAAAAAGUGACACUGGCAAGAAGUAAGAAAAAAAGUCUAAAAAAAUGCAAAAAAACUAACAAAAUCUAAUGUGAUCAAAGGAAGCUUCUCACCUCAAAAGUUGAAAACACUAAUUGAAAGGAACAUGGAAAUGAGGUAUCAGAAUGAAGAACCAGAGUUCAGUGCCAUCAUUUAACCAAAAUGCUGAUGAACAAGAGAACUUACGAAUGCAUGAGGUAGGAUACCCCUGGGGGUUGAAAUGGGCCAUAGUGAGGGAGUUGCAUGAGGUGAUCACUUGUACCACUUGGCAAAUCCAUGAGGUUCCUCAGGUCCUGAGUCACACCAAGUCGUCUGUUGAGCUGUCUGCUGAUACGGUGAGUUUCUCGAAUGGCUGGACACAUUGGACACCUGUGCUGCUCAGUCAGUACCAAGCGUUACGUAAGCAAUGAAACAAUAAGUAAAAGAGUUAGAGUUUCGUUUCAGAACGAGAGGUAAAUUAUACACCCACAUCUGCAAAAGUCACAGGAAUACAAUGCUGGUAUAAUGAAUGAUACAACAUUUACAGUUCAAUGUCGCAUCCUGAAACUACAUCUGCAAACACCGAUAUGCACACCUCGCUUCUUAUUACGAAGGAGCCCAACUAAUAUACACACUUUCACUAGUGUAAGUAAAUAUCGCAAAUGAAUGACGCAAGAAUACCCCGUGAGUGGGAAGCCUAGUUAAUAGGAACCUCGCCCUUCCAUUCUAAAACAGCAAUGUGAUAUAUUGGCAAAGGGCUUAUCCAAUCCCUGCAUGACUCACGGUGCAUGUAUCCACCACUGCUGCUCUUGGUGAAACAUCAGUUCAAGUUUUCAGCCUUGAAUAAUAUCUGUAGCCGUGGUCAGGCUGAGAAAAUGCUUGUCAUGCUUGUAAAUCGUAUUGAAUGCCCACUCAUCAAGUCAUAGUAGGAGACGUGUACCAAAUCAAAAUCAUACUACAUAAGAGGGAUGUAGGUGCCGCCAUGGCCUUUUCGUAGGAUUAAGGGCCCUGCAGAAUCUGGCACCUUAUCUAGGGCUUGCAUGCCAGCAUCAACAAUAUCAGAGAACCCAGUCGCAACGGUGGCCAGCUGAACACGCGACUUAAUAUCUCGGACAAGUUUUAAUAAAAACCUCAUGGACUUGGCCAAAUAUGUCGAGCCACCUGGAGGAGCUCCACCUGAAGUAAGCCAUUUAGUAUAAUGAUCCAAGUGAUCUCCUCGUGCAGAGACCUCCGCACGAUAGAACCGGGCCAAUUCCAUAAGGAGGGUGAAUGGAAGGGGGAGAGACGCAACAAAGUCUGAUAAAUAUUGAUCGAUACGACCUGACUGUAACAUCUGAUUCCAUAAUACAGGCACCCAUUCUUCUGUUUGAUUGAGAUCAUAGGCCUCGGCCACAAUAAGAGCCUCUUGAAAGCGGGGCUGUUCGACCAGCCGACGCCUUGCAUUUGUUUCCGACAAAUUAAGCCACGUUAGCUCCGGGAUUCGUAAUUGAAGAGAUAUGAGUGACGCUUGUGCACAACACAUACUGGUAUUCCUGCCUGCGAACACCGAGUCUUUAGGGUAAGUACAAGUGAGUCAGGUGAAACCAACAUACUGCAAUUUUUCAGUUAUGCAAAUGUUCGGCGCUUUAAGGACUAGUAUGCAUACCAGCAGAAAUAUUUGAAAAUGCUUCCGCUGCCUCCACGUACAAGCGCAUUGAUUCCAGCACAUCUUCACAAUGUUCAGGGUCAGUAUGGUCUACCCAUUUCUCCACAGAUUUUCGUGCCCGCAUAAGUAAUAAAAUAGCCAUUUCCUGCGGCAUAUUGAAAUGAUUGUACACCUGUAUUUCACACUCGGCAGAUCCAUCCCAUAGUUGUUAAUAAAAAGAACUUGUCAAUGCGGCUUGAAAAGGAAUAUGUACACAUGCUGCUCAAAUCCACCAGAACCAAAUCCAUUAAAACCAGAACCCAUGCGUAAUCAUACUUUAAGUCCACACACCAAAUACGUUAAAAAGAAACCAAUAUUUACAGAGGUCCUUGCCAAGCAACCACUUGUCAGAUCGGGCACACACCUGUAUCAAGGCAUCCUGGUCAUUGACAUUAAAGCGCUUGAGGGCUGAAAGUACAGCCAUACAGAAUCCACGAACAGAAAGUGGUGAAGUUUCUAUUGCUGGAUCAAAGAAUGGUUUCUUCUGAAGAAGAAGUUGCAAAGAACCAUGCUCGAUUAAGACAUCCAGUAUGAAGCGGAGUCUGUGAAAGUUGCUGAUACCCGUGACAAGUCGUGCAAGAAGAGCAAAUUCGCCCUCCAUAACAUAUAAAUCCACACGUGCGGAAACCAAGGAAACUAAUACAUCAAUCCCGUCUAAGCAUGCAGAUAUUUCAUAGUAAUGAUGCGCCAAGAUGAUAAGCUCCACCUGCACCAUAAUUCACCCGGCUUAUGAAAAUCUCGAACAAUCCUUCUUCACCAAUUUAACUUCAACAUUGAAUGUGAUGAAUGGCAACGUAAUUUAGAACAUCGAUCUUUGACCAAAACUCUCCAUGCCAACAUUAACACAUGAGGACGAGCUAUUUCAUGAUGUGCUUGAGUAACUGAAUAGGUCAGACGUUCCAGAUACCUCGCACGAAUGUGGGAUUUCACGGCCACUGAUGACCAAACGCAUUAGUGCAUGUCCAACUUCAGGUUCAACUGGACACAGCUGAGCCCAUAAUUUGAAAUCAGAGGACCUCCACAGCAGCGGCGCCGGACCUUCUUCUCUGUAUGAAGACUCCAUAAAACCUCCACGAUGCGCUGCUAAAAGUCCCUGAAAGUCACAAAAUCAAAAAGUCUAUUAAGCAGCUUGCACACGUUAGAAGAUUCUUCAUAAAAAAUCAACAAACGGGUAAAAUACAGAGAAUUUGGAGUUAUCCAGACGUUACCUUCAAGUAGGAUUCAGCUAGGAUCCUUGCAAUGGCUGGUGCUUGUAUUACGUGAGUGUCUACCAGCAACUUAGCCUGAGGAAGUGCUUCUUUUCCCUUAAGUGAGAGUAGUUGCAGUAGUUGGGGAGGCGUCUUUGAAGUUGCUUCUGUAUAGGAGAGACCCAAGAAAUGUCCGAUUUGAGCCACUGCAGCAAUUCUUUGGCAAUGACCACGUCCACAACCCUCUGGACAGGCAUUUGUCAAUACCUUCAACACCUGCAUUGUCACCAAAAUCGAAGUCAUUUAAACCUUGAGUAUCAAAUUCCACACCACAUUAAAAUCUAUCGUUCAUGCAAAGAGUAGAACAGCAAUUAGUCGAAAUGAAGGGAAGUAUAUACCUGCAUGGAAGUAACUGAAUCAGAAGUUUCAAAGAUACCAGAGGAACGAAGACAUUCUACCACUGUUGGAUGAAGGAAUGCAGGAACAGAACCCUUUGCUGUAGGCACAGACACAGUUGCAAUCUUCUGAGCAGCUUCAACAAGAAGAAGCUCCAGAGGAACAUGUGUAGGAGCCAGCUUCAACUGCAACUGUCUGGCUGCAGUAAUCUGGCCAACUUCCACCAGAGCUAAAACUGCUCUUUCAACUUCUCCUUCUCCAACUCGUUCUUCCCACCCUCUUGUUUCAACAUCGCGCAUUGGAGCAUGGUCCUCUGAAAGGUUCAUCUGGCCGUCGUUAAUUUGUGGGUCUCUAAUCCGAUCUUCGUCAACUGGAAGGCUGAGAUGCCUGCUAAGAAUCUCUCGAUCCUCGCCGCUGUUAGAGCGAUUGAUACUUUCACGUCGAUCAAAACUAUGAUGACGAUCAAUGCUAAUUCUUCGACUUUCUUCUGGAGAGCUAGGAGAACCAUCUUCCGUAUUGUCCAUUUGUGAACGUCUUAACUGCUUGCUUCUACGUUUCAUCCUUGCAACUGACCCACCCUGCGAGCUGCUAAUCUCCCCAAUUUGAAUGCUUCGAGAACGAGACAACGCACGAUCAUUCUCUUCGGCUACAAUAUCAGCUUGAGACCUCGUAUUGAACCUUCUCAAAUGACUGUCAACAGCUGCAACAGCGUUUGCUGUACGGUCGACAGGAUUUCCAGAAUCAAGUUCUCCAUUCCGAAGUCCAACGGUGCUAAACACUCCAGACCGCCCCAACAGAAUAGUUUCCUGAUCUCGACCAGCUUGUGCCUCCACUUCAGCUUCAACUGCAAGAAGCCAUAUUCGAAUCUCUAGCUCAUGCAACAAAUGCAACGGAUAGACUCUGCCAGGAAAACAGCUGCAUGUAAGCAUUCUUGAUCAUGGUUUCGGAUCCCACAGAACUCAAAUUUUAAAAUUAGAUAUCAACAAUUGUGAUCAAGUGAAACAUCAAAGUGAAAUAAGAAGCACAAUACCCCACAGCUUAACAGGUAUAACAUUUUCAUGUAACGUUCCCUCUCUCACCUUCCAACAAGAAAAAGACAAGAUGCAGAAAUAAACGCAUGCUCUUAAACCACAUGAAGGAGAAGAAAGGAGGAUAUUUACGGAGAGGAAUUAUUGAACGAGCCACUAAGCCACUGGAGGGCUAGCAAGAGAAUACUAUGUAGUUCUGUGGUUGGAACCUGCCCUUCUACUGCAUUCGCAUGUUUCAAGUAGAACAAACCUGCCUGUGUUCACGAUGCCAACCGUUUCCAUCAGUUCUGAUCAAUGCACAUCGUAUGUGGAAUUCAAAUGCUUAUAAAUCAUACUGAGUUUUAUACUCCAAGAUGUAACAUUAGUGACAGUGCAUGCUAAAUUGAUAAAGCACUAACCUGCAACGGAGGAUAUGAGUGCCUCAUGAAAAGUGCUUGACAAUGACCCCAAAGAGCAGCAUGUUCCUCUGGCACAUCCCACAGCAACUCUUUCCACUCCUCUACCAUUGCUUCUGCCUGUCAUGAGAGCAAAAAUAAAUCUUAAAAGCGAGCCAUUGUAGUGACAGAGUACAAAUGAUAGUGACUUUAUGAAAAAAUUUAGAUACAAGACAAAAGGAAUUCAAGUAAACUCCACCCAGUAUUUCGAGGAGCCAGAGAAUGGAAGGUGCAAAUUAUCUACUCGAUGGAAUCAAUACUUCAGCAGGAACAUUGGGUGCGGUAAAAAUGGUUCAGGAAUUGUGUCCUACAAACACAGUACCAAAAUCUAUUGAAUAUUCUGCUUUUGGUUAAGGUACUAACUUGAGUCUCAGUUACAUGAUGAAGAGCAGAGCUGGUGCGUUGUGAGCUGAGAUCCAGCUGUCCCGCCCAACUCCGGGCUUCCUCCCACUGACCAUUCUUCUCCAACUCCUGAAGCAAUACAUCAUCCUCAAGAUCCUUUGCAUUAGCCAACAAGCCUGAUCCAGAACGUAAAUCUGGCUCUGCCAAUUGCAUCUUCCAAUAUAAUUUGCGGAAUCGAAUGGCUGCUAAGCCACCAUCCCCAAAAUCUGCGGCUGAAAGUAGUUGCAAAAGGCAACGGCGCUCAUACGAAGAUGGGCAUGCAUCUAACAUGGCAUCUGCAGCUGCCACAGCCGCUGCUGUAAUCCAUACUGUGUUACCCUUCGUAUUUCUAGAAUACUGGCUAUGCUGCUUGCGAUAAUCCUCUUUAAGGCAGUGUGAGAAAGAUGCCAAAUGAGCCCCCGCUUCAGAAAUACGCAUUUGAGCAAAAGCCUACGUUGGCCCAAAAUUCACCAUACGAUUUGGUUAGAUAGAACGUACGUGGUUAUUUUACAUCUCAGUACAUGGUCUGCAUAGAUAACCCAGUAACUCAUAUCACCAGACAUUCUUAUCAUCCAAUUCUCCGGAAUGAAUAGCAGAGAAGGGUUUCAUUUUAAUAAACUAUUCACUUGGUUGGAUGAAACCCUUAAUAAACACAUGGGAUGUACUAAUUUCAUUGUAAUAUGCACAGAGAGUUACGUUUGAAAUCUUGAGGAUGAAAAACAUUUCCUCAAAAAAAAACUGAUUUACUAAUACAUCCAGAGAAAUCUUAAUAAAUGAACAAUAUUUUGAACUGACCUGUAAGAAUCGAAUAAAUGGCAAAAGCGGUGAUGUAGGUGUAAACAACUCAAACGCUCGAAGCAAGGGAACAAAACGUUGCUGCUCGCACAGAACAGCCACCAUGGCUGCCAAAGACUCCUGUUCUUCAGCUGCGGUUGACCCAAAGGAGUUGAUUACCUUAUCCUUCUGUCUAGCACCAACCUCAUUUACCAACUUGGUAGUAUGUCUAAGGGUUGCCUCCCGAGGACCUAUUUCAGCAGCGGGUUUCUUGACUUCUUUCGCUGCUACUAUAUCAUUUGAUGAUGACACGCAACACUGCCUCUUUGGGUUUCUCCGGUCAAAUCCGACUGCGCAGGUACUGUUUUCAAGCUGAGCAUUUGUUGAUUCCACAGCAGCUCCCACAGGAGCAGAAACUUGAGUGAAAACAUCUUUCACCCGGAUUGCAGAAGUUUCCCUGACAGAUACAAUACGCGUUAAGUUUUGAAUGUAGACCAACAUCAAUCAAUCCACUCGCUCACAAAAGAAACUCCAAAUAAUCCAAAUACUGCUGCUCAUUUCAUUACAAUGCAUAUGAGUCCCUGCUUCAUGUUAUGAAAUACAUGGAAUGUUUUCAGUGGGGUUUCGAGACGGCAAAAUUUCUAAAAAAUAACUAUAAUAAUAAAAUCAGAUGAAGAUGUAAAGAAACAAGCAAAAACUGCGCUUUUGAACAGACCUGGCAGCUGUUAAUUCCAGCCAUGUAGUCAGGCAUGAUAAGGGUGUCACAUCAGUAAAACACGACGCCACAAUAGCGAGCAGUGGCCAUCGCAAAACUUUGGCUCUGCACAAGAGUUCUCGACCUGCUUGUUUUUUUGUCUCACACUCUGCUAAGAUGAAAAAUAACUCUCGUGGCGCAUCACUCUCAAAAGUAGCCAGCGUUUCACCUGCAAAACCUGCUAAAAAUUUAACCUAUCCAAGUCGAAUACAUUCCAGGCCAUUGAACAAUUAAAUAAUGGGCAACAUUUUCUAAUGCUUGAAAGACACCACACUACGGAAACAAGAACAUCCAAACCAUCCAUAGUUGAGAAUAAGAACCCUAAGAGUGUCACAUGGACCCACGUAUGUUUGGACAAAAACCUGAUGAAAAGUGCGAAACGUUUCCAUAAGUUGUUGGUGGUUUUGGUGAAGCCGUAGGUAGGCAUUUUAGCACAGUCAAGAUGUGGCUGCGAAGACGCAAAUCUACGAAUUCUUUGGAUGCCUGCCCAUGAUAAAUGAAAUAGCAAGUCGGACGCUUAUGAAACAAAGAUAAAAAGAAAAAAGAAAAAAAAUCAGACAUGGAAAUCACAGAUCUAAAGAUUAGUCAAUAUAGGAUUGGAUCUCAGAGGCGAGGUCCAUCCAUCACAGAAAGAACUUAGACUAUGUGAGCAAGCAAAUGGAUUGAAAAGCCAUUUAACAUUGACAUGAGCCUGGCAAGUUGAAGAGAACUUACCACAUCAACAAGGAUAUCUAGGGGGCAACUUUCAAUCUGAGCCUCUGCUAAAAAUCCGACCUGUCAAACCAAAAACAAUGUUACUCAGUCUCGCUCUUUUGCAAUCGCUAAGCAGGUGUUACUUAAGAACAGUCCCACGCAUACAUGGCAUGAAGAGUGUAUCUCGUGAAAGGCAAGUAAAAACGUGAUUACCCAAUCAUUGUAUCUGGCUAUUGUUGCCAGAUAAGUUGUACUCAGAGGAAGCUGAUGUCCACGACAGAAAGCUGUCACAAGACUCCACCGUGAACUCAUCGAUCGUUGCACAGUUCUUAACUCAGCACCAUCACCAACUCCAUUCAUGAGCCAAGCUCCGGCAUUGCUCUCUAGCUUCUUUAGGCCAUCGUGAUUCAAACUAGACUUCUCAAGUAGCCGCAAAAUAGCCAUCAACGGCUCUCGAGGCCUUGUAUUCGCCACUACUUUGCCGUUAAGUAUUCCGAUGCCGGCAUUAGUGUACUCCUCUGCAAGCCCUUCAACUAGAGAUCUCAUCAAAACAGCUCUAGCAUAUUCAUUAGCUGCAAUUUCCUGCGAUCCUAGAUUCAGGCUACCGUCCUUAUGCUCUUGGUCUCUAAUGUAGAAGGAUAUACGACUAAGAACUGCAACAUCCACUUGCAGGAGUUGUGCUGAAAGGCCACAAAGCUCUAUGAAAGUUACACAAGCGGCCACCACAUUGAUGUUCUCAAAACUUGUGAUAGCUAGAGGGAGUACCUGCGAGUAUUACUUCAGGUCAGACACUAGAGAAACCACUUCUAUGAAACAAAAUACGAGAAUAAACCAUGGCAUAUAGGAAUCCAACAUCAAGUAUACGACUUCGGUAAGAUGAUCAACAGAAUGUUGAUUAGACUGAAGUUCUACUCUCCCUGUCCGGACUAAAAAGACAUUAACAUGCAAGAUUUUAUGCAUAUACAUAAGAAGUCUAGCAAUUCAAUGGCAUAAGGUUGCGAAAAAAAAUAACGUACCGAAGAAAUAAUGGAUUCUUCAGUUUCCGUUAGAUUUGAUAAAAGGUUUUGAGGGUCAUAAAAGGAUUGCCGAUCUAGUUGUAAGUUGAAGGAGCCUGAGUUAUGCAGCCGCGUGGAAAGAAGCGAGUUGAAUGCUGCAAGAGGACGACCCCUUCGAAGAUGAAGCUCAGCCUCCAUACCAGCCUCCUACGCGCCAAGAAAAGAAAACACCACAUUAAUAAGUUUUAAAAAAUUAUAUUAAUUUUGAAGAAGCUGUGCUUACACAUACAUCAGCUUUCAAGCGCAAAAAUAGUUCUGCUCAAACUUCGACAACGAAAAAACAUACGUUCGCCGUGAAGUGUCAAAAGAUAACCAUUUUUUAUAUACCUCAGCAAGGCUAUAAAAAGAAACAUCUUGUUUCAUUGACUUGAAUGCGGGACUUAGAAUCCUAAUAAUUUGUAUGAAGUAAACUUUUUCAAUGACGGGGCGUUCAACCGCAAAAUGUGCUACAAAAUAUCCAAAACUAGAACUAUCAGGAUAUCAAAACCUUUCUUAUAAGCACAACAAAGCCCAAUGUUUAUCAAGUUCAUUAUAAACCCAUACAAUUCGUCAAGAUAAACGCAAACUGACCUCCGGAGAAACAGCGUGUAACUCUCCCUUAAUAGUCAUCUGUGUAGAUUCUUCCCAAUUUGAAACGGUGGCUUCUUCCACCUCCAUACCUACUCUUCGAGCUGCAUGCUCUCUAGGGCCCGUGUCUGGCACGGAUCCAAGUGUUGUAUCAUUUCCUUGUGAAAUAGCCACAUGACUUUUUCCAACAGCUCCCUGAUUUCAAUGGAAGAAGCAAUUCAUAGAUAACAUUUAUCAGCGUGACACUACUGGUAAAGACUUUCAAAAUUGCAGUAGAAUUGUUAUUCAAACUAAGCUUAUCUAAAAAUAAGCGAAAUAAGGAAUAGACUAAGAUCACAGCGUCAGCUCAAACAUUAAGAACAGAGACCUGAAUAGCAAGUUGGAGGAGACGGCGGACACUUGUUGGUAGCCAACGGGGCAAUAAUUCUCUCAAUGACGUAUCGUCCGCUGCAGAUCUGAACAUAGAUUCUCGCCAUUCCAAGUAACCAGACAAACCCUUCAUACUUCUUCCUUCACGUUCAUCAAAUAAAGUUUGAAUCAGAAGAAGAAAAGGAUACAAGCUAAACUGCAUGCAAUCAUCUCACCUCGAGGAUAAGAAAUUUAGAAAUAAGCAGGCAGAUAUGCCAUCCUAUGUUCUUGUGAACUUAAUGACUACCAUUAAUUGACUGUAUACCUGUUUUGGGUCCAAGAGGCCGAACAAAACUCCAUGCAUCGUGUCCAUAACAUGCAGCGAAGAGGGUGUGGUACAGAGUAGGAAAUUUUUGAAGCCCAGGUUGAAGAUCCACCAUCAAACACUGCCAUGGGCGGAGGUCCUCCCUGUUGACACUGUCCAAUACUAAGCACUUCUGAAUAGGCAAGGGUCCAUACAUAAAGGUUGCAACUGCAAAUAUUUCUCUAUUCUGCAACAAACUGCUUUCCCCCAUCAUAGAUUUUAAUCCGCCGCCAUCUCCUGACCCAUGGCCAGAGGUUAAAUCUUUUCCAGAGACAGUAAAAGCAUUCGCAACAGAAGCAUCGUACUCCCGUCCUUUCAAGCGUGAAAGAAGGAGCCACUGUGCCCAGUUGCAAUUCCCCUGCACUCAAGUGGGUGCACUAUCAGAUGAACAUUAACUAUUUUUAAAGAAAAUGACAUAUUCUAGAUGUCGUCUGCCACUUGAUUGCAUUUGACUAACGGGUAUAAGUAAGAAAAUAGAAAGUUCAAGAACAUCAAGCAGAGAUUGAAAUUAGGGUAUUACCACAACAGAUUGCAUAUCAGCCACGGACCCUUUAACGAGAGCUAGGGAGUGGUAAUUCAGAUAUCGCUCCAAGAGAUUGGUAAGUGAGUACUUCACACAAUGCCGAACCACAAGUUCAUGCAGUGCUUUAACAGUGUCUUUGUGAACAGUUUCCUUCCUAGGGACCCCAAUCAAAGAUGAUGGUUGUUUACUAGUGGUGCCGGAUGACUUUCCAGAACCACGUUGGAAAAGAAAUCCGGCAGAUGCUAUCAACGACACAAGUUCAGAAGUUCCUUGCCAAUGUGUGCGUAAGAAUAUCUGGCUUCUGGCAAGCUUCACUUCCAUCAUGUGCCAUAACCAAGCACUGCACAUGGACCGCAUGUUGAUACUCAAAAUAUGCACCUUAGGUAUGCAGCACAUUAUUUCUUCACAAUGUUGUGCUCUUGGUGAUUGCUCAUCAGAUAAAUCUAGAUCCGGAUGUUUGCAUUCAUCGUGCAGAUAUUCAACGUCCUCAUCUGUAUCAAGAUGCACUCGUAGUUCGUCAUCGUCAAGAACAGAAUGAGGGAUGUCGUCUAGUAAGGCCGAGACCUGGGACCAGUCGUUGUGUACAACAUGGUAUUCCAGCUGAGCACCCCAAGAUCUAUGUUCUUCAGUGACAAGUGAUUGAUCCAAUAUUACCUGCAAAAACGCCUCCCACAUUCUCAGAGAAAACCCUGUGUAAAGGAAAAAUGACUACGUAUUAACGACAUUCAUUCGCCAAUGAUGUAACUAAGAAAAUUUUAUAAAAAAGAUAGUUAUACAACCAACGCAGAGUGAAACCCACCAGAAUGCAUCUUCUGAGAAAUUGAAUACGCAAACUUUAUAAGCAUCCCAGAGCGUUCGAGCCAUUUAAAAAGGAGAUAACACUUACCCGGUCUACAGUCACCUCGUCCCAAGCGUGCAACCACACAGCAGCCGUUACCAGGUACCCCGCAGCUGGGUUUGCUUGAUUCCCAUCUGCACCAUCUGAAACUUCAGGAGGAGCUGCAUAAUUCCACGACCCCAGGACCACUCCAUCUACCUCCCCACACCGUAGGAUAAAUGGGCUAACCAAUCCACUGCCGCACCUUAAUUGUAAUGAUUGAUCAUCGUCUUCAUUUGACGAAGGCACCUCUACAGUAUGGCUAGAAGAUUUUAUCUUCUUACUGCGGUACGAGCUGCGAAAACUGCUGAUAGGAUAGAGAUCCUGUCAAGACAAAGGCCACUAUCUUCAGCCAAGCACGUUCAACCAGAUAAUGGUCAGAACAAAUAAAUCAUGCCAAAAAUCUCGAAACCUUACCACUUGAACGUAUAACACCUACCAACUUCGGGGCGAGACAAGAAAAAUUCAAUAAAUUAAGAAGAUACAGCACUCUGCUACCUCUAAAUAUGCAACGAUUUCGAGGAGUUGAGAGUCCCGAGAACCCAAACGAUUAGAACUGCGCCGCAACUCUGCCCUCAUUUGCUUCCGAAGACCUCGCCUAACAGUUCCGAAUGCUAGCUCAUAGAGAGCAACGUCAAUCUCCUCACCCAGCCUUCGCAAAGCUGCCAUUGCCAGAGCUGUUUUACCCUGAAACAGAAAAAGCCAUAAAUGAGCAAUUGAUGCUUCACAUUGUGUAAAACAAGUCCCCAAACAUGAGUAAUGAUGCACUAUCAUAUGGUUUCAGGCUACUAAUGACACGUUUACCUUGCACAACAACUCGUACACGAUUCCUCGCCCGAUUCCCUGAACAUCCUGAAACACAUCAAUCAUCUGGGGCCGCUGGGUAUGAGAACCACUCAAAUAUUCCCUAGACCGGAUUUUAUGUAGCUGUACAACAGCCAGAGGAACACGUCCAGCGCGUAAAGCAUCUCGUACAACAAUUUCAGCAUCCACGUCCUCACUCUCCCAGCGUGCAAACAUGUCCCCAGCACUUUCAGGCGCUGAUCCUCGUUUAAUCUUUCCAUCAAAGGAACCACCAGUAGGGGCACCCCAAGAACUCCCAGAACCAACUAGUAUUCCUGUCGGCACUAAAGCACCUGAAGUGACACUAUCUUCAGAGGCUAGAAGCAUUUUAGGUUGCUCCUCCUUAUUGAUAAGCACAUUCUCUAGUUCAGCAUUUUGCACAGCAUUUUCAGGGGGGAGUUCAAUGAUUGGCUUUGUUUUGCUAAGCAAAUCUCCUGAUGAUGCAACUGCUUCAUUGCUCGCAUCCGCCUGUUCAAGCACAAAAACAAGCCAGCACCCUGGUUGUUGAAGAACAUAGGAAUCGUAUUCAUCAAAACAACCGCACUAAGAUAGUGUGAAGGAUGAACCGUUACGAGACAUUCCAAAGAGUAGUACUUUAGGUAUAUUGUCUCGUUAUAUUAACGUUUUUACAAAAUCAAAUAAUCUAGAUACCUAAUAACACACGUAAUAUAGGCAGUGAUUAAAAGACACUUCGCAGAAGCACUUAGUUUAAUAUCAGAGGGUUCGUUGCACUGUUUAAGACUCAGAAACGUCCAAUACUUUCGAUUUCUUGCACGUUCCUAGAGCUUCAAAUGACGAUGAAGGAAAGAAAAGAUACCUUAACGCUUCUACUUGGUCCAUUGCGUUUAGACUGUAAUCGCCCCUGUACACUUCGAAUCACCUCAAGCAGUCGAGAAAGUUCGUUAACAUGAUCUACAGGCUUGAGAUUAGACAGGUUCUUGGGUGGGAAUCGUGCAGACAACGCAGGAACUAUUGUUUUACUAGACCUGGAGCGUUGUCGCUCCCAAACCCCAUGAGAUCGAAUAAGCCUUGUUGAGAAUCUAGCUGCCAAUUCAAGAAGCCUGCAAUAAUCACAGCUCAACUCAGCAAGCUACUUCCAGUAAUUGUUAGGAUAAAAAGUACUCCCAACACGGUUUGAAAAAGGUGUUAGUUUGAAUGAAGCUUAAGUUGAACAAUGGACCUGGCAGCCCUGAAACAGACUAUCCCUUCAUAAACAUUACCCUUUCACAAAGAACUAAAUGCAUUCCUAUUUCCUUUUCAGGAAGAUAGACAUAGGUGGGAGGUUUAUUCCAUGAACUAAAUUAAUCCACUAGACCUCCAACAGCAAGGACACAGAUUAUCUGACCAACGCAGUUUAGUUGUUAAAAUAAAGAGUUAAGGAUAUGUAGAUUGGGAGUCAGAGGAAAAGUAGAACACCUGCAGGCUUGGGCAAGCUCGUUGUCGGAUCCAAAAGAAUUAGCUAUAAGUUCAAUAGCAGCAAGUAGCACCUGUGGUAUUCCCGCUUCCGCAACCCCAACCUGCACAAGAGCCUCCAACGACCUGGAUCACACAUUUUGAGAACUAGUUAAGCUACUAGAGAACCGCGACUGCUCACAGACUAACGAUAUUCCAUUGCUUACCGGGGUGAACUUACGAGACAGCAUUUCCCAGGACAGAAGACAAGAAACUCAGACUUUCUGAUCAAUGUAAUAGAAAAGUAACAGCAUCGGAGAGGUAGAACAAGAAAGUAAAGAAGAGGGGACACGCGUCAAACAGUAUCAAGAUGAUCGGACAUUUCAUUUCAUAGAAACUGGAAUAAUGAACAUUUCAAAAGAGGAAGAUUCUUACUCCUCUACUUCAUCCACUUGAACAUAGUCCAGAGCAAGUUGCAAUCUCCGAAACCUCAUAAGCUGUAUGCUCCAUCCUACAAAACACGAACUUUGUGGUUAAAGAUUCAAAAAGUUGAUUCAAUUAAGACCAGGUGGAUCGAGGAGUAUGAAAGCAGAUCUCAUAACGAAAAAUGAGUUUCAAAUGAAAUUGCAAGUUCUCCCUAGUCUAGCUGGGAGUUCAAAAGUUUGCAGGGUCAGAGAUCAGCUCGAGCAAAAUAAGUAUCCACAGAGGUAGUGAAUUCAUGACUUCCUAAUUUGUUCACAUUCUAGCCAACAGUUUUCAGCUUAGACUUGUGGUGACAUCACCAUUUAGUCCAUCGGUGCUCCGAUAUUACAUAUUACUUGUAAAUUCACAAUGGAAAAGACUGUGUUCCAAUAGGUCAAAAUGAAACUCCUUGUAUCCAAUUACUUAUAUGCCCGCUUAUAGGGAUCCAACAACAAUCUCAGUACAGCAGUUUCGAUUAGUGUUAAAACAUAAGCCUUUAAAAAUGAUUAGAUGGAACGUGGUACAAAAGUUCUAGGUUAAAUGUCCUUCCAGACUAAAACUACCUUCAUUCAAAGGCUGUUGGAUUUCACACGGUGGUGGAAUAAGAAGAAUUAAACGAAUACUACAUCGAAACAUGUAAACAAACCAAAUGGGAUUCACACAGUAAUCCUAACAAGCAGUAUAAAAUAAACCACAAUAUCACAGGCUCAAGCAGCUUAGUUAGUCGUAUUGAGAUGCUCACCGUUCUCCAAGCACAAUUGUUCUGCCUCCUUCACGCUGUUGAAGACAAGGCACCUGUCCAACACUUCUGUCUGCCACUGCCGAGGAACGGGUUUGAGGCUUUCUAGAGGCAGCAAACAGUCCCAUUUCCUUGACCCAUUUUUCAUUCCUAUUCCACUUCGCCACUUAGUACCUGGCAAUUGAUGUUGUUGACUUGCCACAGGAGGAAGAACUACAUGUAGCCCUGUUUGAGAUAUAAUAUAUAAACACCCUUGAGAGCUGAACAUCAAAACGUCGCCUAAGGAGAAUUCACUUUGAAACUUAGAGAAGCCUUCAUUGUCGUUCAUUUGAGACUCAUCUAAUAGUCCAUGUUUAAUGCGCAAUCCAUGCUGAGAAAAAAUGAACUUGUCGAAAGUGUUAAGUACAGCACACGUGAUGCUGUAUGGACUCAAAGCCAUCCCAAGCAAUCCCCUCGAAGGCUCGUUGGGCACGAAUAACCUUCUCAGAGGCUGCGAUUGUGUAUGGACCAGGCCUAAUCCUCGAAUCUGGUAUUGGGUGACACGGUCCCUGGAUGUAAAACCACUUGCUCCCAGAGCACAGUUGCUAAAGCUGUUUUUCACAAAGGUAGGCAAAGACGAGUGACAUGCCUCAUGCUUGAAAGACGUGCCAGUGCCAGAAUUUCCACCCUCAAAUGACCAAUUAUUCCAAUUUCGGUAUGGAAUAGCACUUCCAUGAUUUGCGCCACCUAUAUCUGAUCCCGCUACUUCAUAAAUGGUCAAUGGCUUCGUAGCGUGGCACUCAGCACCUCGAUUCCCAGGAGUUUCUGACGAAAUGAACGUAUCGCUUGCAAAGUAAUCAUCAAUAGAGACUAAAGAUAUAAUCCCAUUAGCAUCACUAAUUGCUAACAAUGAAGAGUCAGCAGUUACCGUAACUUGGUAGAACCGGUUCUUGGCUCCAACAUCAGAACCUCCAACAGUUGUCGUUAAACCCUCGAGAGUCUCUUGAGGUGCAACGCCCUCACUCGUGGCAUGCUUAAAUUCAUGGUCUUCGCCAAAUGGCGUCUCAAAAGACUUCUUCCCGUGUUCGAUCUUUAAAUCUACUCUACAGAAUUGCGGGAUAUCAAUUUUCGUAAUAAAAGUUCCUGCAAAUAAAUUCCACAAAAAAACCAUUCCAUCUUCUUUCAAGGCUACAAAAACACUGUCGGAUAGCUGAAAAUCUGUCCAUGGUACAUUUCUCGUGAGCCCUGCUCUUGUGUCAUGGGAAAGGAUGCGCGAAAGGACCUUCAAUUCCUGACAAUAAACCCCUGUAAUCACAGCACUAAAAUCAUCAAGAGAUUUGAAUUCCCUCGUUGUUGAUCCAACUGUAAGUUUUUCCCCUGCCACUAUUUCGUCUUCUGGAACAUGCACUGCAGACUUCUCCACCAGUAUAAGUGCUACAAGGUUCUGGAUAGGACUGGACAGCAACCUUACAAUCUGUAAAUCCUGCUCUGGUGUAUUACAGCCAGACUCUCCUGGAACCUGUGCACUUUGGGUGGUUGCUUGUGCAAACUUACUAAGGAGUGAAAAGGAAGGAGAUGAAUAGGACAUGGAGAAUGAGAUACACUCGGCUAAUGCAGGCCAAGGUUGAUGUUUGAGAAACUCCAUAUGCAACUCGUCCUUCAAAGGCUCGAGUUGCCCAUUUACGAUGAAGGACUGAAAUGAAGACCCGCCAACUAUGCCAACGCUCGGUACCACUCCUUCGCUGCUUAAAUCAUCUGUAUUAGUAUUGUUAUCGUCUCGAAAGCAUAGUUUUCUUUUGCCACGAUCAUCAACAGAGUCUUUGAUUUCUUCCUGCUCUUUCCAAUUCCGCCAUUUACCCUUCUUGUCACCAUCUUCAGUCUCCCUCGAGUCCAGUCGCAAUUGUCCACCAUUAUCUGAUGUGUGGUCCACCGUGCUAACUCCCUCACCAUCAUAAUUGCGGAAAGCAUGAAGUACCAAACCAUCUCUCCCUGCUGUAAAAAGUAUGUCGUUGAAGGGUCUAGCUUCUAAAUUCGCAGCAGACUCGUCCCCGCAGCAUGCCCAUGCGAAGCAGUCAAUACCAUCAAUUAUACUAAAAGAAGAAGAUAGCUUAGUUGCUCCGUUGGACUUCACAACAAAGCUUGGCGCUGAGGCCUGUUGUAACGACGUCGGGGAGGAAGUACAAAGAGGAGUGGAAGCAGAUGGAGUGAAGUAAGGAGUGGCUGGAUGAGGUUGGACAACGGAGUUUCCAUGAAAUGUACUGGACAGGCGCCUGGGAACAAAUGCAGGAGUUCCAUAGGGUGUGAAUUGUGGUCCUAAAGAAAACCGAAACUCGGAAGACGGAGUGGUCCUUGAUUCAUGGCUCUCGGAACGCAAUGAAUGAUGGGGAGUGGAAGGAGCUUCGAUCUGUGCCCCUGCAGAAUAAACUUCAGAGGAUCCAAUGGAUGUGGAUGCUGGGGAUGCCAAGCUGCGCAGCGGUGAGGAAACCAAAGAUUCUGAGCACGUCGCAGCUUCUUCAUGUUUUCUGGGAACGAGAGGUACAAUUACAGCCUGCUGUUUGUGGGAGAGAAGAGCAAGGCGUGCUCGGGAGGAUGAAAGAGCACCAAAAUUGAAGAGGGAAAUAGGAAGAGGUGUACUGGCCCAGUUAUGAAGUCUAAGCAAGGCCACAGGACCUCCCUCCUCUUGUUGCAUUCCAUCUAACUGACCCAUUGGCACACCAAGGUGUGGGAUCGAUGGAAUCACACUGACAUCCAAGUCGGACUGUCAAUUUCCUGAACAUAGGAAUGCUGUGAGAGAAUAAAACAGUCCCAUAUACGCCGUCUGUCAUCAACUCCUACAAUCUGAAAGCCACAUUCGGCAUACAAAGCAAGCGUCAGAAACUAUUUGAGGUAAAUGGCAAUCUCCAUUUGUAAAAGGAGUCGCACCUUGCAGAAAUAGAUUACUUAAUUGACGCACUCGCGAACCUAGUACUCGAAAAGAGCAUUGAAAAUGUCUAUAUACUCAUAUCAGUCCAGGGUAACUUGUUUGAGGAAGGGAACAGGAACACAAGCAUGAUUACAAACUUUUUCACUCAUUCAAUUCUCCUACUAUCAAGGUACGAAAAUUACAAGUGAUCAAAAGGAAAAAGUAUUUGUCAGAAUCAUUAUAUUCGCGAUUAUUUUCAUCAUUGACAAUUUGCAGAUGGUCGCAACUCCUAAACCAAGGCCUUAUCUCCAAAACCCUAUUAUCCUUAUUCCCUUCUCUAGACACCGAAAGACACAUGUUAACGCGUACUAACGUUACCUGCCACAACCGAGACGCUGACAAGAAAACUAGUAAACUAGACUCCGAGGAGAAUCCCUCAGAUCUCUAGGCGCCCUACACGCUUAAUCACAUGUUAAUAGAACGCAAAGGAAGUGAGAUUCGGGACCCUCAAGAUACGCCAGGUUACACGGGUUUGCCCUCAAAUCUCAAAUCCCUUGUGUUUUAUGUAGGCUCAGGCACGUUUCACGAAGAUAAGCUACUCGAAUUCCCAUGAUCUACACCUCCCGAAAAGAGAUGCGAGACAGAAAAAGAAAAAGACCGUCUCAUCGUCAGCAAGGUGAAAACAAUCAAAUGACUGCGUUUGUACAUGAAGUCGACUGUUUCUCCCCAGCUACACUCUCCAACAAACCGAGAUCAGAAUGAAAUCCUCUGGCAAGAAGCGACAAGACUCACCUCCGCAAACUAAAACACCAUCACAAAAACCCAGCGACGAAAAUCCAAUAGUAAUCCAGGCCGAACUAAUCGCUUCCCCUCACGCUCGCCAAUACAAAAAUUUCUAGGCGUGCCAGUAAUCUGUAGUGAGCUCUCUUUGUCCAGCACCACUCGAAUUUUUCGCAGUUUGCGUAAAGCAUCCGUUCCGAGUUGUCGAUCAGCAAUUCACCCCACUGAUACCGUGGGAACUGGGCACAUGAACCGCGCCCUUAGUCACAGACCAUGCGAUAAUAUUCAUCUGGUUCUACAGGCCCAGUUCACUUCCCCGAAGCAUAUCAUUUUUGCAUUGGAUUUCCGAGCUUCUCCGGGGUUCCAGCACCUACAAGCCCUAAAUCUGCCCCAACUGACAACUCACACUGACUGAGAUGAAGGAGCUAGCCAUGUUGGAUGACACGUAACGAACACUGAGGUAACCUUAUUCACCCUCCAGUUGUGGCCUGGUAGCCCCCCCCCCCCCCCCCCCCCCCCACAUACUUUAUAGUCCCAACGUCUUUCUGCUGUCCAUCUCUCUCUUGCUGCCUUCGCUGCACCCUUUCUUCGUCAACACCGAAGGUGCGUCCUCCCAUUUACCUUUCCCAUUUCGAAUCUUUUGUGUUGUUUAUGUUAGUUUCGUGGUGUCAGAGACAAUGAUUUUGAUAUGACUUAAUAGGAUUUGCAGCUCUUGGAUUUCCUUCUGGAGGUGUGUCCUGCCAGCCCGUCUCAGUUUUUUUUGUGUUUGUUUUGAAGUAAAUUGUUUCUCGAUCAAUUUUGGGGAGUUGUUUUCGAAGAGCUCAUUCUAACAAGUGCAUGGUCCGAGAUCUCUGUUGUCAUUGAUGUGUGGAAAUCUAUUGUGGCUGGUUUGAAUUGGGUUUAGGGUAGUGCAAUUGUUUUUUUGUGGGGAUGAAUUUGCAUGUGUGAAUGCGAAGAGUCGGUUCUUGUUAUACGUGUGUGUUUGAUAAGGUAUGUUGGAGGAUGAUGCAUAGUUCGCACGGCCUGGUGCCUGCCGUCAGUACUAGCUUCCUGUUCAUGCUGGAAGUGAGUGUUAGUUUCUGUGAAAUGUCUGUGAGCUUGUGGCGUGGAAUAGUAAAAAAUCACUUACAUUUCUUGGAACUGGCAUUCUUUCGCUGCCUGAGAACCUCACACGUAAUAAGCUUUCCGUUUCCCUUUGAUUGGUGCCUCAGAUGUCGUUUAUGCCCUGUCUGGUUAGCAUAUCUCAUGGUCUGAUUGAAGACGAGCAGUAUGUCGUGCUUUUCUUGUGAUCGAAGUGGGUUGACUAAGUUGCAUAGCAUUGUUGUACUAAUUUUUGAACCGGAUUGUCUUGAGCAGAGAGGCGCCUUCAAAUAUAUUUGUCCGUGAAAGUGUGUGGGUGCCAUUUGCAACCAUGAGUUCUCCAGCUGCAACCGCCGGAGGCCGCGGGAAGUCUAAGGCCUCGAAAUCUACUUCUCGGUCACAGAAGGCCGGUCUUCAAUUUCCGGUAGGAAGAAUUGCUAGGUUUUUGAAGGCUGGUAAAUACGCCGAACGUGUGGGAGCUGGUGCACCUGUCUACCUAGCCGCAGUGCUGGAAUAUUUAGCGGCCGAGGUGAUCAUUCUUUUUCAAUUCUGGACUUGCACCAUUCCCAUUAGCGUUUUGUAGAAUAUGUCCAUCUUGUACAGUCUUAUUUACUUUCAUCAUGACAGACAAACGAAACAAGUGCACGAUCGUUUAACGGUAACUACGGGUGGGAUUUGGAGCACUUGUUGCGCUGAGUGUCGCUGUUACGUCUUUGCGAUAUAUUCACAUUGAACGAUGUUUCUGCACUUACGUUGCUGUUAUAAGAUCUUUGAUUCCUCGAUGACACUAUGUCAACUACAAUGAGCUACUGAGAUUAGUGUCAGGCCUUUCACCGUUACGUGAAUUAGGUUAUCCAGAAAUCCAUUUACAUCCUCUUGUUGUGUCUGCUAAGCUUCUGUCUCCACUUCGCGAGCAGCACUGCGCCUGAAAAGCGGCUAAGUGGUUUCAGUUUGUUCGUGGUCUGUUUCUGGCGAUCCAUACAUUUGUGCAGGUACUUGAAUUAGCAGGAAAUGCCGCCAGAGAUAACAAGAAGAAUCGCAUUGUACCCCGCCACAUCCAGCUGGCAGUGAGAAACGACGAGGAGUUAAGCAAGUUGUUGGGCACUGUCACAAUUGCCGCCGGUGGUGUCCUGCCCAACAUUCACACAAUUCUAUUGCCGAAGAAGACUGGUAAGGGCGGCAAGGACAUUGGUGGAAGCAUCUCGCAGGAGUUUUAGAGCUACCCUAGUUUGUACAUAGCUCCGUCGCUUUUUCUCCCUCAAUUUGGAGAAUGCACGAAAAAAUGGCAAUGGUCUUUUUUCUGGGAACUUCGACAUCACACAAUUAUUGUGUUUGGGCUCAUCGGCUUCUGAAGGCUCCAAUUUACUUAACCCCGCUGAAGCGUAGGAAUCUGUGUCGCGAGUGUGCAUGGCAUGCUGCUUCUGCUUGAACUGUAGUAGACGUGGCAACUUUUACAAGUUUUUGGAUUGAACUUGUCUUCUUUACCGCUUUGUGUGGCAAUCUGCCACUCAUACUGCCGUAUAAAGAAGUCAUUUUUGUAAUGUGACUCGAUUUUCAAUUGACGCACACCUUAGCGAUGUAUGUCUAAAUGGCGGAGGACCAUAAUCUUGCUUGCCCCUUGGAGUCCUGGAAAGCUUCUUUUCAAAAUUUGAGAAACUAAUGUGGUUUUCUGUGCAUAGCAUGCCCCAGUCUCGUGGGUUUGAAUCAGGUUUGUGCCAAACUCUGAAGUCUUCCAAUGUCGUUCACUGUUGCACCCUCGUGCUCUGUUAACGUCCUUCAAUCCUCCGAUCAGACCAUCGACAUUCAUCAAGUACGUGCAUGGAACAUUAUGUCUACGAAAUUACAGCACAUCAAGGACAUUGAUGGAUGCCUUCCUUGAUCGCUUUACUCAACGUUCAUGUCUAUUUAUGUAUAUACAGAAGAACAAAUGAAAGACAAGAGUUGAGCUCAUUUUUACUUUGUAUACAUAUACAUGUAUAUUUAGCAUAGUUAUACACCAGGGUGAGUUGACCUCAUUUUUACUUUGCACAUAUAUAGUGUUCCCUUCAUUGAGUAACCCCCCUUCCAAAAAAAAUAAUAAUAACUCACAAUAAUUAAUUAUAACUUUGGGAAGCAAUUUUGUUUCACGAUAUAUAGCUACUAACCUUUUGAUUUCUAAUAAUUAAUCUAAUUUCAUUGACUCUUACUAAUUGAUAGGUAAUAAACAUUGGCAUUUGAUUUUUUGAAGUCCUAAGGUAUCCAAACUUUGACAAGGAUUUUGAAGUGCACACGGAUGCUAGUGGUUUUGCAAUUGGAAGAGUGUUGAUGCAAAAGGGAAGGCCCAUUGCAUAUGAGAGUAGAAAACUCAUGGGUAGCCAACUAAGGUGGCCCACCUACGAGAAGGAACUCUUUGCAGUUGUCCAUUGCCUUGAAGUAUGGAGACAUUAUUUGGGUGGCAGAGAGACAAAGGUCUUUACUAACAAUAUAUCAUUCAAAUAUUUUGAGACUAAAGCACAAGCCUAAAGAACUAAGGUGGUAUGAUGUGAUAGUCUCUAUGAAUGUAGUCCUCAUUCACAAACCGAGAUGUGAAAACUUAGUGCCAGAUGCAUUGAGUAGGAAGGAGGAACUCAUGACCUUGUUAGCCUUGACCUCAAGCAAGAAUGACACUCCUUUGGAGAUGGAAGUCAAAGACAUAUACGAAGAGGAUGAAGAAGCUAUUGAGUUAAACAAGAUGUUUGACUACAAGCUAGUCUCAAAGAAGGCAUUGUCUUCUAAGUUCCCUAGACUGAAGAUAGUCAAAAGAGUCAAUGAGCUGAUCUAUUACAAGCAAAGUAGAUUAUAUCUUCCCGAAGGGAACCUAAAGAAGAAAAUGAUGAGGGAGUUCCACAAUAUGCUCAAAGCGGGACACUGUGGAGUACUAGUGACAACUAAGGAGUUGUCCAAAAGUUAUUAUUGGCCGAAUCUCAAAGGAGAUGUGGAGAAAUAUGUCUCUUUUUGUGCCAAAUGACAAAUGAAUAAGGCUAGCACUCAAAAGACAAUGGGAUUGAUAAACCCUCUACCCAUCCCGAAAGCACCAUAUAAGUGUCUUUCAAUGGACUUGAUGACAUCCUUAUCAAUAGUGCAACGAUAUGAUGUCAUCUUUGUGGUGGUUGAUAGGUUUAGCAAGCAAGCAAGGUUCAUCCCAACAAAGUAGGGCGAUGGCAGUGAAGUCACAGCGUGACUCUUCUAUAAACACAGGAUAUGCAAAAUGGGAUAUCUAGAGAACAUAGUGAGCAAUUGAGAUGCUGAGUUCUUGACUACCAUUUGGCAGUACUUAAUGAGGAGGUCAGGAACCAAGCUCAUUUUGACAACUACAUUCCAUCCUCAAGGAGAUGAUCAAACCGAACGCAUGAACGCUAUUCUCAACAUGUACCUGAGAAACUAUAUAGCGACAGAUCACGGAGACUAGAUGGAUGUUUUAUCGUAAGUUGAAUUUUGCUACAACACCACCUACUCAACAAGUAUUGGCAUGAGCCCAUUCAAAGUGGCUCAUGAGUUUGAUGCAUUAAAGCCUACUAACCUAGUAUUAGCAAAGAAGGAUGAGGAUUUCUCAUCCACAUUCUUUUCUAAGGAAGCGGCAAUGUGAGUCUCCAAAAGAGAACACAUAUAGAAGAGGGCAACCUACUUUCUGGAGUGCACUCAGAAGAAAUAAAAGCAAGUGGCGGAUAAGCACCGAUGCAAUGUUGUGCACCAAGUAGGAGACAUGAUAUGAUUAAAUACCACAAACUUAUCGAUUCUCAAUUCUUUGUCAUACAAGUGGGUACAAAGAUGGGCAGGACCUUACAAGGUGAUCAAGGUGUUGCAUAAGGAUGUAUACCUUAUUGAUAUUCCAAAGAAGGGCAGGUUCCACCAUGUAUUCCAUGUAUCAGUAUUGAAGAAAUUCACACCGAAUAAGGACGAGCUCCACCCAGAGCAAGUAUUAAGGCCAGAGCCUUCAUACAAAGUUUGGGACAAGAAAAUGGGACAAGUUAAUGGAAUAGUAGGUAAGAAAAGAUUGAAACAAGGUCUAGUAUAUCAAUGCACCUUUGAAGGGUUUCUAAUGAUGGAAUACCAAUGGAUAUCAGCCAGUUACCUCAAGCAUGUGAAAUCACUCAUCGCGGCCUAUGAAGUGAGAAUGUGUGGUACUAACAAUGAGAAGCGAGAUAUUAAGAGAAAGACUCCGAAACGAUGAAGACAUUGUUCUCUCAAAGUGGGAGAAAACAAGCCACUCAUCAACACAACAAUAUAAGUAAGAAAGCUAAUAAUGUGAAACCAAUAUCUUGGUUGGACAUGUGGUUGAGUAGAAGAGUGAAGUUAGUGGAAGUUACCGCAAGGAGGCGUGCCGCUAAGUCAGCUCUCGAAGUAAAGUAAGAGACCUCACUCGAGACGGGGGUGAGAUUGUGAAUCCGGCCUUAUUGGGAUUAACUUGUGAUUAGUGAAAACUAUGCAUGAGAGUUGCUCCUUGCGUCCGAAAGGAAUACAAGAACCAAGGCAAGGUGAGUCUUGGUGCAGACCUGAGAGUCGACAAUCGCUCAUUGCACACCUGGUUGGAUCAGGGCUUUGGAAGGGAAACAAAGCUAAUGGAACUGAAAGAAGAAAAAGGGGAAGAAGUGACAAACAAUGAUUCUUCCACACACACACACACACACAAAAAAGGUAUAAGCGCCAAGUGAAGUGUGGCAACUUCACAAGAACAAAAAGUCCAUUGUAAAGGAUUAUAAAUAAGAGACUUAACACACCAAUGUUAAUGCAGACAUUAACGUUUAAAGUGAGGGAGAAUGUCACCUUCCUAAAGUGUGGGCUAAGGGAUGACUCACGUAAAAGGAAUCACUAUAAGGUAGUGAUUGUGAGUAAGACCCAUAAAGAAGAACAAGUCACCUAGGUGACUCGGAGUGGCACUUGGAGAUGAUGACUUGGGGAGGUCGCAUGAGCUUAAGGCACAUGAGGACUUCCUUGGCCCCGCCGUGGCAUAAGGAUGUCACAAGAUGCUUGGAUUGGCUCCAAAUACGGAUAGGGUGUUGGCCAGAGCGCAAAGGCACUCUAGGACGACUAACACUGGGAGGGGGUAAAGUUGAAGCCCCUCUCACCAAGAAGUAACCUUGGUCCCGGGUGUCGGAGGAUAGAUGUCGGCGCUAGGGUCCAAGACGCUAAGAAAGAGGUAGGAUCGUCUGACUUAGCUACUAAGCGAGGGUGAAUGGAAAGCUGCUAACCUGGAGGGGUAGUUGGGUACAGGUGACAAAAUACUCGAGACUCAAGUAAAGUGACUGGUAGGGUUACAAAAUCAUACACGAUUGGGUGAAGCAAGGCCAUAUGGCCACUAAGGAUAACAUAAUCAAGGGCCUUGACAAGAAUGGUUUUUUUUUGUCUUCAAUGAGCCACCUCUAACAGUUAAUUCUUUUUCUUGCAAUGAAUGAUAUUAUAACAAGGAAACACUGUGAACAUAUAUAUAUAUAUAUAUAUAUAUAUAUAUAUAAAGAAGGAUGAAAAUUUGAACUCGAUUACAUAUUUAUAAACUGGAGGGUGUGAGUUGUGAUCCAAGAAAAUGGCUUCUAGCAUUUCCAACAGUGCCAAAACUAGCAAAUCUAAAAUUAAAAAAAAAAAAAAAAAAAAUGAAAAAAAAAAAAUAUAUAUAUAUAUAUAUAUUGAGUCAUGGUCUCAUAAAGAUGAAGUGAAGUGGGCACAUCUCAAUUUGGCCAAGCUCAGUGGAUGUAGAUGCUUCUAGGUCAGGAAAAUAAAGAAGAAGAAGAAGUAACUUUAAACAUAGAGAUUAUUUGAUAUUAAAAAAAAUAUAUAUGCAUCUUAUCAAUUAUACUUUUUUAUUAAUAUUUUCUUUAUUUGUAAUUUUGAAAGUUACAGCUAUAAUUUUUAUACUUGCAUUUGUUUGUGCAAACUGCUAAAUCCAAGCAAUUCUUGUGAUUUUGCAUUAUUACAGCACAAACAAGAAAUUUAUCUUCUUAUAUUAAAUAAAUGUAUUCUAACCUAUGUUUUGAAAUUUUGGGUUUAGAUAUAUUAUACUGAAUUUAAAUCCAUCUUGAUUUAGUUUUAGGUUCAUCUUGCGCUGAAAUAUGGAUUAAUUAGUAACUAGAAAUUUGUCAAUAAGGGAAAAUGCAAUUUUUGUAUAAGCUAAAUAGUUUGACAAUCACAAGAAAAUUUCCUCAAAAUUCUCUGUUUUUUAUCAUAAAAUUAAGAAGCAACCAUUACAAUGUAGAUAAAAAAAAAUGCAAGACUAAAUUUGUGUAUCGAUGAACACAAAUACGAAAGGUCGCACAAAUUGAAGUUGAUACAAUAUGAAUCUUUUCUCUUAAAUAUAUCAUAGUUGAAGAGGGUUGUUUUGUUUCUAUGUUUAAUAUUCCUGUGUGUAUGAGUGCGUACCAGAAAAACCAAAAACAAACGAACUGCUUGAUGGGUGUAACACUGCAACAUGUGCCUUAAUGUGCAAUUUUUCUUCAAUUCAAAAGUAGUUUGUUUCAGUUAUUAGUACAGAAAGUUGAAGAUUACAUGUGGUGAUGAGAGGGGCUUCCAAGCUAUUCCCCAGCAACCCAUCCACUUAAAGCGUUAACCAGGAGCAAAUAGCCUUCGACCAAAUGCAUUCAAGGCUAACUGAAAUCCUAACCCAGGUGAUCACAUUAUAAUACCCAUGUGGACUCCUUGAGGUGAAGCUCAAGCCUAUGCACCUGCAUCGACUUACCAAUCACCUUCAACUUCAGUGAAUAACACCAACAAAAAAUACGGAGGUGCUGUUUGUUUUGGUAAUCAACCUAGCGAUCAAAGAUAUGCGAUCUGAGCUUGUUAUUCAAACUAGAAUGAAUGAAUUGGAAAACCAUGGGGAAAGAAGCUGGGUGAUGUCUGUGUCUAAUAAGUUUCAAACUUGAAGUUGAUCCAAAACUUGUUACCAGCUGCAAUUGAGGGCCUUGUGAUGGCUCCAUGCACCCUUGCACGAACCUAGAAAGUCUAAAAAACCACAGUUAAGCGUGUCUCACCAAUUCGUUUCGAAGUGGUGUUUAGUAAUUGUCGCCAUCAUCGUCACCUUCAGCUUCUCCCUCGGUUUCUCCGUCGGUAUUCUCCUCUUCAUCAGCAACUUCGUCUUUCAGAGGUAGCUCCUCAGCUGCCUCCGUGUCACUACUUAGGCGCACUCCUCUCAAGUCAUUGAACUCUUCCAUUAAAUCACUUCUGUCUUCAAGUGGUAUAACUAGACUUGAACCCACUUCAGAUUGGGCUUGCAAUUCCUUUUCUUUGGGCCUCUGAACGUGCUGCUCCCGCCAAAUCCGCAGCGUCUCAUUUGCUUCCGGAACCUCACAUAUACAAGCUGCAGGGUUGUCGUGGAACCCACCACGACCAGGUUUAACCUGCAGUUCGCAACGAGGAAUGGAUGUAUAAUCAGAGGCUACUCUGAACAAAUUUAAUCCCCUUUGAUACAAAACAUUGAUCCGUUAGAGAAGCUUCCACUUGCUAUCUGAGUGCAGGACGAUAAAGAAGUAUUUUGCCUUGGGUGAGGGCACCCCAACACACGCUACGCAUUAGCUUUGAACAAACAAAGAGAUUGAAGUCACUUCAGAACAAUACAACACAUAGAGAUCAGUUGAAGGUACGAUGGUUCUCAUGACACGUAGAAAGGUUUUGAUAAAAUACUUAUAACUCUUCAAUACUAACCUCCAUAGGGUCACCUAUGAAACCCUUUUGAUGAUGUCUCACGCUCUUGGCAAAAUCUUCCCAGGACAUAUUAUGCCUGGCAGAAAAAAGCACUCCCAACUUCCUGACAUUGGGUCUGAUAGUUCGCUUGUGGCCAUUGAAACGUCUGCAUAAGACACCAUAGCAGCAAAAAUAACCUGUUUAGAUACUAAUGAAAAUAGAAACUCAUAACUUCAAAAAUACGUACUCAAAUCCACAAAAAAAAUGGUGCUAAGAAACAGACGAUUCGGGAAUGCACAAGUUGAUUCCAUGCAUCAAAUCAAAAGUGAUGACUAACGCUUAACUAAGCUGAGCCUAGAUACCUUUCACCCGCCAAAAUCCGAACCAUAUUCCCAUUAUUGUUGGCCACAAACACAUCACUUCUUGAACAGACGAUAUAGUCUAUUGCAGCCAUUCGUGACGAGAAGUUAGCAAAAGGUGUCAACUCCACCUGAUUUGCUAAAAGCUCUUUAGUAUAGAAGUUUGGAAACAAAGCUUUUAGAGGUGCCAAAGAGGCUUCUCCAUUGUAAACAUCACCAGAUGCCACAUACAAAUAUGUGUUAUUCCCAUAACCUAGUGCACGGAGCAUGAUGCCAACUUCUUCUGGAGUCAGAGGGCAUUUCCCGAGGCGUCUUUCUCUCUCAGGGUUUUGAAGCUGCAAAUUUAACGAGUGAACAACAAAAACAACUUCAACAUCAUAUUCUGGCUUCCAAGUAGCAGAAGAAUCACUCAAGACUUCCAAGUAACAAAUCUUUCCCCAACAAAUAUAUUACUAUAUACCAUCAUGAAUAUGAAACCAUUUGCCACUUGUCUAAUAGUAUCUAGAAAACUACAUUGCGGAAGCAAGAAAAAGCAGCAAACACGAAAGCCCCUAAAACUAAAAAUUGAUUGAAAAUCAAACCAGACAAAGAUUCGCUAAUAUAUUUGAUUUCAAAAUCACAACAACAGAACCCUGAUUUCACUCGAAACAAGAUCCUCAAUCAGCCAACUACAGAAACGAUACUCAACUUUGCAGUAGAUGCCUUACACGUAGUGACUUCCAACGCUUGCGGAUGGAGCCUAAAUCCCGUCUCUCUCUCUCACCGCCACCGUAAUAGCAUCCCGAAAAAGCUAGCAUAUCAGAUUCAAAUCUGCAAAAAGAGGUGAUCGAUAGAGAUUAAUACAAACUCGGCAUUCAGAACCACUUGAGAAAGAUGACAUGUCCAGGAUUCACUGAGAAUUUCGGCCAAGUCUCUCUGCACAAUGAGAACAUAGAGAACAAAGAACGAGGUGCUAAAUUUAGACCUUUUUCAUUUGGUAGCUUGCUGAUAUGAAAAAUACUAAACAAUGAAAUAAAUUAAAACAACCCAUGUGAUGUCAAGAAUUGCUACCGUAUGAUGUAAGACGGUUUAAUCCAGACCUUAAAUGCAAUGCAAUAUAUCGCCUACCCUUAGCCCUCAUCCUGUCAACAAGCACUUGUCCUAUGUCUUGAAGAGAUUUCGUGAACCUCAGUGCCUGGAAAGAGCAUAAGACGUGUCAGAAGCCGACACCAACUCAUUUUUCUCCAGGAAUUAGAAAAAGUUAAUUGAAUUUCAAUGAAAUUUCAUGGCAACAACAGAUCCUUCGCUUGUGGAAAAAGAAAGCGGUUAAAUCAUAGGAGGUUUUCAACUCAGUCUGUACUAAGCACAAAAUUCCAUAAUGCAAUUUUCUGCUAUUUUUGAAAAAGAAACUAUGGCCACUAUUCAUGCAGUUGAUGGAGAAACCUUGUAGUUUGUGCGACAUCUCAACUUUUGAAGGUCUGUUUCCAGCUCGUUCGCCAGUCGGUAGUCAAAUUUAGUAAGCCGAAGAACCUGCAACAAUAGUUUACAGGAAUUGAACUUACAACUAAGAUUUUAUUACGAAAAACUGAGGAGUACCAUCGAAAACUUAGUGAAGAAUGCGACUUAGUGGUUCACAAUAACGUAAACAUAAUACAGCUGAUCAUUAAUAUGCUUUAGUAGGAGUGUGCAAGAUCCUUACAUGUUUCCUUUUAAGGAGAUGCCGAAUCCGUCGUGAAUAAUACCAUGCUGGGACCUUACGUGGGACUCGUAGAUUAUAAACCUGCUUCGGAAGACUUUUUCUAACAGUUUGAGGCAGCUCUUUGAUCACUGUCACGUCAGGAGCUACAGAUUGUAUGAACCAGUCCACAUCAAAAAUGUCACUAAAAUUGCUGUCAUCCACAAUCCCGUUCAAGCACACCAUCACAACUUUAAUUAUCAGAUAAAGCAAUUUGGAAUCAAGAUUGCUUGAUACUUAACAACAUUCAGAGAAAUGUCAAAUUGCAUGACUUAGGUCAUCAGCAUCGAUGAUAUCGAAUUAAACUGGACUAGACCAACUCAAGAUAUUAAAGAAAGCAUCUGAUAACUCUCAUAAUCAAAACAUUGAAAUGUAAACCUAACGAGUUACCCCAGCAGGAGAACAUGAGAGUUCUACCUCGGAUCCUUCCAGUAUGAUCGAUGGUCAAAGUGCGGAACAACAAGUGUGGCAUUCAGGAGCCGAGCAACCACCACAGAAUCCGUAAUCUGCAGCGCCAGUGACCAGACGCUAGUUCAUUAUGGACAGAUUUAAGAAGUAGCGACGAGACAAAAACUUGAAUGAGUUGUAGAUGACACAUGAGACUGGCCAGAAAUAGAUGAAAAAGGAAGUGGUAGAAUCACUAUCACAACCCACAGGACUCAAAAUCAGAAGCACAUCUAUAUCACUCGAAGUACAGAAUUGAACCUGAAUAAUUUGAAUUGAUAAACCAUGGACAUCACAUGCUGUGCAAUAUAAUGUCAGAACAUACCCCUACUCUCUGCUGAUUCAGGCCUCCGCUAGCUGCAAUUAGAAGAUAUCCAUUAACUUCCAUAUUUGGAUCGACUGCAUCACAAUUACAGAGCUGUCAACAGAAUGCCAUAUUCCUGGGCAGCACACGGUUAUCGAGAACAAAGUCUAUAGUCCUGUUACAAAUGAAAAGUGCUGUAAGGAAUGAAUGACACCUACUUGAGUAGUUCUUGCUAGGUUUGAUGCAUCCAUAGUAAUAUUCAGCGUUUUCAGAAUCCCAAACAUGCGCUGCGGAGGCGUCCCACUGGUCCUUUCAUCCACAUUUUCAAACCACCAACCGUAAAUUUUAACUACAUAAAGCUGCAUGACUUCAUCACGAAGUAAAAGUAAUCCAAGAAUGGGUAGGAACAGUAUUCGAAGAUAAACCGCUCAGCUAUGGAUACGUGCUAGGAAGUGCCAAAGCAGAGCUGAAAUUCAUGCGCAAAAACUCAAGGCAAAUGUAUAAAUGAAAUGCUGAAUAAUGGAAGGAGCUACUAAAUUCAGCACAAGUUAAAACUUACUGGAACAUCCCGCAGCUUUCGCAACAAAGAAGGUAUGUCUUCAGCUCCUGAGGUAGCCUUUUGCAUAAAUGCCGAGAAUCAGUAUUAGGUGAAAAUGGAACUAAUGAAUAUAGAAGACAUUGAUAUGGUUCUUUGGAAUGAAAAUAACUGUGGUAUUCUUGUCAGCAAAAGGUGAAUGACCACCUUGACACGUGGAGACACAUUUCUCUACAACUGCUCCAAUAAUUUACUGUGCUAUGUAUGACUAUGAAAUGCUGUUGAGAGUUUGCAUCUCCGCACAUCAACUCGAUGACAGCGUAUAUGUCUAGUUCACAAGAGGUUUGAGUCCGAAUGAAAUAAUUUCUUGAUCCAUUUUAAUGCUUUCUCGCAAAAGAGCCACCAUUGCCUUCUAAAAGACUGUCACGAAAAUUACAUCUUCAAACCAUCCAAGCAAAAUCCUCAACUUCAUUGUGAUCGUCUAGACUCAAAAGUCUGCGGAAUGGUCGCCUUUUCGAAGGCAUCAUGGGCAGGAAAUACACUACACAUGGGUUGAACUCCAAAAGACGCACUGUCAGCUAAGUCGAGGUUUAAACAGAUUGCAGAUGUAGCUUACCUGUGCCUCAAAGUCCUUGUUGCGAGACUUGAGAACUGGAUCUGAGUAGCGCAGAGGAUUCUCCAUUUGAAGAAACCGGAACGUAAGCAUUAACAUUGUCACCAGGAAUAUGGCGCUGAGGCAGAUCACGUAAAAAUAGGAUAUUGAAGUACAGAGCACCUGCCUCGAUUUGCUUCUAGCUCGCCCCAUCAUGAAGUCCACUAAAACAAACUCAUUUCGUGGGUGGGCGAGAGGAUCUCAGCCACUUAGCUUGGAGAUUCCAAAUACCCAGCACUCAGUUCGAAAGUCUCAUAAACCCAAAGCCCUAGCUCGAAUGGAAAGAUACACAUUGCAUUGCGUAUACCAACAAAUAAAUCGACAAUAGACUGAACAAGGAAAAAGUUAAAAUUUAGCGUCAACAUUGCAAUUGCAACUCAGGCAAACACGAAUCUCCAUGAUCCUCCAAAAUCUCCGCAAGUGCAGGAGAAAUAACAUAGUUCGCACAGGUCUCGUAGUAAUCAUUCCUAGUCAUUUCUACAAAAUGAUACGUAACCUGAAACAUCAUCACAAAUUCAGCACCAUAAACUGAAACCCUAAUUGAGUAACACAAACCUCGAUUAUAAGCUCCCCACACACGCGUCGCAUCUUGUCAUUGAAUACAUCACAAUUAACCUAUUCCACAGGAAUCAUAAUCUGCACAAGACUUCCUGAAGAACUGCAACGCAAACCAUGACAGACGCGUCCAAACGAAAUCCGAUUUUCCAAUUCGUACGCAUUGGAUGCUUUUACCGAUUUAUAACCACACUCUUGAUUAGGUUUCUAUCAACUAGUUAAAUCUGCCAAAUUAUUCGCAAACCCAAUCUCCUUGUCGUUUUCAUUCGUGCCAGUGGAUUGGACUAUUUUUUCGCACUUUUUAGUCCGCAACGUUAGAUAUCCACUAUUUGCCGAUUGCUGCGACUAAUUUUGCGUCUCACUGAGCCUGCUGUAGAAACUAGGUCACUCAAUUAUUCUCACCCCAGCUCUCAGAACUUUGACGAAGGUGACGUAAGAAACCGAUUCAAUUUAACCGCUCCCUCAUUUAACAGCGAGAUAAGCUAUGUAAUCUUUGACAUCUAUGAGUUUUCAACAAGUUGCCAGCAUUGGAGCUUCUCAACAGGAGGAUGAGAUGAUUUCAUUGUUGAUUACGAAUUUAUUGACCAUGGCUAAUGUCCAGCUUGAUCUUCCAAACUGUCAAAGAUUAUAAGAACAGCGAUAGUGGUGUUUCGAGUAGAAAAAAAAAUUAAGUGGAAGAGAGAAUGUUGACAGUUCAACAUCUCGACCAGAAUUUAUUGUCAGGCCACAUACCACUAUACACUUUAUUAGACUGUAAAAAUGUAUGAUGAUAAUGCUUAGAAAUGUCCGCCAAUAAAGACUGGAUGCGCUUCCUGUGGGUAACAUUCGACUACUUUUACUCGUGCUCUCAGUAAGAAACCUCGGCUCAAAUUACAUGAGUUCCUCAUGACCAAACAUUGUAUUAGUGCACAACGGAUGCAUACCGUGUGCUAGAUCGACUAAAAUCACUUUUCGAUUGAAAGUGCAGGUCUUGCGUUGAAGUCAUUAUCAUUUACUGAUUGAUGUCUUCACUGUAAGCUAGAGCUGUAGAGUCGCCGACCACCGAAGCACUCAGAGUUGAUGAUGCCAUCGGAAUCUCUUAGGACGCCUAUUUAACUGUUGAAGGCUUAUCCGACAAUGAUUUCAAUGUGAUUGAUGAACCACUAGAUUACAUGCACUCCAAUUUCGAUGUUGAAUGAGACCCCCCGCAAGUGACUAAUCAAGCCGCUUCCAUUUCAUCAUCAAACACACUUUCGCCUUAACUUGAUCAUGCGUAGAUUCAUGAAGGUCAAGGGUGAGUCUGAAUACUGGACAUGGAAAUUACCAAGGGAGAAAGUACUCAGCGAUCACGAUCAGUGGGAUUUCUGAACUACUCCUUCACCUGAGAUCAUGUCACCACAAGAGGCAACGGAACGACGAUGAUCGCUGACGACAUUGUUUCACUCGGCUCACAGGGUUUUUUACAGCACCUUGUUGAAUUCAAGUAGCUGCUACUUCUGCUGUGUUGGACUGGAUUGGAAAAGAUGUAUGAGGCAAAGAAUAAAGGGAAGGGAGGUGACCAACAUGGCGGCGGACUGUCAAAAUUUUCAAGAUGACGGAAAACUUUGGCUACGGAUGAUCAUGUAAGCAUCAAAAGCAAUAAUGGCUCAAGAGCUCAGUAACAUAAGUUCAAAUGACGCUUCUAUUAGGUUCAUUGCCAUCUGCGCACUCAGGCCAACACACGGCCAUCACCUGUCACUAUGUAGAGAUUAGGUUCGACCAACUUCUAAGCACAGGAGGGUCGACUCAAACUUUGACAUCACUAAGACGGUAGCGGGUAAGCCUCGCCUUUCACGUCUUCCUCAUUUCUCCACGGCGGUACCAUUCUCCACGAACGAGUUGAUACGGCAGUUCCGCAGGCAGCCCUUCUCACUAUAUCUAGAGCUAUCUAGACAGGUCCAGGGACUCUAACCGAUGGACUUCUGACCUACGUCACUUUUCUCAAUCAACACGCUCUGCGUGACCAUAAAGUGCCUCGUUUGCGCUCAAAAAACUCACUGAGAGCGCACCUGUCCACUUUCAUGUCUUGAAGACAAUGUAAUGACGACGAUCAAGGGGCCGAAACUAAAAGAAAAAAACCCAAUUCCUUCCCAAUCUCGUUGAAGAUUCCGAGAGCAGAAGCAAUACAGAGCCAGAAGAUAAAUUUAGACCUUUCCGGUCCACGGCCAAGGCCAACCUAACCAAGCAUUGCUUCAACGCCAGCUUCAGACCGGAAGCUAAAUUGGUUUUUUCAGUGUCGCAGGCUGAUUUCCCAUGGGUUCUGAAUAAAGACACAACCCAGCAUGUCAUGGGCUCAAUGACAGUAAUGGGCCCCCCGAAGUCACAACCGGUCAUAACAGUGUCACUCGCAAUGCAAAUCGUUGAGACCUGCUCAAGCAACAGCACACCAUAACAUACUCCUCCCACAAGAGAGCAGCUGCGUGGAUUUCGGACGCGAUAUUCGCUCUUGGGGGUCCUGAAAAAGCCUCCCGUCACAUGCAGCAAUCUGGGAUGGCGGCAUCACCCUCCAUUCGUUCCGAAUCUAUUCUCCCAUAUUGAAAUGCACGCAAUCACUGUCAGAGCACCUUCGCAACACUCCAGUGAGCUGUACAGAUUACUUUUAACAAGCUAUUUAUCAGAAACUUCAAAACUCAUGCGCUUCAAUUGUGGGUGGGAAGAUGCCACGACAACGGAGAUGGAGUCGAUUGCAAAGGCCUUGCACCUUGACAGAUCGGUAAAGUUGGAGGGUACAAACUCGAAACCAGCGGGGCAAGAGUGGAUGGCAAGGCUGGAGGGUUCAACAAGUAAGCAAACAAGCAGGAAUUAGAGACUAGGUGCGGGGACAAGUGCACUGGAAGCUCAAGAGCUGCGAAGUGAAGAAGCAAUGGGGGUGAAUGGACAGUCUUCAAAUUAGGAUUUCCUCAAUUGGACAUGAACAUCACGUGCAUGCGUGAACGCACUUAUAUAGAACUAUCGUUCGUUCAUUCGUAAAAUUCAUUCAUUCGUGCAGGCCUUCCAUUCAUCGAAAUUGUGCGUUCAUCCACUUCGGUUGUUCAUUUGUUUCAGUCGUUUGUUCUUAUCGGUUGUUCAUUCUAAUUAUUCAUUCAUUCUUAUCUGAAAGAACAAAUGGUGUCAUGGUGCAAAGUGAGCAUGACACCAUCAAAGGCAACUUGAGAGAAAGACGUAGUAAUAUUGAAAUUGAUAUCCAUCUGGUAACUUGCAAGAGCUUCUACAUGGAUCAAAAGAACUAAUUUGACAUUCCUUUUUCUUCCCCAAAAUUAAAUGUACCAUACACAUAUGCAUGUAAAUAUAAAUAUAAAUUUUCACACACACACACACACACACACUUAUCAAAAAAAAUUACAUGUGUGGAAAAAUUCUGCUGUGUAAUUUAUGUUUAAAUUGAUGCCAAUGCAAAAUAUGAAUCUUGGAAGCCAACAAUUGCAUUUAUUUUGAAAAUAUAAAAAAAAUCAUAUUAAAAAAAAUAUAAUAGAUGUGUUUCAAAAAGUCAAUUAGAAAGUUAGCUUUUCCUAUCAGUCCUAGAUAAAUAUGCAUGUCCUAUAAAUAUACGUGAGUGUGUGUGUGUAUAACAUGCAAUGCUUUAUUCACAACAAAAUCACUGAUUUAAAGUUGGACACCUCACACACUCAACCACCAACACAUGAUCUGGAUUGCCUACAUGUAUGUAUGUAUGUAUUAUUACCACCAUUCUAAAUGGACAGUAGGGGGAUGCAUGCUGCAUUCACUAGAGAUAGCACAGGAAAGGUAACGUUUGCGUUUUGGACAAAGAAAAGAAAAACGGCUAAAGUUAUGUUAUCGGGAUCUGCGGCUGGGAAGACACCGCAAAUUAUGCAAAAUGGGAGAGAGGGGGGUGCCAGGUUGGCAGCGGAAUUAGGAUGAGGUGGACAAAAGGUAAAGUCCGAUGCUCUCGGUGUGGAAGGAGAUAUUAUCAAGUGGUUUCUCUCUCGCAGGUUGGCUGUGGUGGCACAGGCACACCUCCCCAGAGCCCAUCAUCCAUCGCUAUUCCUGCUGCUGCCUCUUCUCGCUCGCUCUCUUCCCUCAUUCCCUCUUCUUUGCUGCUCGAAUCCCUUGUGCCUGCUUCCCACUCCCCUCGCUUUCCCGUUCCGAUCCCUUUUCUCGCCGCAGAAUUCCGUCUGGGUUUGAGUUUUUUUGGUGCAGUUCGAGGGUGGGUGUGAGCUGUGCAGAAGCGAGGAACGAUGCUUUGUGGGUUGUGUCAUCUCAGGUAGUGGAUUGCGUCUGAGAGUUUUAGCGUGUCUCAUGGUGUUGUGAUUACAGGUGGAUCGAGGAUUUGUGGGUGGGGGGUUUUUUUUGGGGUGUUUCUGAGGGUUGGAAGGUUAGGGUUUCGUGAUUUUUGUAGAGGUUUGCAUCUUGGUCUCGGGGUGUAGAUUUGGUGGUGACACGAGAUACAGCAUAUGGGUUAGGGUUAAUAGUGAGGUAUGCGUUUGGUCGCGUUUGGUCGCCUCCCAAUGUGUUCAGCUCAAUUUGGAUUUGUUGUGGUUUGGAGUAGAUUUGAGUUUGAUGAGUCGUGGGGAGGAUUUUAGUGUGAAGCGCUUUUUUGGUUUGUUUUGAACGUUUUUGACAUUAACAUCGAUUUGAGAUUUUUGUCUCCUUUACUUUUUUCGAGUCUGUAGGCGGAAGUACUUGGAAAGGAGUUCCUUUUGCAUCUGAAUCGUGGUGUAGGUUAGAAAAGAGAGAUGGCUGGGAUCUUGAAAAAGAUUUUUGGUGGUUUUUCGCACCACCAUAACAAGAAAGAGGAGAAAGAAAAAAUUGAGAAGGAGAAGAAAGUUUCAGAAGUUGUCGCUCCACAAUCGAUACCUGAAGAAGUAAGUUCGGGACGAGGAGGACGAGGUUUCAGUGUGCAGGUUGCCGUUCCGGCAGAUCCUGUUGUUCAUGCCCCUGUUGUUUCUGAAUGUAAUGGUGAUGGCGGAGUCCAAGUAAGUUUUAACUUCGUCAAAUGCCUGUUCCUUUUGUUUUCUCGUCAUGGCAGUGUUCCAUGUUCUGUUGGUUAUAAGUGUCGAGGUUGAAGUGCAGUAGAUCCAGAAGUGAAAGCUGUAGCAGCAGCAGCAGCAGCAGCAGCAGCACAUAUUUGGCAAGUCACGUGUGAUUUAAAGCCCACUCUCUCUGAUGCAAGACGUGUAACAAGGAUGUUGCUGUAACUUCAGAGGGCAUUCAAAUUUUCUGGCUGCCAUUGUGUUUGACAAUGCAGCUCCUGCAAUGUUAUACACACACUGGGCAGUUUUUGAUCUCUUGCUGAAUUCUUCAAGUUAAAGAUGUGUGACCUGCUUGAGUCAAUUAUAUUAGUUUAGAAGACGAGGAUUAAAUAGGUAGUCAAUCGGUUCCUAGCGUUGGCCAGCUGUUAAUGAUUACGGCUUCAUUUCGUAUCUAGGAGUUGUCGAAGUCUGACCUCUUUCGUCUUUACAUCGAAUAAGUGUUUAACUCGAUGUUUCGGCUUUCGACACUUACUCUUUUCGGUAUGCACAGGGGUUGACAUGGUAUGCUAAAGAGCUUCGUGCAGACGACGAUGGCGACGUUGCGCAAGAGUUUUUGAAGGAAGUCAUUCCUGAGUCGCGAGACCCCAGUGUAAUUACUCCGUCAGGUUUCGAAGCAGUGGCGGCAAAGCACACAAGACCGCUGAAAUUUAAAGGCCCUGUUUGCACACAGAAUGGAAACGUGCAUAUUUCUUGAGUUUUCUAUGAAAUAGCUGUGGAUAUGAAGAGAACUUCAUGCCGCAUUAACUUAAAUUAUAAUUUGAGGUCAGUCGUGUAAGGAUAGUUUGGCUGUUUCCUCCAUUCUUAAGGUAUGCAUGCCUUUAUUUGGACUUUACGUCCUGACGAUUAAAAAUCUACAUCUAGCGUCAAUUCUAUGAAUUGCUGAGAGAUUCACCUUUCAGGUGCUUGUUUCUGAUCUUCCCAGAUCGGAUUUAAUACUCCUCCUAAGGUAGGUGGAGUUCAACUUGGUGUUGAGGUAUUUUGUUCAUCUGCUGCACCUAUUGAUGCUUAUGUGCACAAUGGUGCUGCCUGUUGAAUAUGGAUCGAAUUUCCCUUUUUUACUGAGGCUUGUCCUUAGCAGCUGUAUCAUGUCUCUCAUACUGCGUCAUCUGAAUCUGCAACUCAAUUGUUACACUGUUGUUUAGAGUUCCAUUAGGAGUCUCAUGUGGUUCAGGACAUAUGUCAUAUUUAUCUUAUUUUAGAAUGUGCUGCAAAGAUUUCUGAUGGGAAUGUGAGAUGUUGCCUUUACUUCCGAGGUUUUACUUCGUGGACGCUUGUCAGUCUCGCCACUUUGAGAGGGACCAUUCGUCAAGGUGUAUGUUCGCAGCCCAUCACGUGAUUAAUUUUCAACAAUAUAGAAGCUCUACUGCUACAGGUAAGCCAUACUGGAACCUUGCAAGUUCACAUCAGAAGUGAAUUGGCGACUUUGGAAUGUGACACACAUUGCUACGGAAUAUCCAGAACGUGGUGGAGGUAUGGAAGUAAAGUUAGUGCUCAUGGAAAUAGCAUGGAUUGGACAAAUCUACUUGUUGUGGGAUGCUAAGAGUUGUCAACUGUACGAUAAAAGCAUUUGCAUGGUUGUCAACAUUUUUAUAUGUUUCAUUGCUUGAACAGCUUUGCAAAGUUGUAAGCAUUUUGGCACUUAAAAUAGCAUUUUCCAUAAUUAUGCAUUCAAACUUCUUCUUCGAUUCAAUUUCGAUACAAUACUCAAUUCAUUAAUGUGGGGCUAGAAUAUCACAUUACCACUUCUAUUUUUGUGUUGUUAGUCAAAAGUUGCGGCUUAGAAUUGUGAACUGGGCUAGUCAUCAGGAUUAAUUUGCUUUGAAGACAUGGUUUGUGAUGCCAUUUCAUUGCAUUUUAGUUGUAAAAUGGUAUCACUUGACUAUAUUUGAGGUCAUAUCUCUUUUAACAGACGACGCUUUCGAAUAAUUCUGAUUUAACAUUGUAAAAUGUUAAAAACUCAAAUAAUAUUUCAAAAACCCAAUUUGCAACGAAGCUAAAAAUAGAAACGCCUUUGCAUGAUGUUCAAAUAGCAAGCUGUAAGAGAAAGCAUAUGUUUUAUUUUUACGAAUUGCAUUACACAAAUUGCUUUGAUACUUUGAUGGAAAUCUUUGACAGCAUUCUUAAGCAAAGUUCAUAAAGUGAAGCAUUUUUGUUCUAAAAUUUAUUUCCAUUCAUUAAAUGAUUGAUUUCUUUUGUACCCUUACGAGGUUUGUUUUUAAAAAUAUGUGUAUAUAUUUAACACAUAGCAUUAUUUUGCUAUGUGGAUAUAUUUAACAUGUUCACUUAUAAAUAUAUGUUUAUAUAUUUAACACAUACUAAAAUAAUAAAUAAUGGGUUUAUUUUUAACAAAAAAACACAAAAAAUCAAAAAUAAAAACAUGUAAUAUAUACAUAUAUAUAUAUAUAUAUAGUGAAAGUAUUUUUAUUAGCUUUUUUUAUAUAAAGAAAAAAAAUGCAUCCAUUGACUCUUCAGAAUACAUAUAUAUAUAUAUAUAUAUAUAUAUCACUUAUAACUUAUAUUCUAAAUUAGGUCUUGUGAAAAAAUAAAAAUAUCAAAAGCAAUACUCAUUCUACAUGUAUUUAUUCUUAUAAAACUAAGAUUGCCUAAGCUUAAAUUUAAUGCAAUUUAAGCUUCUAAAAAUACCUCUACUAUAGAGAAAUAAAAUAAUAAAUAUUUUUAUUUUAAAGUUCAUUUAAAUAAUAUUAUUUUAUCAAUAAUAAAAGAUAAUAUUUAUUAUCUUAAAAAUAUAUUUUUAAAAUUUUUAAAAUAAAAUAAAAUAAAAUAUUUCACUUUUUAAGUAUUUUUUUUUUGUUAACAUCAAAAAAUAUUAUAUAUGUCAAUGGUUGAGUUUGUUGAAGUUUCAACUUGCAAGUCUUUGGUUUGCAAAAAUGUCUUUAAACUAUCCAAGCUUUGAACUACCUAAACUCUAGUAGUUCAAAAUAUUUAAUAUUUUGAUUUAACAAUUCAAAUCUUCAUGUUUUUGUUAUGUAAUUUGAUAGUGAAUUACAACUAACCUUAGUUUUUUUUUUAGAUUUUAAUAUUUGUAAAAGCAUUACAUUUAAAUAUGAUACUUUGUAAUAAUACAAAGUAAUUUUUUUCUUAAAUAAUUUUAUUUAUUAAAAUAUGCACAAAUUCAAUUUAACACACAACAUAAAUGAAAAUUAUUUUGGGACAAUUUUUCUUAGUAUAACUGUUUGAUAGCAAGUGAUUUAGUAUAGUAUUUUCUUUUAAUCAAUUCUAAUUAAGAAGUAAAAUUCCAAAACUAGUCCAUAAAAUGUUGACAACGUUCAUCUAUACAUUGCACUUUUCAAUGAGUUUCAAACCUCAACUAAACUAGGAGUAAAUAAAUCAACAUGUGUAAGAGUGCUAUGACUAACUCUUUGCAAGUUCAACAAAUACAAAUAUCAAUCAUCAACAUUCUCCAAAAUUAUACAAUGUGCACAAAUCACAAGUUAACAAAACCUAUUAUAUUAUCCAUAAAUCUAGACAAUAAUAAACAUCAAUACAAGGAAUGAAUGUUAGACAUUCUAAAUGAGUAACACAAACCAUUAAACCAUUGAUGCUAUAGUGUGUGGUGCAAGCAUAGGAACAAUUAGGGGGUUUCAAACAUGGCACUUUUGCAAAACUAAAUAACUGAAAUUCAAUACCUAAUAUUUUUAGAAUCACUCAAAAUAUCAAAUCCAAAACAUUACCAUUAACCAUUGAGGGAAGAGAGUUGAGGCGAGUGACCCUGUUUUUUAUACUUGAAAUGCCCCUCUUUUCAUAUUUCAAUUUCAAAAUCAUCCAACUCGUGAGAGGUAGGUGAUUUGGUGAAGUAUCAAGUGAUAUUUUGAAGUGUCAAAAGAUUUUGAGCAAAUAUCAUGGGUGAAAUAUCACCCGAGAAGGCCAUGUUUGGACCCAAUUGACAUGUAUCAGUCAGGACAGAGGAAUAUUGAGGAGGAGGAGCUUGGCCACCACCUACACAGCAGCACCACCACCAGAGUUGUUGUUGUUGUACCAUAGCUAGUGUGGGAGUGAGGGAGGCGUGGGAGGUGCUGCGUAAUGAAUGAAUGGAGCACUCACCUGUCAAGUUGCAGGUGGUGGUGGUAGUGGUGCUGCAUGGAUUACACACAGUCUAAGGGAGCAGCUCCGCCAUGCCAGCAAUCUAUCUAGUCUGAGCAAACUCCAGCUUGGGUUUGCAUGAUCUCAUGCCCAAUCUCUGCCGAUAUAAAACUCACCCACAACAUGGGGUGUAGCCACUCAAACCUCUAGCUGGACUGCAGUACAUUAGUGCAGGAUUCAAGGACGCUGGGUUAGUGUUUGUCUUGCCUUUGUUGUGGGUUGAACGCCCACUGCAUCGCUUGCAAUCAUCAGCAUAUUCUCCACAUGCUGUGAGUUCUGUGGAUACAGUUGGGUGGGAUACGGAAUGGCGUUAACGAUGAUGUUUGCUGUUGUUACUGUUGCUGUUGCUUUUGGAGUGUUGUUUCGUGUCGAGCAGGUUGUUGCUUGGGGAGCUGACGGACACCGAGUCACUUGUCUGAUUGCUGAGGUGAGUUGGACUGCGAGGUGCUGCAGGUUGAGUGGUUGGAUGUUUGUGAUAAGUUGAGGAUGUGUUGGCUGGAAGAUCUGUUGGAGAUUAUGAUUCUGUGGGUGCUGCAGCCUCUGUUGUAUGAGCCUACCAAACAAGCUAUCGCUGCAUUGCUCCCCAAAUCUGCCAACGGGAACUUGGCCGACUUGUGCACAUGGCCAGACGACGUGCGCUGGAUGGAUAAGUAUAAAUGGACCCGGGAGCUUCACUGGGUUAACACCCCAAACCACGUGUGCAAGUAUGACUACAAUCGUGAGUCUGCAACUCCCAUUCAAAUUACGUAUAAUUAUGCAAUUUUGUUUCAGUCAGAGGGUUGUGGAAGAUGCAGUUUUCUUUUCAUGUUUUGGUGCAGAUCUGGGAACAGAGGAUAUGAUCUUUGGUCUUCAGUCUCGACAUCCUGAGGGAAAAUUGAAGUCCACUCUUGAGUGUCGCUUCUGCUCAUAGAUUCACACAUCUCUACAGAGGAACUUAUGAAAAAAAUUUAUAAACUGCAAGACCAUGUUUUUCGUGGUUUGUUAUUAUCCAUGUCGUGCUGAGAAGAAAUGAAACGAUUUGUAUGACAGGAGAUUGCCACGACCACAUGGGAACUCCAAAUGUGUGCAUCUCAGGGGCUAUCAACAACUUCACCCAUAUAUUGUGGAAUCACACCAGAAACCGCAACAUGAAAAACGGUAGAGGUAUUCUACUUUGCUGCUAUGAAGUUGCAUUAAAAAUGUUUCUCUGUUUGUUUAUUUUCAUUCCUUACAAGUUGGAGUUAGAACCAAUGUGUUCGAAGAUCUCGCAUGGUUUUCUAUUGAGCUCACAAGCACACUAAAGCCUGCAACUAGAAAAAGAAUCCACUCAGAUUCUGGAUCUUCAAGUUAUGGAUCCUCAUCAGACAUAUUCACUUGUUACCGGGCAUUUGUAUUCGGGGAAGCGGAAGAUGUGACAGAAGCUCUUCUCUUUCUAGCUCAUUUUAUGGGUGACAUCCACCAAGUAAGUACUUGAAUCACUGGUUUUUAAGAUCCCACAUAGCAUCAUCCAUCUAAUUUAAACGUAUCCUUCUCAGCUCCACAAUCAACUACAGAUGUGUGUUUCUCGAACAAGAAAUUGUGUACAAUUCUGAUGUGUAGGAUAUUUUUAGUAUGCGAACCAUCGAGGUGAAGUUCGUGUUUGACAAGCUUGACUGCGUUGAUUGCAGCCAUUGCACACUGGCUUUCGAUCAGACCAGGGAGGAAACAACAUCAGCGUAUAUUGGUACCAUCGGAGAAGUGACUUGCAUCAUGUAAACCCUCUGCCUGGAAAUGAAAGCAGCCCAAUUACCUCGAUCCUUUGUCGAAUUGAAAAGUCCCACAUGCUGUUUAACCAAAAAAUAAAAAAUAAAAAAAUAAAAAAAAUAGAACAAGUUAACUUCUCAUUUCUAAUCUCAGCGUUUUGUGUUGCGGAGCAGGUAUGGGAUACUGAAAUUGUUAGCAAAGCAUUGAAAGAAAACCACAACUCAGAUCCGGAAAUCAUGGCUGACAGUAUACUCAACAAUGCAACAGUAAGAAAACCUCACAUGCCAUUAAUAACGAAAGCUUCAUAUCGAAGAGAUGAGCAAUUGCACAUCAAUAGCUUCUAAGAUCUGAACUGUCUACAUGCUUGAGAAACUGUUUCAUAUAUCCAUUGAUGGGGAGGAGAGAGCUGCAGGACAAUUGGGCAAGUGAGGUCGACGCUUGGGGCAUUUGCCACAACCGCAAACUUUCCUGUCCCGACACGUGAGUGAAUUCUCCAAAGGCUCUCUCAAUCUUCUAAUGGCAAAAACUGAAGAACCGAGAGUGCAAAACCAGUGCAUGUUAUUUAUACCCAAGUAUCUAUAUUUUACGCUUUUGAGAUCAUUGAUAUAGAUAAUUGAUCUCCAUCCUUGGCAGGUAUGCAACGGAGAGUAUAAAUCUUGCCUGUAAGUGGGCAUACAGUGGUGCUGCCCCUGGAACUGCACUUGGUGGUGAGGCCCUUACACUCACUUUAUUGAUUUGAGCACAUUCUCAAAAACCUCUACUAAACGCCGCAACCAUUGAAAACCAAGCGUUGUUCUCCCUGCGCUUGUAGUAAAAUAAACUUCCAGGUUGACAGACAGAUGUGUUCACAAGCUGACUCGUUUUGCGUUGCAGCUGCUUUACUGGGUUUCUAUGAAGCUAGAAAUUGUAAUGUCUACAGCAAAUAACGUUACUUUUGUUACAGAGAAAUACCGAAUGAGCUGAACAUAUUUGCUAAUAUUUAUAUAUUUUUUUCUGGCUACUUGUGUAGAUGAAUACUACACGUCCAGGUUACCAACAGUUGAAUUGCGGUUGGCACAAGGAGGUGUAAGGCUUGCAGCAAUUCUGAACUCUAUAUUUGAUCCAAAUGCCCCCCAGUGAAGUUUUCUUCUCGUCUCAUAGAAAGCUUACAAGGGAGACACGUUUGACAAAACUAACAAAAAAGAAAACAAACAAAAAAAAACAGGACACAGUUUGGUGAUAAUUGAAGGGAGAUUGAAUCACAAACCAGUUUGACAGAAAGAAUAAAAUUAAAGUCCCAAAAAGAGUUAUCAAAUGCUUACACAAUAGCAGAUUCUCUGAUUGAGUCACCUUGUGAAUACAAUCGUUUUACAUUUUUUGAGAAGAGUCAGUAUGGAAAACUAAGCUUAGUGAAAACAACACAACUAUUCCACUUUGAAAAACAAAUGUAGUAGUACAGAUUGUAAUGUCUUCUUCUACAGUAAAUUUAAGCAAAUACGAAGUCCUUAAAUUGUAGAAGUUGGUUUAUCAAUCGUGUAAAUAAUCUUAUGCUAUUCUUUUUAAAUUGUAUGUAUAGUAUUCACAAAUAAAAUAAAAUAAAAUAAACUGACGCAAUGUUAUUAUUCAAUGGAUCCUAAUAUUUGUCACGAUCACACAAUAUAUGAUUUUUUAUACUAUAUUUUAAACAUCCACACAACACCCACAAACUUUUAGUGAACAUUUUUCUCCCAACAGUAUGGAUGAUAAUGUCAUCAUCCACUGACAUCAUCCUUCAAGAUGAAUGAAUGUCGUUCGUUGAGGUGUCAUCCUUUGGGGUUCAUUCCUUCCAGCAACAGACGAAGUCUACGAAAUAUCUGCAAUCCUGCGUAUCAUGCACUCGGAGAUAGAUAUCUUCGACACACUUUAGUGAUAAUUGUUUUCCAUCUCAAGGUGCGACUUUGCGGUAGUUUUAAUUCAUGAAUUUCAUCAUUAAAAAGUAAUAUUGUUUGGGUUAUGAAAGCUGCACUGAUCGUUGACAAGAGCAUGUUUAAACGGCCUUGGAAAUGGAGGAAAGGUUUGAGCUCGAAUCCGUGUUCACUGUAUCAAAUCCCAAACUUCAUUGUGCAGAAUGUGUCGUAGAGGGGUCCUUAAUCUGACACCCAUGCUUCGGAAUGCCUACGAAGUGAACAGCUGUGCCAUGAAAUGUUUGAUAUGUAGCAGCCUACUUGUACUCUAGCUCAGCAUGCUACUGAUAGGGGAAUACAAGCUAGCAAAUUCAGUGUGUGUGGGUAAAUCGAGAGCUCGGCACAGUUGCUCCAACGUUGAUUUUGAAUCCCUAAAGCGACCCCUAAACGUUUGCAAGCACGGUGUUGAGGUUAACUUUGACGCACGUUGAACGUCGUUGUGAUUCCUAAGUAGAGUUAGUGUGCGAAAUUGCACUUGAUGAAGAGAGAAAAGUUACCAUCAAAUGGGUGAUUGUGCGGAUCCCACAUAGAACAAAGAAGAAGGCGAAGAAGCUCGCGCCGCUGUCGCAUUUGAACUUUUCAGGUUUCAGUAGAUGACAUUGAUGGCACCUUACAUUUCAGGAACGAGACACUAAUUGCGAAGUGCAACAAGGCCGAAGCAACCACAGCCAUUUGGGUGCAAAGAAGAAAAUUCUGAUAUCCAAUGAUGGGCUACAUGAAUUUGUUAUUGCUACUAUCAGAAGACAAGUGCAAGCCAAAACGUGAAGAAAAACCUUGAAAGAAUAAUGCAAAAAGGUCCUGACGCUCCACUUAAGGAGAUAAUCUCUAAUUGGGUGGACGGCAGAAGGGGAGGGAAUGGGUCUAAAGAAACAAAGGACAUUAAGUGUACAACCUCGGUACAAUUUCGCUCAAGGCUCUUUGAACCAAUCUCAAUUCUACAAAAGCCUAACUGGACGGGGAAGAUGAAGCUCACUUCGGUUCAGGCCCCUUCAGACCUUUCCUGCGCUGCACCAACUGCCUCCAUCCGAGCUUCUGCUGUGGCUUGUGGUCGAGCUCACAAGGAAGAGCCUGAGCAGUACUGGUGAACACAUUGAGCACCGUGAAAGCAAGAAUGGGAGAUAGGUCAAUGGUACCCAACGGGGGAAUAAUGCCCCGGAACACGUUCAAAUAAGGAUCGCAAAUCGUGCUCAGCGGGUUCACGAUCACUUCAGGCGCGCUAGGGAACCAAGUCAACACCAACCGCGCAAUCAACACCGUAUUGUAAAGAUUAAGAAAGUUGUACACAGAGCUCGAUAUCACCAUCUCCGCAACAGAGUCACCAGGGAUAAUAGCCGCAAAGUUACGGCUCCGCAGUGCCACCUGCUUCGUCGAGGGAGCUCGGUUCAUCUGCACGCCCGCCUGGUAAUCCCCCAACCGCAACACCGCCUGCUGCAGGGCGGGAUUCCGGGCCACAAUGCUGUCGCUCACCUGCUUCAGCCACGCCUCCGCUCGCAGCAAGUGCUGUUCCGCCGCGGCCCGGAGCUCUCCACAGGCCCGGCGCGUGAGCAAUGGCAGGUUGGGGACGCCAUCCAGGUGGGAUUGCUUGCGAAGAGGCGCCAUAGCCAGAGCUUGGGUUGGAAAUUCGUGGUAGGGCUCGCAGCAGCUCGGCAACGAAGGGAAGCUGUGAAUUGCGGCACUACGGCUGUGGAGCUGACGAGAAUAAGCUCGAGACUUCGCCCCCUCCCUCCAGAUAAGAAAGCAGAGGGUUGGUUGCCUACAUGGCCCCCGUGGCUCUGCGACUUGCCACGUGACACUGCCUUAUUGGCCCUCUUUUAGCACACAUGGCUCCCCCACCCCCCAUCUGCACUGCCACCUAGGUGCUGACUCAGCUCCUCCGCGUGUGUCCCGUUGGCAUUGCGGAGGCCGACGUGGAGUUGAUUCGGGGGUGACGUCGGAUUGUUCCCGCCUUUGGAGCACAUGGCGUCCAUAUCUGUAUAAACCAUAGCACAUUAAAAUGAUGCACACUUCUACAUCCUUAAGAUGAGAAGAUAUAUAGGAUCUUGAUCAUAUUCAGAGAAGAGCAUCGUGAUAAUGCAACAUACAACUAUCCAUAUGCAAAUGCUAGGGUUCUAAUAUCUAUUCCUAUGUUCUUCAAUGCUUGUCUUUGAAAUUUAUUAAUGAUCAUUACAAAUCUCACCUUCAUUGGAAAUUGCCUUUGCUGCAACUUGAACAAAAUCUCUACAAAUGAUGGAUCCUUGGAAGAAAAGUCAUAUAAUGUGAUCCUUGGAAGAAAAGCCAACUAUCCUUUGUAGUCUCCAGGUAAAAAAAUUACUUUUAUAACUUGAUUAGUUAGUUGUAUAAGGACCAAUUGUGAUCUAUUGCAAAGUCCUUGAUGCAUAGCAAUGUUUUGCAACAACAUAAUUGGACAUCCAAUCUUGAGUUCCAGGCUACAUGGUGGCAAUCCAAAUGGAUAUAAACUUUUGAAAUUCUUAGUUGGAUAAUAAUUACCAUUAUUGGUACUAUCUUUUAUAAUUGCUAUAUCUACAUUGGGAUAAAUAUGUGAAAUUUCAAAAAGUCUUUGCAUAACAUCCUUGUUUAAAUCAUCAACAUCAUAAUUUUCAGCAAAUAAAAUAAACAUAUCAAUGAAAUAAUCAUCCAAGUAUUCCAUUAUCAUUCAAUCUUGAAUAAACUACUUAAAUCAAAUCAUUUGAAAUUGAAUCUACUUAUAUAUGUUUUAAAAAAAUUAUAUUAUUUUUCAAUGGAUCUAUAAUUGUUGAUCCAUUUCUAAUCUAUAAAUAAAAAAUAAUAUUAUAUAUAUUAAAAAUAACAAAUAUAUCAUUUUUUUUUAAAUAACAAUCUUAUAUAAUGCAUACCUUCAAAAGUUCUUUAGCAAAUAAUUGAUUUUCAUGAAAUACACAUUUAGACACAUGUUUUUGAAUAAUUUAUAUACUUUAGUAUUAGACUAGAUAUUUGAUCAUUGCAAAAAAGCAUCAACAAUCACUUUUCUUGAGCCAUUAACAACAAUAUGAAGAAUUUGCUGAAAAUCUCCACCAAAGAUUAUAAUAAUUUUGUCCAAUUACUUAUUAGUGUCAUUUAUGUCUCAAAGAAUUUUAUCAACUGCCUCAGCACAAUUGUGAUGAUACAUUUGUAUCUCAUUCCAAACAAUGAGAAUUGUCUUUCUUAGCACAUUUGUGUAUGGUGCAUUCAUUGUAAUAUUGCAAAACAAAUCUUUAUAAAGAUUGAGCAAAAUUUUAAACAUUAAGUAUGCAAUCCGUCCACUACUUAACAGUUGUGCUGCAAUUCUUGAAGAAGCAAUAUACAAAAUAAUUUUUCUAUCACUUCAAAAAUUCAUUGCUAUUGUAUUAUAAACAAAUAUUUUUCCACUUGUUCGUGGUCCUUCUAAAAAAUACAUCUUCCAAGAUUGUUAUCCAUUGAAGCAAGGAUAUCAACAUAUAUAAUAUGUUGUUCAUCAUUUGACUUUGGCACACAUUCUUCUACCAUUCUUUUUAACUCAUCAUGAUUCCAUGUCAUAUGCUUUAUAAAAAUUUAAUUUGUAUCAUUUUCAUUCCAAUUCUUUUUCCACAAAGGCAUCAUUAGAAAAUCAGCAAGUAUUUUGUUUGAUUCUUAAAAAAUCUUAUCAAGAAAAAAUAGUCCAUAAUCUAAUAUAUUCCUUUGCAUUGGCCUUUCAAUUCCAUAAUCUUGAGUUAAUUGAUAACUUAUAUCAUCACAAAAAAAUUCUUUAAACUUCUCUUAUAGCUCUUCUAGAUGUACAGGUAAAUAUUAAUAAAAUAUAAUAACAAACAAUGCUUUUAAUUGCUUCUUUAUUUUUAUUACAGAGGUUUCUUCUAAGCAUUGAUUCCAUUCUUUGUCAUCUUCCAACAAUAUGCACUUUUAUAAUUUGGUUGAAAUACUCUAUUUAUAUUAUGUAAAUCUUUUAAUGAAUGUGGUCUAUAUACCACUAUUAGAAUUAAGCCAAAGAUAGAAUCUUUUUCUUACAAUAUGAUCAAUAAAAUAUAACCUUCUAAUAGCAAAUUCAUAUUGUCUUAAUGUCCAUGUCUUUGAAAUCUUGUUCUAUACAAAAUAUACCAUACAUCAAUAUAUUACUUGAUUUCAUGAUAUUCAUUUUUAAUAUAUAUUUUUGUAUAAUCAUGCAUUUAAUAAUUAUACUUGUGAAUAUAUUUUUUAAUACAAAUAGAAGCACAAAUCUCAAUGUUGGUAUUGUAGUUAUACUUCUUACUAAAAGUAGGAUUGUAUGGAAUAAUAUUUUGAUUGUUUAUAACUUAAUUGUUAAUAUUAAAAGUUCUUCUAUCAUUUUUUCUAUGAUUUUGAUGAUAUCCAUCAUUAUUCAUUGAUAUUACUUCUUAUUAAUCUUUUGAAUAUUUCUUUUUUCAUAUUCUAUCUUUUAUGUAUGAAACUUACAUAUUUCAAGGUCAAUAUGGACUAUGAACCAUACAAAUGAUAAUUAUCUCAAACAAUAAUGGAACUUCUUUUUUACUAAAAAACUUUGCAAAAAUAAUCUUAUCAACAUUAGUUAAAUCUCUUAUUUUAUUAUUUUGAUAAAAAGUAAGAGUUAGAAGUACAUUUGCAAAAGACCUUAUUUUUGAAAUUCAAUAGUAUGCACUUUUAUAAGUCCAUGUCCUAAAAUGUGAUGCUUAUAAAAAUCUUCAAUCAAUGCACAAUGCUUUAAUUCAAAUACUCUUGCUAUUCAAUUAUGUCGAUCUUUGAUACAUUGUUCUAAAAAGGGUGUAUUUGAGAUCUCCAGCCACAAUGGAUUUGUUGUCAUUAUAUCAAAUAUAUUUAGAUCUUGACAGUAUCAAAUAAUGUCCAUAAAAUCUUAAAAAAUUUCAAACAAGUUUUUUGUACUUUCAAUAUGAGAUGAUAAAAGAAUUAUUCUUUGUCUUAGAUUUUGCAUAUUAACUUCUUGAUUUUGCACAUCUCUAAUAAUGUUUACUAGUCUUUGAAAUAAAGUAAUACAUAAUCUAUUUGAAUUUAUACUCAAAUAUUUAUCAUCAACAUAUAUAUAUAUAUAUAUAUAUAUAUAUUUAAAUAAGAAGUAUUAGAUAAAAGAUAAAUAUAAGUAGAUUUCAUAUUAUCUUAUGGCAUAGAUUCCUAGAAGCUUCAUAAAUGCAUAUUUGUCUUUAUACAUGUUUAUAGUUAAUUGAUAGGUUAGAAACUUGGCAAACAAGGUAGUUAUAUAUUACACAUGUGGAUAGCUAGUGGUACAAGCUAACAAUGUAGCGCGCAUAUAAGAAACUUGUCUUACAAGUUAAAACACAUAUCUUGCAAAUUGGACAUAUAUUAGAGAUCCUAUAAGAGAUAUAUGGAGACAGAAGAAUUAUUCUAGUUGAUAGUAUAUAUGGAAGCAAGAAUAAAGCAUUCUUUACUCUUGUCAAUGCCUUCUUAUUUCUAAGUCUUAUUUCAAGAUUUUCUAAUAUUUAUGUCUUUAGCAAUAACAAUUACAUUUUAAUAUUGUAUCAUCUUUGAGUAAUUUUCUAAUCUUUUUGAGUGACAUAAGAGUGUAUUGAUCUUUUAAUUCUCUAAGAUUUAUAUCCUUGACAAUUUGAUAAGAGAGCCAACUUAUUGUCUUUGUUUUGUGUUAGAAGUGAGUGGAUUACUCUACUUGUAUUGUUGUAUUUUGAAGAUUAUGCACUACCUACUUUUAAACUUCCUUUAAGUUUUCUAACACUAACUAUUCUUUUUGAAGAAAAUGGACUAUCUUUCUUUGUAGAAACUUUCAUUUGAUAUUAGAAGUUAAAAAUUGCAUUCCUCUAAUUUGACUUUUAGAUUUAUUUGAGUUGUCUAUAGAAGAAAAAAAUUAUAGUUGCUACUCUCAAUGGAAGUGAGAAUUCAUUUAUAAGUAUUGCAAAUAUUCAUGAGCUUGUUAACAUUCUAAGAGUAGAAAUCUUAUUUAUAUCUAACAUCAAUUAUGGAGGUAGUAUUUUGAUACUUAUCAAAUAAAUCAAUAAUAAAAUUCAAAAUCUAUGCAAAAAAAUUGUGUAAUUAAGAUUUAUUUUUGAGAAUAUCAAGAGUAGGCUUGGUAGAAGAAUUUAUUAGUUAAGCCAUUUCAUGCAAUAAUUAACUUUUUGUAAGAAGCCAAAAACAAAGAUUUGAUUGAAGAAGUACAAAUCAAGCUAUAGCAAUAAUUUCUAAGUUUACAAAAGCUUAUUCAUCAAGACAACAACCUAUAUAAAUUGACAAGAUAUAUUUUAAGGCUUUUAUUGAACAAGAAAAAAUUCAACUCCAUCAAGAAGAUUUAUGCUUAUAUUAAAGAAAACCUAAGCAUUACUCAACAUUGUCCAAAAGUGCAAUAUAACCACAAAAUAAGGAACAUGAUUUCCAAAAUAGAAAAUAUGUCAAAAAACAAUUUUUUUAGCUAUAAUAGGAACCGUGUAGUUGAAAUCUUAUAUAACACCUAAUAAAGAUCAUAUUUUCUCUUCAAAUCCCUUACUCUGUUUUACAAUAGAAGUUUAUUUGAGACCAAAUAAUCACAAAGUCUUUGCUUUAUUAGAUUCAAGAGCCUCAACUUUUUUUUUAUAGAUGAAGUCUUUGUUAAAAAAUAAGAAAUAUCUUUGAUCAAGAAAAAUAAACAUGUGCAAGUAAAAUUCAUAAAUGGUUGUUUGUUGUCUUUUUAAAAUAUUACCUAUAUAAAUUUCUUUAGAUGUAGUAACUAAAGAUUAUAAUAGCUUAGUAAUAUUCAAUGUCAUCAAAUCUCUAUUCAACUCAAUUAUUUUUAGAUUAUUGUGGCUAAAAAAAUAUAAUCCUAACACAGACAAGACUUUUUAUAAUCUUGAUUUUUUUUGUAGUUUAAUCUAGGAUUCUACUAAUUGAGUAGAAAUCUAUAAGUUCAAUAAAACCAAAUAUUUUUAAUAGAUACAAGAACAUUCAUACAUGUAGUAAAAGAAUGGCCAACUUUUGCAAUAUAUGCAACAUUUAUUUUUGACAAAAAAAAGACUUUAAAUGGCAUUUUGAGCUAGUAUAAGAUAAUCAAGAUGUUUUCAAAGAAAAGAAUGUAGAUAUUCUUUAAAAGUAUCAUACUUAUGAUUUUUCUAUUGAUCUUUAAGAUAGAGCUCAAUCAGCAUUUGGAUCAAUCUAUAGUUCAUUGUAAAAUGAAUUGAUUACAUCCAAAAAAUAAAUUAACAAGAACUUGACUAAAAACUUCAUAUGAAAUUUUAAAUCCCUAUAAAAAGUUGUCAAAGACAUGAAAAUUGAAAAAAUAAAUCCUCAAUAUAUUCUUAUAUUAUUCAAAAAGAUUAAAAAAUCACUCAAAGAUGAUAUAGUAUUAAAUUAGAAUAAUUAUUGCUAAAGAAAAAAAGACGAGUAAGUCUUAAAAGAAGACUUAGGACUAAAAAGGCAUUGACAAAAAUAAAGAAGGCUUCAUUUUUGCUUCCAUAUAUACUCUCUAACUAGGAGCUUUAUAAUAAUAUGCUAUAAAAAUUCCAACAUGUGUUGACUUUAUUAGACACAUGUUUUAACUUACAAGACAAGUUAUUUAUAUGUGUGCCAUAUAAUUAGCUUAUUCCACAAGUUAUCAAUACAUGUACUACUUGGUUAACUUAUUGAUGAAGUUUUUAACCUAUCAAUAAACUACAAAUACAUAUAAAGUCAAAAUCAUAUCUAUGAAGCUUUUAAGAAGCUUAUCUAAAAGAUAUUAUAAAAUUAAUUUAUAUUUAUCUAUUUCUAUUUAAUUAUAUAAAUAAUUAUUAGAAUAAAUAUAUAUAUUUGUGAUAUUAUUCUUUUUUUUAGAAACAAACUCCAUGAUGAGAAAUCAUCAUCUUUCAUGGAUCUUGCAAUUCUUUAUCUUCAUUUUGAUGGAUGUUAUUGAUGAAAAGCCUCAACUUUCUUUGCUACAUUUAGAAGAUUAUUUUUUGGCUUCUAUGUACAUUUACUAAUAUUAUAUCUAUGCUAAUAAAUAAGAUAUUCUAACUUAUCUUGGCAUCGCUUUGAUAUUGUAAGCUUGAAUCUUAUCUUAUUUGUGAAUAAGUCAAUCUUGUUACUUAUUGGUUAUAUCUAUUAGAAGACUAGUCAUAAAGACAAAUAGUCUUGAUAUUGCAACAAAGUAACCAUACCUUAUCACUUACAUUGAAUUAUGGUUGUUCCUUGCAAUAAGCAUUUGUAUUGAUAUUUUGUCAUUCUUAGGCUUCUUUUAAUUUUGUCUUCAUGGUUGCAUAUACCUUUAAGAAACGAUUAGCCAAAUCUUCCAUUAGAAGAUUAUUAACUUUUGAAAAGUUAAAAGUAUCAAGUUGUAGAUGAUAACCAUAAUUGGCAAAACAAUAUAUUUUUUUGAGUAUAAUAAUGUACCAAAUUAUUGUAUACAUUUUUUUUUUGAUACAAGAUAAGAACUUCUAAAAAAGCCAUUUGAUAAAUUCUUUUUAUUUUUUAGGUUGAUAAAUAAAUUUGAAAUCAAAUCUUAAUAAAGAUAUACUUCAAUGGACUAAGCAACAAUUUAAAAGACAUGCUAACAUGAAGUAUUUGAGGUUCUUGUAAUAUAUAUGUGUAUGUAUAUGUAUAUAUAUAUAUAUAUAUAUAUAUAUAUAUGUAUACAUACAAUAACUAUAUAUAAUAACUAGAAUAAAAGUGCCUUCUAGAUAAUGACUUCAUUUUUGAAACAAAUCCAUCAUUGCAAGUAGUUCUUUGUUCUAAAUCUCAUAAUUAAUCUCGGCUAUUGAAAAUUUCUUAGAAUGAAAAGCUAUCAAGUGGAGCUUGUCAUCUACUCCCAUUUAGGACAAAAUAAUACCUAUAGCAAAGUGUAAUGUAUUUUUUUUGAUAAAAAAUGCCUUAGAAAAAUUGACACAAUACAAAAUUGGUAUAGAAAUAAAUAUUAUUUUUAAGGCUUUAGAAGAUACUUUAACUUCUUUAUACCACUAAAGUUUAUCUUUACAUGUCAGAUAUAUAAAAAGAAGUGUAAUUUUAAAAAAAUCAUGAUAAAGUUUUUGUAAUAAUUGACAAAUCUCAUAAAAUAUUGUACAUCUCUGAUUAUUUUUAGAAUAUUCCAAUCUAUAAUAGUUUGAGAUUUCUUUGGAUCCAUCAUUAGUCCUUUGUUGAAAAUGAUGUAUUUUAAGAAGUCAACUUGAGUAGUGUGGAAUACAUAUUUUUCCAUCUUGGCAUACAAUCUUCUAUCUCUAAGUUUUUGUAACACAUAAUGAAUAUGAAAUUCAUAUUUUUUUAUGUUCUUAGAGUAGAUUAGAAUGUCAUCUAAGUAACAAAUAAUAAAAUCAUCAAAAAAUUCACAAAAAACAUCAUUCAUGAAAUAUUAAAAAGUAGUUGAUCCAGUUAUGAGUUCAAAAGGCAUGAUAUUGUAUCUGAAAAGUCUAUACCUAGUUUGGAAAGUAAUAUUCCAUAUAUUUCUUUCUUUGAUGCAGACUAAGUUAUAUGUUUCUUAUAGAUUUAUUUUUAUAUAGAUCUUUGUUUGAUUGACUUGAUCAAGAAGUCUUGAAAUCAAAGGUAGGAGAUACUUAUACUUGAUGGUUAUUUUUUUAAUUUUUGAUAAUCUAGGUAUAUCUAUAAAAAUCUAUAAUUUUUUUUAUAAAUACAAUAGGAACUUAUGUUGGAAAUUUAGAAUGACAUAUGAAGUUCUAGUCAAAUUUUCAUCAAUGUACUUUUUUAGUAUAACCAACUCAUUUUGUGAUAAGGUAUAGAUUGGUCCAAAUAAUAGUUGAAUUCUUUCUUAUAAAUCAAUUGAAUAAUUAUAAGAUUGAUACUUUGGAAGAAUAUCUACAUUUUUCUUUUUAAAAAUGUCCUAAAAAUCUUGAUUUGGCUAGGAAUAUCACUUAAUGUCUUUCUACCAUUAAAAAUAGGCAUGGCAUGUAUAACAAAAGAUGAUCAUUCUUUUGCUUUAGUAAUGAAAGCUUUUGGAUGUAUUAGUAAAAGUUUAGAUGUACAAGACUUAUAUAUUUCUAUUUGGCUAAUAAAAUUUUAGAUCAAACUAUAAGAAAAGUUAAGGUUAUAAAAAAUCUAAUCUAUUUGAGAAUUAUACUUUUUUUAGUAAAAUAAUCUUAAAAUAAUUAGAUUAGAUGGAGAUCUUAUUAUAUUAAAUAUUACUAUACUAUUAUGAUCUUUAAUUACUACAUGUAAAGGAACAUUUUUAUGGAUAACAACUCCAAAAGACAUCAAACAACCAUCUAUGACUUUUAUAUGUAUAGAUUUGAUUUUCUUGAUUAAUGAUAUUUCUUAUUUUUUGACAAAGGCUUCAUUUAUAAAACAAGGUGAGGCUUCUAAAUCAAAUAAGAUUAAGACUUUGUGAUUUUUUGGUCCUAAAUAAACUUCUAUUAUAAAAUUGGGAGAGAGAUUUGAAGAAAGAAUAGGAUCUUUAUUAAGUAUUAUACAAGAUUUCAUCUACAUGGUCUCUAUUGUAACUGAAAAAAUUUAUUUUUUGACACAUUUUUUUCUUUGAGAACCAUUUUUCUUAUUUUGUAAUUGCAUUACUUCUUUGAAGAAUGUUGAGUAGUGUGCUUGGAUUUUUCAUAGUAUAGAUACAAAUUUUUUUAAUGAUGAUGGAUCUUUUCUUCUUCAAUAAGAAGUUUAAAACAUAUUGUAUCAAUUUGCAUAGGCUCUGAUUAAAAUAAAUAAGCUUUUGAAAACUUAAAAGGUUUCGUUAAGGCUUGAGUUGUACUUCUUCAACCAAAUCUUUGUUCUUGGCAUCUUUCAUAGAAUUGAUUGUCACAUACAAUGGAUUGAGCGAUAAAUUACUUUUGUGAAUCUAUCCUUAGCAUUGUCUAUAAUAAAACUUUGAUAUUAUCUUUUAAUUCAUAUCAAAAUGGAUUGAUAAGGGCUUUAUCAUUCUAAUCCACAUUGUACAUAAGAUUUUGGAAUUCAGCACCAUAUAAAAAUGGCCAAACGUGAUUCUUGCCAUAGCAAUAGAAACUUGGUCUUUGCUACCUUUUUUUGAUCACUUUCUCUGAACGUAUUCGUAAAUACUUUUAAGAAUGAAUUUAAAUCAUAGAAUAGUUAUGAAUCUUUUUCUAUCAAAGGUGCAAACCAAAAGAAAGUAAUUCUUAAUAGAAGUGCAUCUAUGAAUCAUACUUGAAUAAAUCCAUUAGUAUAUUCCAAAGGAUGCAACCUUAAAAAGAGCUUAAUUUGUUGUAGAAAUCCUUAAAAAUUUUGAUCUUAUUCCAUCAAACUUGUCAAGUAUACUAAUCCUUACUUUUCUUGUAGAAACAAGACUUCCUGAAUUCAUUUGUGAGGUUGAUCUACUUACUUUAUUUAACUAUAUAAGUUCUUCAUAUAGACUUUGGAUUUCUACCAUAUGUAUAAGAAUAAUAUUUCUAUGAUUUAUACUAAAAAUAUAUGAGAUUUCUACUCUUAGACUGUUAAAAAAGUCAUGAAGAUUUGUAAUAGUUAUAAAUCUAUUUUCACUUUUAAUGAGAGUAGCAUCUAUUAUCUUUUCUUCUAUACACAACUCAAAAAAAUUUAAAAAGUUAAGUUAGAGGAAGAUAAUCUAUAACUUCUAAUAUCAAAUGAAAAUUUCUACAAAGAAGGAUAAUCCACUCUCAUUAAACAAAAUAUAAAUGUUAAAAAAUCAAACUAUUUAUUUAAAUAUAGGUAAUCUGUAACCUUUAAAAUACAACAAUAAAAGUAAGUAAUCUACUCACUUCUAAAACAAGACAAGAACAAUAAAUUAAUACUCUAAUAAAACUAUCAAGGAUACAAAUCUUAAAAAAAAAAAAAAUCUUCAAUACACUGUUAUGGCAUCCAAAAAGCUAAAGUCACUUAAAGAUAAUAUAAUAUUAAACUAGAAUGGCUAUUGCCAAAAACAAGAAGACUAAAAAGAUAUUGACGAAAGUGAAAAAGGCUUUAUUCUUACCUCAAUAUAUAUACUUUCUAACUAGGAGUUAUAUUGCAAUAUGAUAUAAGACCUCCAACAUGUGUUGACUUUGCUAAACAUAUGACCUAACUUACAAAAAAAGUUAUCUAUAUGUGCACCACAUUAUUAGCUUGUUUUACAAGCUACCAUCAUAUGUGGUUCAUGGUUAAUUUGUUGACCAAGUUUCUAACCUAUUAAUCAAUUACAAAUACAUGUAAAGUCAAAAUUGAAUCUAUGAAGCUUCUAAGAAGCUUAUCUAAAAAAUACUAUAAAAUUAAUCUACAUUUACCUACUUCUACUUAAUCAUAUAAAUAACUAUUGAAAUAAAUGUGUAUGUCUAUGAUAAGAGCUUUUGUCUUAUUUAUAAAGAAAAAAGACAAAUCUUUGUGAAUAUGCCUAGACUAUUGAAGAUUCAACAAGAUCACCAUCAAGAAUAAAUAUCUUCUACCUUGAUUUUAAAACUUAUUGAUCAACUCAAUUAAAGAAUAUUUAUAUCAUACUUGUUUAUAUAAGGAAGGUAAAUUUGUGUUACUUCAAAUUCACACCAAAAAUCACAUGAUAUUACACAACAUGCAUUAUCCCAUCUUUUGCUUCAGCCUGUCCUCCAACCACCAAAGUCGUCCAGAUCUUUAUAAAAAUUAUAAAAUGUCUUUCGCCUACUGCUUUGCUUCUAUGCCGCCUUUCCCUCUCUCACUUUGCUGCUGAAGAUUAGCUCCGCCCUCUCCCCCGAUUCUCAGCCUGUCUUGAGCAAAAUCCUUGGACUAUUGUUGUAUAAGAAGCUAAAAAUUCCGGGGUGUACCAUGUCGUAGUUGACAAGUGAGAACCUGAAAUCCUGGACGCUCCGUGCUACGAUCUAUGUGCCCUGAACCUCGCUCUUUUGUCAGAUUAUGAUUUUUGGCUUCUGAGUUUUUUUUUACCCAUCAUUGAGGCGUAGACUUAACAUUUCAAGAGUUUCUCUGAUCCAGCAAUCACAGAACAACGAAGUAUUACAUCUUCAGAUUCCAGUUCCAGGGAUGAUAGAAUUAUUAAGAUUUGUUGUUUUUAAAUGAAAGAGGUGAAAUGGUGGUUUGUAUUGUUUCGCUGUUUGGGGCCAUUAGCCACAUCUGAGCACUGUUUAAUUUGUUGGUCAGUCAUUGUUUUUAAAGGCGAUUUUGAAAUGUUUGUACAAUGGGUUUGUAGGGCGUUAAGAUUUUGAAUUAGAGCCGGAGCUACCGUCGAGGAAUCGUUACAAAAGCCUUCUCGGCGUUGGCUUUGCUACGUGGAUAUGGUUGGUACCGAAUGCCUGGGUUUCCCUUUGAUGGGUAGAAACUUAAACUGGCAUUGAUUGUUGCGAAGACUUCCCUCUCAGAAUUCAUUUUUUGUUUCUAGCAUAGUGUGGGGCUGUGGAGUGCUUGGUAGCUUCUGAUUUUUGUGUUUGUUUGAGGCAAAUUUACCGCACAACGGCUCUCAAGGAACAAGACCGGACAAGGUGAGAGUCGGGGGACAGGCAUUAUUCUCCUACACACGGUAGGUGGCUUCAGAAGUGAUGCAUGUGUUUCCGUUAAUAAAUUUCGAGAUGGGACUCAUUAAUGUGAGGCUGUUCAUGGUUGUAGGUGCAGUUAACGAUUGAAGCACAUACCGCUUGUUCUCAAUCUCGGCUUCUAAGGUCUUCCUGCUGGCUCCAUUCCAAGUGUUGCUGUCAAUACGGCUCUUAAAUCCCACUGCAAUGAAAGUUGAAAAAAAGGUAAAAAAGUAGAUUUCAGAUGAUGCUUGUGUCCACUGCUUCCACCUCCACACAAUCUGAUUGCGUCUUGUCAAACGUAACGUUCACGUACUUAUGUUUUGGAUAGAGCUUUGAGAUACACUGCAUAUGUCAAUAGGUAAAACUUCUUAUGUGAAAUUCGGCCACAUUCAAUGCAAAACAACAACUCCCUUGUUUUGCAGAAAGUACAAACAACACUGAUACCAACCUUAAUCAAACUCAACUAACAUCAGCAUGAAAUAAUUUGUCAUGCAGUGUAGUUCAAUACAGUUUAUGUCGGGCAAAUAUGGAAAAAGAAUCUACGAACACCCUUCCAUGGAAACCCAUUCACAUCGUCAACCUCAACCCACCUUCAGGGCGUCAAAUUUCCCAGAGGAGUCUCGAACCCAUCAAGCUUGCAGUGCCGACAGUCCUGACAUUCGACGACGACCACCACCACCACUCUCCGAGGUCUCGUUCCUUGAAAGACUUCGUGCGGUAAAUCUGCCUCAAACAAACACGAAAAUCAGAAGCUACCAAGCACUUCACAGCCAUUGUAAAUUCUUGUUCUCCAUGUACAAAAACAACAUGUGUUAGGCUCCACGUAGCAAAGCCAAAGUCGAGAAGGCUUCCAUAACGAUUCCGUACCAUGGAUAUUUAAAUAAAAUGACAAACACUGUUGAAUACAAAAGAGAAAAACACAAGCUGCCAGAGUUCGGCGUCGACACGCACUGUAGCUCCCAGUCUUCGGUAUCACCAGGAGGUGGAGGUUCGUAACAGUGAGGCAACAUUCAUACUCUACAACAUUGGUUAUUGUAAUGGAGCGAAGUCUGACGAUAUUUUGUACAUUGCUGCAUACCAACUCAGAAACCUGACGUUAACAUGCAAAAGUGAGUAAUACUUUGACGCACAUACAAAAGCGUGUGGCAAGAGUUGAGACCUCACAUAUCGAGCCCUUUUGAUUCGCUUUGCACCCUAAAUCAAGUCAACAAAGCCUUCGAAGCAACAUCACACAGCAAGCAUGCAACAACAUCGAAGAAGGGAUAAAGGAUGCAACGCUCAUCGCAUCGGACCGGCCACAAACGAUCUCCCAAACGUGUGCUACCUAAAAGUUCGGCCCGAGCAAUACAUGAAAUUAGUAUCAUUUAUCAAGCACAUUGCAAACAUUAAAAAUGUGCACAGACAGCUCCGCAACACAAUAAUAUUAUCCAUUCACCUUGUACCUAUCACUUACAGAAGCUCCCGCCGAACAGAAGAGCCACAGAGAGCACUCCAGAUCACAACUGAAGAGACGAAAAUGGAUUAUAUAAUAGAUAUAGACUAACGAACAGAGAUUGAUGCACAUACCCAAACAUACCCGCGAAGUCUGCGACUAUGAUAUAACCGGGUAUUAGAAGCGGAUUAUCCUCGGGAUCAGAUACCCGUAUGCGCACCGAUGCCCUAGAAGGGAGGUACCUCGGGGCUGGACGUCGACGAGUGUGUCGUUGUGGCAGCGACGAGGAGAAGCGCGGCGAUGAUUCCACUGCGUUGUUGAGCUCACGUUUCGAAGGUCUGUUUGUCCUCGUUUCGAUUUCUCGUGGGGGACCUCGUGACGCUUCCCCCUCCCGUCGCGUUUCGUCAUUCUCAUUGCCCCGUCGCGUUGGAGCCUCUCACCCCCUUUUUGCUCCCACCUCUGGUUAGGGUUUAAGUGAUCACUCUUCCCAGCUGCUGUUGCUGUUUAGCGCUCUGCUCAUCCAUUUCGGGUAAGGACAUUGUCUUUGUAAAUUAGGAGUGUCUUUGUUUGGGUUUGUUUGAGCUCGGUGGUUCCACGUGGAGAAGGGUCGUUGUGUGGUGUGAUUCGUUGGCGUUUUCGGGGUCUGAGUGCGGUAGGACGAGAGAUUCGUGUCGAUGGUUGUUUGAUUUGGCUUUUGACGGUGAGAGAAUCGGCCUUUCAAUUGUCGAAUCUGAAGUUGGGAGCGUGGAUUUCGGGUUUGAAGGGAGAUUUCAGUUUGACGACUUCAUGGGUUCGGGGGUAUGGUUUUCGGCUGGCGAUCUGAGUCAAUCAGCCGCUCUUGAGUCCCUUUUCCUACUGAGCGUGAUCUUUGUGGCGGUGAUGAUCUCUUGAAGAGUGAAUCGUGGAGGAGAUCCUUAGAGGGUGUUUGUUCCCCGUCCUCUCUCCUGCAUCUUGGCAUAUUAGUGUAGUUUCAAUACUGGUUGUUGAGAGUCUAUUGUGUGCUUUUUUGACGGGAUCGCUUCCCGGAUUUUGCAUGCAGUUUAGUUUUUACAAGGACUUUUGCAGAAAGAAAAAAAUGAACGAGUCACAAGAAAUUUAAGAUUGUAAUGAAUUCGACACUUGCAAAUCUUUGGUUCUAAAUUCUGAAACCCUACUUCAUUGGCCUCCCGACGGAAAGCUUGCCGUCCUCUAUUUUCUGUGACGCCUUCAAAUUUCUCAGUCUACUUAAAGACAAUGAUUGCUUGUUAGAGGAAGAUACAGGAAAGUGUGUGUUUCCUGAACGCUAGUACUUAAUUUUCUUCGGAACCCGUCAUCUGAUUCAGCUCAUCAUAGUAUAAACCAAAACUAUACCUGCUGAUUCCAUCGCACUAUCUCGCGAAGACUGGAAGUCUUUUUUCGAAUUCAUCAAUUUUAGAAUUUUGCCUUGUGCACAUAUGUAUUGCCUCCAGUUUUCCAUUACUGCCUAUUCUGAUUGUCGAAAGCGUAGACUGUUUUGCCUGAAUAGAAGUGGGAAUGUGGGUUUUAUGGAUGAACUAUUUUUGUGUAGCUUUUGAGGGAAGUUUCUUGUGGUUUAUGGUUUUUUUGCUGACCUAAUUUUUCUAUACUUAUCAAUGAGUAUUCUCUUGUAUUACUUUAUCUUGCUCUACUGGCAAUAUUUUCCUUUUUAUACAGGAAAGUUAAAGCGGGCCUUGAAGUGUAGUAUGCAGACGUAGUGCAUGAACCACUUCGAUACUCAACAAGUUUUGCAAAGUUUGUUCAUUGUUUGAUCGUGUGAACUUUACAGUAAUCUCAGGUCAGGCCUGAGAGUAUAAUUCGUUCAACUUGAGCAAACAUGGAGAGGAGAUUUCGUGCAUGUUCAAGUUGAAAAGGUUCCGAGCUGGUCAAGGUGGAUUCAAGCUGGUGAGUCUGUUCUUUUCCAAUGGCGGAGAAAAUUUCGCCAGGAUCGCAUCAGGGGUACUGGGGUCCAAUCACUGCGAGCACGGAGUGGUGUGAAAAGAAUUAUGAGGUCACUCCGAUGGUGGCUGAAUUUUACAAUACUAUAUCCAAUGUCCCCGGUAUCAUUCUUGCACUGAUAGGUCUAUAUUACGCCAUCAGCCAGAAAUUCGAAAGACGGUUCAGCGUUCUUCAUCUGUCGACUAUUGCGCUGAGCAUUGGCAGCAGUCUUUUUCAUGCCACACUUAAAUAUGCGUAAGAUCUUACAUCUUGCUGUUUAGCAGUUUUUAACCCUCUACUACUCGUCCAUAAACGUCGAUCUUGUGAAUCUGGAUAAGAAGGGCUAAUGUCUUGGCUUCAAAAUUAUUUCAAUGUCACACUUACGAGCGUAUUGCCUGACCAGUUCCUUUAUUGUUUGCAUGUGCGACUCUUGCGAGCAGUCAACAGCAAAGUGAUGAGACUCCUAUGGUAUGGGUGAUGCUUCUCUACAUCUACGUGCUCUACUCUCCAGAUUGGCAUUAUCGGAGUACAAUGCCUACUGUCCUGUUCCUGUACGGAACUGUUUUUGCCAUUCUGCACUCGCAGUUUAGGUUUGUUGUGGGAUUCCAACUGCAUUUCGUCUUGUUGGCCCUGCUUUGUCUACCGAGGAUGUAUAAAUACUACAUCCACACCACAGAUCCAGCAGUGAGGAAACUGGCUCGUAAGUAUGUCUUGUUUCUUGUUAUGGGUGCAAUAUGCUGGCUGGUAGACCGGCACUUGUGCAAUCAGGUAUCCAAGCUCCGGAUAAACCCUCAAGGCCAUGCUUUGUGGCAUGUGUUCAUGGGAUACAUCUCUUAUCUCGGCAACACAUUUUUACAGUAUUGCCGAGCUGAGCAACUCAAUUGGAACCCGAAGGUUGAGCAUGUGUUGGGAGUUUUGCCUUACGUGAAGGUGCAGAAGAGCGAUCGUGAUCGGAAGGAGCAAUAGGACCAAGUAUGACCAACGUGCAUUAUGCAUGUUUUUGUGCUAAGCCAUCGUAGGCGCAUGGUUGGUCAACAAUACAGUUAUUAGAUGGUAACGUAUGAAAGUCAACCUUUGUAAUGUAUCGUCUGUUUCCUUUCUUGGUCUUAAUUCCUGUUUUGUAAAGAGCGGUUAUUGGAAAAGAUCUUUCCUUCCUGGUUUGUGAGCCAGGCCCGGCCAUGAAAAUCUGUAUUACAAUGAAACUUUUCAAAAGAGCGUACAAAAUGACCUUUCUCGUUCCUUUGGACUUCACAGGUUUCUCUGCUAGUAUUAGGAUUUAUGGAGCUGCCAUGACACGUAGUCUAAAGUAUUGGCUCACUCGUACUCUGUACAUGAGCACCGUUCUUGUUCAAUUAGGUGUAUCAUGUCGUCAGAUUCAUUCAACCUUGAACAGGUGAUACAAUCAAUUUCUUUGCAAAAUAUGACCAAUUGGGUGUCGAUUAUGAACUGACUCCUGUCUCGAGAUUGAUAUUUAGCUUGAUUGAUACUCUAAUAGAAUUUGACAUGAAUUUGAUAGCUUUUUAACAAAAUUGAUUUCAAGUCUGGCACCUUAUCAGUAGAGUGAAUACCAUGUGUUGAUGAAUUGGAGUUGUAGUCUUAAAUUAGGCAAAUGAAAAAAAGAAAGAUAAAACAUGUGGUUGUUGAAUACAAUUCAUGUGUAAAUUGUUUAGGACAAAAUUUGAUUUGUUAUAGCCACUAGUUGCUUGAGUUUGACUUAUCUGUGGUUGAGUUUAUAAAUUGAUCAUAUACAGUUGGUAUAAUUUCAUAUAAUACAAUUUAACAUUGUACAGAAAAGAAAAAAGAUUAUUUUGUCAAUUUGAUUUUUUGGAAGUAUUCCAAAAUUUCCUAUUCAUUUGAUCUUUUUUCACUCUAAAUGAGACAACAUUGUGUUCAUCUAAAUUACUAUUAAAAGAAGUGAUACAUAAUUUUUCAUCAAAUCAAUUGAAUAAAUCAUUUUUUAUUUUUAAUUUAAAGUUGUACCUUUACACUAUGUAGACUAUUCAAAACAUAAAAUUUACAACACUGGAUUAAGUAAAACACAUUGAGUAAAUUAACUAAUUGUAUUUGUAAGUUAAGUGAAACUUUUGAGUUUGCUUGUCUAGGUUAAGAUGAUGAUGUAUAGCUAUGAGAAUGUAUGCUUGUAAGGACCUAUACUUAUUGGACACAUGAAUUAUGAAUGUUAGUUGACUUUGGAUGCAAAGCAUUCUAAAAGAUAAGGAUAUUUGGAACUUAGAUAAGCCACUACUAAAUGAAGGUUGCUCACAUGAAGUGGUAGGAUGAACGACUAGAGCCAAUUAGACCCCUAUUCAUGGUUGAGAAGCAAAUCAACAAAGAAUUAAAACAUCCAAAGCAAUAACUUAACUUUUAUUUAUUCUUGACUGCUUCUAGAACAUCAUUGACAUCCAAGACAAUGCUUUGAAGCUCUUGAGCACACUCUUUCAAAAUAAUACUAUUUCAAAUACAAUAAUAAUACCAAGUAAAUGAAAAUAUUUUUAAACAACAAAGCAAUAAGAUGUGUCUACUUUCAUACAACACAUAAACAUCAUGAUUUGUAAUCUAAGAUACCUUAAGUAAUCUCAAAGAAAUAAGAUAAUUAUUUAUCAAAUCUUGGUUUUUAAAACCAAUUAAUAGACGCUUCUUACUGCCAUGCACCUCUACACUUAUAUAAUAACACUCUUGAUUAUAUUAAAAAGGUUUAGAAUAAAUUUAUUGUAAAAAAAUUUCUAAAUGAAAUUUAUACGUUUUUUUAGAGUGCAUAAAAGAAUUAUGUGAAAUAUAUUAUCAUGUUAUUGAUGUUACAUUUCUUGAUUUUGCAAUCUUUAUGCCAAUGUUCAAAUUUCUAUUAUAUUUGAUAAGGAUAAUCUAAGCUAUAAUAUAAGGUUGUUAUAGAAGAAUCAUAUAAUAUGAGUUGUGAUAUUAAUUGACAUAGUUGGAGAGCUCUUUAUUUAUAACAAUGUGAUCCUACUUCUAAUGUACUAAGUGCCUUUUGUUAUUUCUUUUUAUUUAUAAGACAAAGAAAUAAGACAAGUGACAUUGAAACAACUAUUUAUAUACAUAAUAAAAUAAAAUAAUGCUACUAAUAAAUAGAUAAAUAAAAAUUAAAAUAAAAAUUAAAGAAUGAAGUUAAAGAUGUAACAAAUAGUUCUUUUAUCCUAAGAAAAAUCAUCAAAUAAGCCAAUAAUGGUACUACACAUCUCUUGUCACUUUUUUUGUAGAAGGAAUUUCAUCCUUUGAUAUUAUUUUCUUUUUCUUUUCCUAUGACAAGUCCUUUUUAACAAGAUGAAAAAACACAUUUUGGCAAUGUUAGAUUUUUAAAAAUUGCUCCAAAGAUAUUCUUCGAUAAAUAAAUAAAAAGUAAAAACACUAAACUCAUUUAUAUUACUUAAAUAGUGUUUUAUUAAUGCCAUUUUAAAUAUUUUAAAAAAAUAUUUUUGUGUGAUUUAUGAUUAUAGAUUAUUUGAAUUGUAAUAUAAGACUAUGUUAUAAAUUAUUGUACAUUACUAAUUUGUUUUAAUAUUUUAUUCUUGCAACAAAGAGGUUUUGAUGAUAACAUAUAUAUAUAUAUAUAUAUAUAUAUUUCAUGAUAUGUCUUAAAAAUACUUUUAAAUAUUGAUUAAUUCUAAUAAUGUUGUUCACAUCCAAAUAAUUUUAUCUUUAAACAAAAAUAUUUUAUUUUUAUGCUACCCUACACUUGCAAUAAUGCUACCCAACUCUUUGGAUCUAGCUCUCGCCAAUUAGAAGAUGCGUCUAUUAGAAGAUCAAACAAAAAUCGACAGGCCUUCCAAAAUGAGCAUGUCGGAGAUUGUUGCUGAUUUUACCUCACGUUUCUCCAGAUUCCUCGAUGCACUUGUGUUGCAGCAUUUGGGUGCAGGGAGCACGUGAUGAGCUUGCAAUGGUUGGCUUGAAUUAAGACUGUAACAAAAUUUUGAACUUUUAUCAGCUACAAAAACUACAUCUUGCUGUACAAAUUAUGCGCAAACAGUUCUCAGAGAAUUCGGGCCUAUAAACAACUUUGCAAUGGAACUCCAAACGGCAGCAAGGAAGCGGCGGCUUGGAAGCUAGGUUUGUUGGAUAUUGCAAUCAGCAUUCUCCAUUCAAAAUCAGGCUUCAUUGAGAGUUUGUCAUGUCCAGUGAAACCUGAAACUGGCUGGGAAUACCGAACAACUUGUCACCGCCAAAUCCACUUCAUUCGACUGCUGCAACACAUCUCAUUUCAUAAUCCUUUUGAUCGUUUCAGUAUCUCAUUUCAUGGCCAAUGAAUAGAUACCAUUCUAGUAUGCAACCAGGACCACUCAACACAAUCUUACAACUCAUCACAACUGUUCGAAUUUGUGUUCAGAAGGAUAUCUUGUAACCGUGUUCUGAAAUCUCAACCAAUCGAGUCCGUAACACUGUAACUCAUGGUGAAGCUCUUUGACAAUAUGGGGAGAUGCCUAGCACUCAGUUACUUGUAACUGGAAAAAAACACAAUGUCGCAAGUGCAGUUAUCAUGUUCCGCACUCAACUAGGUGCAGAAUCCAGAGGCCGGAAUGCUGUGCAUAUUUACCUUACACGUGAUAGCAUCAAUUUGAAAAAAGCUUGCUCCUCCUAUCAACGCUUCAGGAACUAGCAACAACCAGAACUACCUCGCAGAUGUACUCUGCAAACUCUUCUUCAAAAGGGGUUUUUGUCUUGGCUAGUCUGGGAAGCUUUUUAAGCUUUCUUAACUUGGACGUCACCACUGAAGCUCUCACCACACACAACCCCACAUCAUAGUUGGUUGCUUUGCAAUAACGUCUUUGUCCUCUUGUUCACUCAAAUUGCUUUAACGUUGAUGGUAUCCAGUAUUUUGAUCCAUGUCAGUGGACAUAAGAAAGUUGUUGAUCUUGUCAUGUUUUAGAGGUCACUAAAAUGUGCAUAUCAAUAAGGAAGAGUCAUCUAAACAAUCUCAAAGUAGUUAUUUGACAUUUAUGACAUUUUUAUUAUAAUUUUUUCAUGGUUGUUUGAUUAUUCAAAGUAUGAGUUUUAUUAUUAUUAUUAUUAUUACACUUCAACUUUGUAUGUAUCAAUUAUGAUUUAGAUUAAAAGAUCCAUAUUCAUUAACUAAGUAACAACAAUUUGGAAGAAUCAAACCAAUAUGGAGGUUUAAACCAAUAGAUUCCAAACAAUAGAAGGUUAAUUAAAUAUACUUAGUUAAAUAUACUUAGUUAAAUAUACUUGAUCCAUUUAAAAACUAAUUUGAUGAGAUUAGAUCAUAGAAGGCAUGUCAAAAAUAUUUCACCAAUAUAAGAACAAGACAUUUUAAAGUUUGGAUUAUAAUAUAUUAAAUUAAGAGAAUAAAUAGCAAGAAAUAAUAAAAAUAAUAAUUCUUAGUAAUAAAUUAGAGUAGUAGAAAUAAUCACUAAGAAUAAUAGUUAUUAAUAGUACCAUUAUUUUUAUUAUUAUUAUUUGAUUUAUGAUUUUAUUUGAAUUGAUUGAAUCAUUGUUUAGAAAUUAAAAUAUAUCAUGAAUAUAAUGUGAAAAAUCAACCAAUACAUGUGUAUAAUUUUUUAUUUAUUUUUAUUUUGUACUAGCUAAAUUUUUGCUAUUAUUAUAAAAUCUUAAAAAUCUAAUUUGUUGGAAGGCAUAUCUUGUACCUAAGUCCUAGCCACUACUCUUUGCUAGUAUAAUUGAACGUCAUUCAUGUAUAUAACAUCAUAGGAUCCCACAUCAAUUCUAUACUAUGGAGCACAAAAAAAUAGCUAACUAAGCAUAACAAAUAAAACUAUAAUAAACUAUUUUUUUUGCAAAAAAUUAGAUAUUGUUAAGAAAAUCUUAAUGUUUUCAUUUAAAAUUAUACUUAUGAAACUAUGCCUUUAAUGUAAUAUCUCAUGCAAUGGUUUAAAAAGGAAUCCAAGAUAAUAUGUUUUUAAUCAUUUAUAAGCUACUUAAUACAAUAAAUUGUCAAAAUAUACUUGCUAUAAACUCUUAGUGGAUAGAAAUAAAAAAAAUAAUAAAUAAAUAAAAGACAAAAAGAUCUAAAAUAUUUUUAAAAUAUCUUGUGGAUAAAAUAAAAUAAUUUUAUGUAAAAAAAUAAUUAUUAUUUAAAAAUUUCCAUUAAUUCUUUUGAAACAUGGAAGAUUGGUAGAAUUUAUGAUUGAAUUCUAAAAAUGCAUGCUUAAGCCAUAGUAGCCCAUUAUUGAAUCUGUGUAGAGUAGCUACAAAUAAUCAUUGAAUUGAACAAAUAUCUCUUUGGAGGUGAAAAUCUUAAACAUUAAGAUCUAUCUCUAGUCCAUAUUACAACCAAUCACUAACAUGAAGCACAUAUAUAUACACAUAUAUAUAUAUAUAUAUAUAUAUAUAUAUAUAUAUAUAUAUAUAAUACCUUACUUCAUUGAUAAUUAGGUGUAAAAUUUAAGCCAUUAGAGGUUCUAUAGUUCUAGUAUGCAAGCUAACUAAUUGAUGUUUGUUUGUUUGUUUGUUUUUUUUUUUAAUUUUUUAGUAUAAUAUAUAUAUAUAUAUAUAUAUAUAUAUAUAUAUAUAUUACCUCUAUUGCAUUAACUUUUUAUAAUCUUUAAUUAAAAUUUUUUAAGUUAUUAAAAAAAAGAUAUAAUAAUUUAAGAAUAUACAUCAAUAAAUCACUUACUUUAAUGUUAGAAGAAAACUAUAUCAAACAAAUUUUGACUUAGAUAAAUAAGAACAUAUUAUUAAUUUAAAAAUAAAAUAAAAUCUGCAAUUAAAAAGCUAAAUAAAUUAAAGAGUUCUACUUUAAUCCAUAGAAUAUUGCAUAUAAUGUAAAUACCUAUGUUCUUCCUAUUAUGUUAAAAAUCAUUUUUGUAUGUAGCGUCUUCAAAUCAUAAUCUUUUAGCUUAAAGAUACUCUCUAUCCUUAUAAUAUUACUUUGAAUGAUUACAUUUGCAUCCAUAGAAACUACAAUUUUGAUAAAGCUUAAUAAUAACAUUAUUGCUUUCAUCUUUUUUUUACAUGAGAAGAGAGAAAGGUUUCAAGGUGAUUGAUAUUUUAUAGUAUUUAUAUCCGUGAAUUGAUGUGUAUAACAAUUAUUUUUUCUGCAAUUGUAUUGAAUAAGCCUAUUAUUAUGGUAUCAAUCUUAUUAUCAAAAUCAAAAAUUUAAACUUCUCUAAAAAAAGAGGGCCUACCAUUACAUGCUUUAUUUUCUUGAGAUUCAAACAGUUGAAAAAUACAUGAUAUCCCUCAACCAACUCUUAAAAUGAAAUUUAUGUUCAUUGAGCUUUAAGUUUAUAAAACUCAUUUGUUACAAAAAAAGAAUUCUUUGACUUGAAGAGAUUCCAACUAUUGUAGUAGCUUCUAUUGACAGGUAUCAAAAAGAUUAUAAUCUAUGUAGAUUAGAAAAAAAAAGUGCUGCCAUAUACCACAUCAAACCAAGCCAUAACAUACAAUCUUUCCUUCAAGUCAACAUAAAAUAUUAUCAACCAAUCCAUCAGUUUGUAAAAAAAAUUGUAAAAAUAAAUGACUCAAAAAUUUAUUAUAAACUUAUGAAUAUCUAUUGUACAUGAUUGUGCUUUGAAAUUAUAUUUUUUUUAAUUAAUGCCUAAUAAUCUCAACCUUUUCAUUUUUUAAGUUCAUGGCUGCUACCAUCUCAUUAUGAUUUUCACUAUAGAAAUAAAUCUAAUUUUUUUGUAUGCAAUGUCAUUUGUAUUCAUUCUUAAUUUAUAACAUCAAUGACAUAGCAUGUGCUUGCUUUUGGGAUCAAAUCUAAUUACUUUCAAUUCAAAAUUUUCUAUUUUUGAAUGUCUUCAAGAAUUCAAAUCCAAAUCUUACAUGUAAGAUACUUCCUGAUUCUUUAUAUGCAAUAUGUCUUGACUAUGUAGAUUAUAUUUGAAGAUUCAAAACUUUGCAUCCACAACUUACCACUUUUUUUCUUAUUUACAUAUUUGAUGAGAGUAUUAUGUAGAAACAUAGAUAUGAUAAAUAUGAUAAUUAUUAGCACAAAGAAGAAACUAUUUACAAUGUCAUUAAAUUAGUAUAUAAAAUGGAAUAAUAAGAUGAGUACUAAAUAAAUUAGAAUAAAUAAAGCAAGUUUAAAGUAUACAAUGAAUUUUACUUAAAAAUUUAUUUUUAAAAUAUAUCCAUUAAAUUUUAAUAUUGAUAGGAUCAUAUCUAAUACACACUAUGAAUUCUCUAAAGUACUUAAAUAUAAAGAGGCCAAAGAAGAUGGAAACAUCAAUUAUGAAGAUGUCUCAAGUCAUAUUUAUGUUUAAAAAUUAUAAUUGUAAGAUUCCAAUUUCAACUAUAAUAAAUAUAUAUAUAUAUAUAUAUAUAUAUAUAUAUAUAUCAAUGAAUAUUGCAUCAUGUAAUACAAUGAGUUUGAAUAGAAGAGAAUCUAACACUAGUAGCUUUUAUGGCUUUAGCUUUGUAUCAAGCUAUCAAAAAAGAUGCAUUGAAAAAUAUGAACCAUAAUGCCUAUAAUAGAUAUAUAAUACUUACCAACCAUUCUAAAAGUGACAUACAAAAUGGCAACAACUAUUGGUUGAGGAAUUGAUACAAUGAUACCUCCAAAUUUACUUAGAUAUAUUAAGAAGUUUAAUUAAAGUAUUUAUAAAAAUUAAGAAAUAGCCAAAUUGGUAUAAUUUUGCAUAAGGAUAUUGAAUAUACGAUAAAAUUUGAUUCUUGUAAAGCAAAAUGAAGUGAAAUAAUAUAAUUAUAAAUUUUAAUUUGAAUAAGCAAUCAAUACUUUUGUAACUAAGGAAAAUAUUACAUAUUUAGUUCAGAUUAAUAUGUAGUUAAUUACAUUAAGCAUGCUCACUAGGUCAAACCAUUCCUAAUAUAUAUGUAUUCAAUUUUGAUCUUGUCAAUCCAAUCUUCUUUAAGUAAAAUUCUUUUCAAUUUUUUUUUUCAAAUGUUGAAAUCUUCUAUAAUUUGGUGCUUGUGAUUUUGCAAAAUGCUAGAUAUUAUAGGUACCUUACUCAUUUUAAAUACUUAUACACCAAACAUUAAAACCACCAACAAUCUUGUAGUCUAUAAAUUGUAUCAAAAAUAAUCUACAAACAUCAUUUAGAAUAAGUUGUACAAAUAUUAAUUAGAACAACAAUUUUCUCACGUAUUCAAAUGAUCAAAUUUUGCUAGUAGAUAUAGAGUGAAUUUUAGAAAGAAUAUUGACAUCUUAAAAAAAGAAAAAAUACUAAUAUCCUAAAGUAUAUUACAAACAUAGAAGAAACUUGCACAAUAUAGAAUUAGAUAUAAUGCUUUGUAAAUGAAAAAUAUUUCUAUAAAACUUUGUUAAUAGAAUUAUCUAUGUAAUUAAAUUAAUAUGAUAUUUUAUAAAGUAUAAAUAUAAAUCAAAUAUUACACAAAGUAGUUGGUGGAUUUUUGCUUAUUUUAAUUUAUGUUGAGGUCCUCUAAAUUCUAGUUUUAAUUUAUUUUUUUGAUAAAAACAAUUAAGCAUAUAAUAAAUCAAAAAUUUAUUUUGUCUUGAAGAAAAAUAUUUUUAUAUGGAUACUAGACUCGAUUUGCAAUAUUCUAGGUGAAAUUUGAGAGCAAUUCAACUGUUCAAGAAGGAGAUAUUGGUACUGAAAGUUCAACAUUGAGAUUGGAGUAGGAGGUUGCUUAACACCUGAUUAGUUUAUCUUACUUUUCUCUUAAUUGGUAAGUGAAAUUAAUUUCAUUUUUUUUAUACUUAUUUUUAACUAAGAUAUUAUGAAAUAUACAAAUUUCAAGUUAAUAUCAAUAAUCUAAUUAUUAGUUGUUGAGGUUCCAAUUUGCUAUAGGAUUUGGUUUACGAUUUGUCUACGAUUUGAUUAGGAUUAUGAUUUUCUUAGAAUUUUGUUUAGAACUUAUCUAGGAUUUAGGAUUUCAUUAGGAUUUAGUUAAAAUUAAAUUAGGAUUUCAAUUAGAAUCAACAUAAGAUUUGACUUUGGAUUUGGUUAAGAUUCAAUUAGAAUUUUAAUUAAGAUAAUAUUAAGAUUUUUAUUUUUGGUAUUUCUUUAGAAUUCUUUAUUUUUUCUUUAAAAAUUUCUAUUUCUAAUAUUUUUUAAAGAUUUAUUUUUUUAUUUUUAAUUAUUUUUUAUUAUUUUUUUUUAGGAUUUAUUUGGAACUUCUUUGUGUUUCUUUUAUGACGUCCUUCAAAUUUAUUUUGGAUUAAUCAAAAUUUUAUUACGAUUAUUAAGGUCUACUUAAGGUUAUUUAAGCUUCUAUUAGACUUAAUAGGAUUGUUCUUGCAUUUCUACUUAUCUUCAACAGCUAAAUAUUUCUGAUGCAUUCUUAAACAAAAUCAUAUGUAAUACAAUAUAUUUGAUGAAUUCCACAUGAAAAGCUUGAGGUAGAAGGUGUUUGGAAUUUCUUUUGGUUUAUUUGAAUUAUAGAGAAAGAAGGCAAGAAAAUAGAAAGAAAGGCUUUUGAUAGAACUUCAAGUGGAGUUGGAAACAAGGCUAUAAGUAGAAGAUAAGGUAUGUACUUUGAUUCCAACUUUGCAAGCUUGUUUGAGACUUUUGUCUUAUUCAUGCAACAAUAAUAUAUUAAAUAUUAUAAAGCUAUAGCAAAUAAAGUAUUACAAGUGGUUUUUUGACAAGAUUGAUUAAUUCAAAGAAAAAAAUAUUAUAAAAUAUUUAAGGUAUUAGAAUUAGUUUUAAAUGGUUCAAUUAUUUGAAUUGGAUAUUGUACCAAAUAUAAGAAAUCAAUUAAAGUCUAUUAUAGGAUAUUUUGGAGGUUCAAAGGAGAAAUUUUUACAAAUAUUGAAGGAUUAGUUUUUCUUAAAAGAUAGUAAUUGGAUUAAAAAAAAGUCAUUUUUUGAAUGGAUUGAAAGAACUAAAAAGGAUCUUUUAGGAAAAAAAUUAUUAAAGAAGUUUAAAAAAUAAUAUUCUUAUUUAUAGAAAAAAGGUAAUUAUUAGAUUGAAGUAAUGUAGAGCUUUUUUUUUCAAGUAGCUAAUGGAGAGUUGCAAGAGAAGUUGGAAGUCUUACUUGAAGAUAAAAAAAGAAGAUGAAGGAUCAACAACAAAUUGGAAGGAAGUGGAAGAAGCAAUAGGAUUGCUUGCAAAAAGAAAAAAGAGAUAAGAUAGAGUGGGUAUUCAAAGACCAUUGCAAGUAUCUAAGAUAAAAAUGCCUACUAUCAAUCCUACAUCUAUGAUUCAACCUUCAAUGGCUACAUCAAAGAGAAGAAGAAAUGGAAUUGAUGAAAUUGUAUGAAGGAUGAAAGAUUUACAAAUAAAAUUUGUAAAUUUUGAAGAAAAAGAUCAAUCAUUAAGAGUAUCAACAAAACAAAGGUUAAGAUUGAUAGAAGGUAUAAUACAUAGGUACAUAUGGUGUGAUAAUAUAGAUUAUUUAAGAAGAGAAUGUGAAGAUUUUUUAGAUGAUUUACACAAUAGAGUUAUUUUUUUUUAAAGAUGGUAUGAUACAUUUAAAAGUGAGUGGAGAAAAAUUGAAAACAAACUUUAGUAAAAAAAAAAAAAAAAAAAAAAAAAAAAAAAAAAAAGAUGAAAGUGUUUACAAAGAAAACAUUUAAAAACUCAAGCAAUGAAGCACCAAUAUAUUGAAUGGAAGCAAGUCUAGGCAAAUGUUUAAGCAUAAAUCUUGAAUUUCCAAGAAAAUUUAGUUCUUUGAGGACAAGUGCAAUGAAUUAUAUUGAAAAGGAAAAAAUUUCUAUAAAUGAUUUAAAAUUUUUUAAUAAUAAUAUUUAAAAAAUUACUAAGUAGAAUGAUCUAAUAGAUGGAUUAUCAGUUCAUGCUCAUAUUGCAAAGAGUCAACAUAAAGCAUUAAUAGUAAAAAAAUAAAAGAAAGAUAUAAAUAAUGAAGAACCAUAAAAAAAAACUACAAGAAGAAAAAAAGCACAACAACAAAAGAAUCCUAUGCAUGAAGAGAUACAAGAGACUGUUUCUACAAAGAAAAGGAAAAUUAUAAAAGAAAAAGCAAAGGCUCUUUCUUAUAAAUUAGAAUUAGAUAUUGAAGCUACUAUAGAUUUGAAGAAGAUAUUGGAAGAGUAGAUUUUAAGUAAAAAGAUUGAAUUCACAAUUGGUGAAAUCUUAGAUAUUGUAAAACAUAAAUUUCACAAAAUUAUUAUAAUAAAGAAAAAAUGACAAUCUAUAUGAGAUACUAUAACAUCAAAUGUACAAGAAAUAAGAAUAAUAGAUAGAAAUCAAGAUAAAAUAGAUGAAAUAAAAAAAUUUGGAGAUGUCUUGCAAAUAAGAUUAAUAAAAAAAAAGAUGUGAUUUAAGCUUCUAGUCAUUAUUUUCAAUGUCAUUGGAUAAGGAUUACUAUAAAAACUAUGAUAAAAUUGAGAGAUUUAGAAAAAUUAGUUGUAGCAUUGAUUGAUCAUGGUUCUAAAAUCAAUUUGAUAUCAAAAGAAUUGUAUAAAAAGAAAAAAUGGCCUAUUAAUAUUGAACAUGGGUGGAUGAUAAGAACAACAAAUAAUUCAAAGGAAGAUUUGUAUGGAGCUUCUACAAAUAUCAAGGUGACGAUAGGAGAUAUUAUAUAUGAACAAAAUUUUUUUGUGCAAGACAUGUCUAUAUAUCCUAUUAUAUUAAAAAAACUAUAUAUUAUUGCUUUAUGAAUGAAAAUAAAGAUAAUAGAUGAUAGUUUGGCCUAUGUAAGGACAAAAAAUCAAGAUGGAAAGAAAGAAGUAUAAUUUUUGAUAGUUUGUGAAAAUAAUAAAAGAAAUUGAGUUAGUUUGAGGGAGCAUUCUUUGGUAAGGAUACAAAAAGAAUUUGGAUAUCUAGAUGAUUCAAAGGAUUUUUACUAAAGGCCAUUAUAAAACAAGAUUGCAAUGAUAAAAAGGGUGAUGGCUUCCUACCUAAUAGAAGAAAUAAGACCAUUAUAAGAUUAUCACAAGAUGGAUAUAUUUUAUUUAAAAAUAUAGAUAAAUUUAAAAAAAUAGAGAAGAAAAAUAUCAAAAAUAUAAAACAUAAGUGGAAAAAAAUAUAGAGUGAUUGAUGAAGAUGAAUAUAUAUCAAGAAUAUUUGAAGAAACUUAUUUUGGUGACACUAUGGAUAAUUUGUAAAUGAUAUUAGAUUUAGAUUUUAAAAGAGGUGAUAAAAUAAUAAACAUGUAUUGUAAGCAAAUUUAUGACAUAGUGACAAAAUAUAUGGAUAAGUAUGAAGUGAAGGUGAAUAUAAAAUAUAAGAUUGUUACAAAAAAGAUUUAAUCAGUGGCAUUGCCACUACCAUUAGAUUUUGAAGAAAGGAUUGAUAAGACUUCUAUGCAACCUAAUUUAAGAAAUCUAAGAAAAAUAGGUCAUGAAUUUAAGGAUGAAUUGACAUUAGAUGGUUUAAAAGUUAAUUGUGAAGAAUUUUUAACAAUGAAUGAAGAGAGAUGUUUUAAAAAAAUGCUUUCACAAUAUAGUAAGGAAUUUUCAUUUGAAUCACAUAAAAUAAGGUGCAUUGAUCCAAGUAUUAUAGUACAUAUGAUUAUUUUUACAAUUCCAUAUAAACCAUAGAAUUUAAAGCCAAUUCCAAUUUAAAAGGACUAUUUUCCAAGCUAAUCAAAUUAUUUAAUGAAAAGUUUAAAAUCAAAAUUUUAGAACCAUCUAUUGCACCACAUUCUAAUCCGUGGUUUUAUAUCUUCUUAUUUUAGAAUGGCUAUUGCUAAAAAUAAGAAGACUAAAAAGUCUUGAAAGAAGACUAAGGACCAGAAAGGCAUUGACAAGAGUGAAGAAGGCUUUACUCUUGCCUCCAUAUAUACUAUCUAACUAAGAGCUACGUAGAGAUGUCCUAUAGGACCUCCAACAUGUGUUGACUUUGCUAACCACAUGUCUUAUCUUGCAAGGCAAGUUAUCUAUAUAUGUACCAUGUAGUUAGCUUGUUCUACAAGCUACUACAUAGAGAUAACUUAUUCCACAACCUACCAAUACAUGGUUAGCUUUUUGGCCAAGUUUCUAACCUAUAAAUACAUUUAAAGUCAAAAUCACGUUUAUGAAGCUUCUAGGAAGCUUUUCUAGAUGACUUUAUGAAAUUAGUCUAUAUUUAUCUACUUCUACUUAAUCAUAUAAGUAACUAUUGAGAUAAAUAUAUAUGUCCAUGACAUUAUUCUCCUUCUAGGGACAAGUUCCACGAGGAGCAAUCUUCCUAUGUUGAGGAAGUCUAAGAUGCUGCAAAUUGUAUUUGUUACAUACUCCAAUCUUUGUUCUCUAUGAAGAUGGUUGAUAGGUCCUCUCAACCAUCUAUAGUAUCCCAUACUAGGGCGAAAAGACUACCUUGUUAUUUGCUCAUUGUUGAGGCCUUCAUAACAUGCUUCAAAUAAAAUAUUUAGAACAUUGUCAUGAGUUGUUCCUACCUCUAAUAAAAUCACUAAACAUUGUGAGUCUCUUCUAAGCUCAUGAUACCAAACUUGUUGUAUCUUGCCAUCUAUUCGAGGAAAGACAUGUCAUUCUUGAGGAUCUUCAUCUCGAUUCAGUCAUCUUGAAGGUUGUAACAAUUACAAUGUCUUAUCUAGUAAAUUCGCAAAUGACAGCUCUUGAGUUGAAUCUGUUGGUUGUUGGUGCUCUAUUUCAUUACAAAUACAUAGAAACUACAAUAAAAGUAAGAAGGUAGAAUGAUCUAGUUUCUUUUAUAGUAAAGGUUUGCUAUUUUUCAUCUUGGUUUUGAUGGAUGUCAUUGAUGAAAGACUUCAAUUUUCUUUGCUGCAUUUAUAAGAUUCUUUGAUGGCUCCCAUGUGCAUUCACUAAUAUCAUAUCUGUGCCAAUGAACAAGAUAUUCCAACCUAUUUUGGUGCCACCUUGAGUCUAAGACUUCUUCCACCUCAAACUCUUGGUUAUUAUCCACUUCUAUAGGAGGGUGUGGCAUUUGUCUUCUUUCCAAGAUAUUCACUAUCUUAUACGGCUUUAAAAGAGACACGUGAAAUUUAGGGUGGAUCUUCAUAGACUCCGGUAGAUGUAAUUCAUAGGCAAUAAGAUUGAUUUGUUUACAAAUAGGAAAAGAUCCCAACCUACAAUAAUCUAAUUUAUGACAAGGACGAGUAGUCUUGAUAUUACGAUGAAGUAACCAUACCUUGUGACCCAUAUUAUAUUGUCGUUGCUCCUUAUAAUAAGCAUCCGUGUUGAUCUUUUGUCAUUCUUGAGCUUCCUUUAACUGUAUCUUCAUUAUUGUAUGUAGCUUUGAUAAGCGAUUUGCUAAAUCUUCCUUCGUAGGAUUAUCAACUUUUGAAAAGUUAAAAAUAUCAAGACGUGGAUGAUAACCAUAAUUGAUAAAGAAAGGUGUUUGUCAAGUGAAAGAAUGUAUUGUAUUAUUAUAUCCAAACUCUGCCAAUAGUAAAAGAAUUUUCCAAUCAUUUUUAUGAUAGUUGAUGAUACAUCUCAAAUACUACUCUAGAACUUGAUUUACCCGUUCUAUUUGUCAAUCAAUUUCAAGAUGAAAAGCUAAAGAAAGCUUUAUAUCCACCUUUAGAAUCUUAAAUAGGGUUCUCCAAAAUCUUAAUACAAAUUGAGUCCCCAUAUCCGAUAUAAUAUCCUUUGACAAUCCAUGAUAGCAAUAGAUAUUGCCAAUGAAAAGCUUGGCUAUUUCUUCACCUAUGAUAGAUUUUGUACAUAGUACAAAAUGUGUCAUCUUGAUAAAAUGAUCUACUAUCACGAAUAUAGAGUCAUAAGGACUUGAGAUUAGAAGAUCCAUGAUGAAAUUCAUAGAAACAAAAGACCAUGAUUGUUUUGGAAUGGAUAACGGCUUAAGAAGUCUGUAAGGUCAAUGACGAGGAGUUUUUGAUCUUAAGAAAAUAUCACAAGAUUGUACAAAAUCUUAGAUUGUCUUCCACAUUUGUAGUCACGAAAAAUCCCCGGAUAUUACUUCUAAAGUUUUAUUGUAUCCAAAAUAUCCUACUGCUAGAAAGUCAUGAUGAGCUUGAAGAAUAUGUAAUCAAGCUUCACCUUCUAGAACAUAUACACGUCCUUCAAAAUAUAAUAGAUUAUUUUUAAAUUCAAACUUGGAAGUAUCAUGAGACUUAGAGGAAGUAUCCUUGAUAUCGUGAAUAAGAGGAUCAGAGGACAUGCUUGAUUGAAUUUGCUUUAUAAAUGUUGAAUCAAUAGUCAAUGUUGAUUCUAUAGUUUGAAGAUGAAAAUGCUCGGGCUUCAAGAGAAUUAAUUUUUGUUGAUCAAAAGAUGCAUCUCUUUCUUUUGUUGCAAGAUAAGAAUGUCUAGAGAGAGCAUUGUCAUAUUGUAAAUGCUUACAAUAUGUAAAAAUUAGUUAAAACAUAUUAUAUGUUGAUAAAUCUAGAUGUGUGUUAGAGUGGCUAGUAGAUUAAAUUAAAAGGAGUUGGUAUAAGAAACUUUAUUUUGUUUCUUUAUUUCUUUUGAUUUUGACAUUAAAAAAAUAUAUAUAUAUAUAUAUAUAUAUAUAUAUAUAUAUAUAUAUAGGACCUAAAUGUUUAGUAUGAAAUCUUGGGAAAAGGUGGAAACCUAAGAAUGAAAAUCUAAACUAGUAGGAAGCUAAUUGGGAGGGAUGAAAGUAAGGCAUGGUCGGAUGAAGACAAGGAAUGGGGAACUUCAUCCCUAUUGGUCGAAUACCAUGUCCAAUGGGCUUUGAGGAGGCUGCCUGCGACCUUAAGAAGGGUUUUGGCGACUUCAAAGGGGGCAUUCAGAGAUUAGAAGCUAGGAUUAUAAAGUUUAGGAUUUGGAGAACAAUUUGUGUACAAAAAUUAGAGGAUUUGGAAUUAGAGUAAAAAAGUUAUAACCGUUUGAAGUUAAGGUAUUUAUUUAAGACAUACUGUUACUCUUUUGAGAGUAUGAGGAGUUUUACAGCAGCUUUUGAAGAUCGAAAGGUGCAAUUGGAACGGCGAUUUCAAGGCCUAAAUCUUUCAUGAAAGAAUUAUUGCUUUUGGAAUUUAUAUAAAGAAGUUAUAAGGAGUUGAAGGCGAUGCUUCCAAAUCAAAAGUAGUAAGUAAGCGGGUUUGUUUGUAGUAAUGGUUGAAGCCAUAACUUGAGUUUUCGGAUGAAUUUUUGGCUCAAACUUUUUGGAGAAUGUAAAAUUUUGUGUUAAGAAGCUAUAAAUACAAAUUUUGUGGCAUUUGAGCUUAUAUUUUGUGAGAUAUGAAGAAAAUUGCACGUGGAUGUAGAAAGACAAGGGUUUGAAGCGGCUGUAAGGGAUUUCAAGAUAUCUCAAGAUCUGCAAUGAAUUUGCAGUUGAAAAUUGUUUUAGAAGUUAAUAAGAAUACAUCAGUACCUCACGUAAAAUUAGAGUUUGUUUGGACGGUCGGAUUAAGAGAUAUGAGGUGUUGAAGUUUGGGAAAAUCUCCACAUAAGAAUAAACAAGGAUUUAGAAGAUUUUAUCAUAUUUUGGAAGUUGUGGGUUACUUGAGGAUUGUGUAUUUGGUGUAAUUACUCAAAAAGAGAAAAAUUAUAUAUAAACUUAGGGCUUCCCUUAUUUUCAAGCUUGAUUGAAUAAUUAGUGACAGCCAGAAGCCCAACGUUUUCUUGAGGCAAACUCUCUCUAUCCCGACAGCGUCCAAUAGACCUUGUUUUUUGGGUCGAUAAGUGAUUUUGAAAUUGAAUUUAGAUAAAGAUAUGGUCCAAAAAGCUUGAUGACGAUUCAAGAUAUGUGCUAACAUGAAGUACUCAAGGUUCUUAUGGUCUAUAUAUAUAGUAACUAGACUUGAGGUGCCUUCUAGAUAAUGAUGCCAUUCUUGAAAUGAAUCCAUGAUUGCAAGGAGUUCUUUGUUAUAGAUCUCAUAAUUAAUCUCGGCUAUUGAAAAUUUCCUUGAAUGAAAAGCUAUUGGGUGGAGUUUGUCAUCUAUUCCCAUUUAUGACAAUACAACACCUAUAGCAAAAUCUGAUGCGUCUAUUUCCAUAAAAAAUACCUUGGAGAAGUCAAUAUAAUAUAAGAUUGAUGCAAAAAUAAAUUCCUUCUUUUAAACAUCAAAUGAUGUUUUUGCUUCUUUAUUUCACUCAAGUUUGUCUUUACAAGUCAAACAUGUAAGUGGGGCUGUAACUUGAAAAAAAUUCUUGAUGAAGAUUUGAUAGUAAUUAGCAAAGCCCAAAAAGGAUUAUACAUCUCGUACUGUUCUUAGAAUCUUCUAAUCUAUGAUAGUUUGAACCUUCUUGGGAUCCAUCAUAAGGCCUUCAUUGGAAAUGAUGUGCCCUAAAAAGUCAACUUGAGUAGUGUGGAAGACACACUUUUUGAACUUGGCAUAUAAUCCUGCAUCUCUAAGUUUCUGUAACAUGCAACAAAUAUGAAGCUCAUAUUCUUUUGUAUUCUUAGAAUAGAUUAGAAUGUUGUCUAAAUAGUAGACAAUGAAAUCAUCUAAAAAUUCACGAAAAAAAUCAUUCAUAAGAUGUUGAAAAGCAGUCGGUGCAUUCGUGAGUAAAAAAGGCAUGACAUUAUAUUCAAAAUGUCCAUACCUAAUUUGAAAAGCACUCUUCCAUUCAUCUCUUUUUUUGAUAUGGACUAAGUUGUAUGCUUCUCGUAGAUUUAUUUUGGUAUAGAUCUUUGCUUGAUUGAGUUGGUGAAGAAGUCCUGAAAUCAAAAGAAAAUGAUACUUAUUUUUUAUGGUAAUCUUCUUGAGUCCUCGAUAAUCCACAUAUAUUUACAAAGAUCCGUCUUUCUUCUUCACAAAUAAGAUAAGAGCGUUGGCACGAGAUUUAGAAUGGCAUAUGAAGUUCUUUGCCAAAUUCUCAUUAAUGUAUUUCUUUAAUGCAGUCAAUUCAUUCUGCGAUAAGCUAUAGAUUGGUCCAAAUGGUGGUUGAGCUCUUUCUUGCAAAUCAAUUGAACAAUCAUAAGGAUGAUGCUCAGAAAGAAUAUCUGCAUUCUUCUUUUAAAAAAUGUCUUGAAUUCUUGAUAUUGCUUAGGAAUACAACUCGAUAUUGUUUCACCAUUAGAAAUGGGUGUAGCAUAUAUAGGAAAAGAUGAUCCUUCUUUUGCAGCAUGCAUGAAAGCUUUUGUACCUAUUUGUAAAGGUUUGGACAUAUUGAACUUACGUACUUCUACUUUGCUAAUGCAAUCUUGGAUUAUACUAUCAAGAAAGUUAAGGUUACAAGAAAUCUAAUCUAUUUGAGGGUUAUAUUUCUCUAGCCAUGAUAAUCCUAAAAUAAAUGGAUUAAAGGGAGAUUUUAUUAUAUUAAAUAUUACUACGUUGUUAUGAUCUUUAAUUGCUAUAUCUAAAGGAAUAGUUUCAUGGGUAACAUUUCCAAAAGACAACGAACAACCAUCUAUGACUUCUUAUUAAAUGGAUUUAACUUUUUUCACUAAAGGUAUUUUUUGAUUUUUGGCAAAAUCUUCAUCUAUAAAACAUGUUAAGAUUCUUGAAUCUAACAAGACAAAGUCUUUGUGAUUAUUAGGUCUUUAAUAUACUUCUAUUAUAAAACAAGGUGAGGGGUGUGAGGGGAGGAUAUGACCUUUACUAGAUAUUACACAUGAUUCCAACCGCUCGAUGCCUAUUGUAGCUAAAAAAACUCAUUUUCUGAGACAUUAUCUUCUUUGGUAAUUGUGCUCCUCAUUUUGUAAUUGUGUUGCUUCUUAGAACAAUAUUAAGCAAUGUGUUUAGCUUCUCUACAAUAUAAACACAACCCCUUUUAGUGACAUCAAGUCUUUUCUUACUUUAUGAGAGGUUUAAAAUGUAUCAUAUCAAUUUGCAUUUGUUUCGGUUUUGACGAAUACAUUUCAAAAAACUUGGGAGCUAUUGCCAUUACUUGACUUGUUUCUCUCCAAUCAAAUCUUUGUUCUUGAUGUCUUUCAAAUAAACGAUUGUCACAAGCAAUGGCUUGAGUGAUAAAUUUUUCUAAAGAUUCUACUUUCGGCAUUAAUAAUAACAAAUUUUUGACGCUAUUCUUUAAUCCAUAUCAAAAUUGGUUGAUGAAUGCUUUGUUGUUCCAGUCCACGUUGUUGUACUGUAAAAGUUUAAAGUAUGUAAAAAUUAGUUAGAACAUAUAAUAUAUUCAUAAGACUUGGUAUGUGUUAGAAUGAUUAAAUAUAUUAAUUUUAAAAGAGUGGAUUUAAGAAAAUUUAUUUUGAGUUUCUCUUUUUACGUAUAGCAUUUCAAAAAAAAAAUAUUAUAGAACCUAAAUAUUUAGUAUGGAGCCUUGAGAGGAGAUUACGUAAUAGAUUUGUAACGAAUUUAAAGUUGAAUUUUUUUGUGGUAGUUUUUGAAAGUAUAUUAGUACUUCAUGUAAAAUUUAGGAUUGUUUGGACAAUCCGAUGGUGAGAUAUGAGCUAUUGAAGUUUGAAAAAUAUUUUUCAUAAGGAUAUAUAAGGUUUUAAGAUACUUUAUCAUAUAUUUGAGUGUUUUUUUGGUACUUGGCUUAUAUUUUAAUGUAAUUAUCCUAAAAGGGAAUAUAUUAUAUAUAUAAACUUGGUACUUUUACAUCUUAGACUUGAUUGAGUAUUUAGUGGUAGCCAGAAGUCCAACGCUUUGUUGAGGUAAACUCUCUCUACUCUGACAACAUUGCAAGCAAGAUUUUAGAAUUUGAUAGCUUAUGCAGUAGCUGAUUGUGAUCUUUGUCAUAAAGAUAAAAACUUGGUCUCUACUACUCAUUUUCAAUCACUUUCUUUGAAUGUGGUUGUAAACACUUCUAGGAAUGAAUUCAAAUCAUAAAGAAGUCGUGAAUCUUUUUCCAUUGAAGGUGCACACCAAGAGAGAGCACUUCUUAAUAGUAGUGCGUCUAUGCAUCUGACUUGGAUAAAUCCAUCAAGAUAUUGGAAAGGUUGCAACCUUAGAUAAAGCUUGACUUCUUGCAAAAAUCCUCAAAAUUUUGAUCUUGUUCCAUCAAAUUUCUCAAGCAUACUAAUCCUUGUCCCUGUCAUACUUGUAGAAGCAGAACUCUCUAGAUUUGGUUGUGACAUUGAUCUACUUGCUUCUUUUAAUUGCACAACUUCUUGCCGCAGACUCUGAACUUUUUUUAUAGACAUAAGCAUAGUACUUCCAUGAUUCAUGUUGGAAAUAUGCAAGAUUUCCACUGUUAGAGUAUUAACAAGCUCAUGAAGAUUUGCCAUAGUUGCAAAUCUAUUCUCACUUUCGUUGAAAGUAGCAUCUAUAAUCUUUCUUUCCAUAGACAACUCAAAUGAAUUCAAAAGUUAAAUUAGAGGAGGGUAAUCCACAACCUCUAAAAAAAAUCCUAUAAAGAGGGGUAAUCCACUCUCUUUAAAGAAAAUAUCAGUGUUAGAAAAUAAGAUUUUUUGUUUAAAGGUGGAUAGUCUAGAACCUUCAAAACACAACAAUAGAAAUGGAAUAAUCCACUCACUUCUAAAACAAGAUAGAAAUAAUAUGUUAGUACUCUUGUCAAACUGUCAAGGACAUGAAUCAAGAAGAACUCAAAGAUCAAGACAAUCUUGUGUCACUCUAAAAGACUAAGAAAUCACUCAAAGAUGGUACUAUACUGAACUAGAAUGGCUAUUGCCAAAAACAAGAAGACUAGAAAGUCUUAAAAAAAAACUAAGGACUAGAAAGGCAUUGACAAGAGUGAAGAAGGCUUCAUUCUUGCCUGCAUAUAUACUAUCUAAUUAAGAGCUAGGUGGCAAUGUCCUAUAGGACCUCCAACAUGUGUUGACUUUGCUAACUACAUGCCUUAUCUUACAAGGCAAGUUAUCUAUGUAUGCACCACAUAAUUGGCUUGUUCUACAAGUUAUUACACGGAGAUAACUUGUUCUAUAAGCUACCAAUACAUGAUUAGCUUUUUGGCCAAGUUUCUAACCUACAAAUACAUUUAAAGUCAAAACCACGUUUAUGAAGCUUCUAAGAAGCUGUUCUAGAAGACUUUAUGAAAUUAGUCUAUAUUUACCUACUUCUACUUAAUCAUAUAAGUAACUAUUGAAAAAAAUUUAUAUGUCUGUGACAACAACAUAUCAUCAUGAAGAGCACCUAUAUUCUUUGUAUUCAAAAAAGAUAGUCGACUCUGCCUUUAAAUUAACUAUUGAGGCCUCAAUAAGCAGACUAUUAAAAAUGCAUAUUUAUUUUUAUGCAUUGAUGAUUUUCUUAACCAACUUGAAGAUGUGACCAUUUUUAGUAAAUUAGAUAUUUAGAAUGGUUAUUAAUAAAGACCUAUUGUAAAAGAGGAUGUAAAAAAGACGACAUUUUAUAUGCACUAUAGUUAUUUUGAAUGGCUGGUUUUUUCUAUUGGCCUCACCAAUGCUCUAGCCUCUUUCAUAAAUUGCAUGAACAAAUUAUUUUAGAACCUUUUGGACAAAUAUAUAGUUUUUUUUAUUGAUGAUAUCCUUGUAUAUAAUAAAAUCCCUAAAGAAUAUGAGCAAUACCUAUAAGAAGUGUUGCACCUACUACAAGAUAGUCACUUUUAUUACAAGCAAUCAAAAUAUGAAUUUUGGAAUUCGAAAGUCACUUUUUGGGACAUGUAGUGUCUUUCAAAGGCAUACACAUGGAGCAAGAUAAGGUGAAAGCAGUAGAAGAUUGGCCAACUUCUAAGGAUGCUUCUAAAGUCUAUUCAUUUUUAGGCCUUUGUAGAUAGUAUCGUUGUUUUGUUUGGUGAUUUGUUCACAUUGCUACUUCAUUGACAAAUCUAUUAGAGAAGAGUGUUCCAUUGGAAUAGAAACUGGAGCAGCAAAGUACCUUUGAUAAGUUAAAAGAUGCAUUCAUUAUUGCUCCAAUAUUGCAAUCAUAUGAUCUUAACCUUCUUUGUAUCCUUGACAUUGAUGCUUUGAACUUUGCUAUUGGAGUGGUCUUUAAAUAAGAUUUUAGUAGAGGCCUUCAAUUUGUGGUAUAUGAAUCACACAAGCUCAAA
Molecule: long non-coding RNA, 135183 nt
Filed under: Physcomitrium patens
Lineage: Eukaryota; Viridiplantae; Streptophyta; Bryopsida; Funariales; Funariaceae
Description: long non-coding RNA (PPAT_LNC006468)
Source: RNAcentral